UAUGAGUUAAGUGAAGUGGCAGCGCCAAAUUAUGAUAGCUACAUAUUGGGGUGAAAGUUUGGGAUUAAAUUAUAUAUUAUAGAUGUAAUUUAUUCAUCAAGUGAAAAUCAUGCACCGCCAGAUUUCGUCAUUGAAUUGGAUAAUUAGAUCGGCAUUUGGUUUUUACUUGUAUAUGUGAGUAGGGCUGCUCUCUGUAUUUUGAAGUUGGUGUGCAAGUUGAAACUAACCUGAUGUUGAAUUUUUGCAUGGAUUGAAUUGGAAUUGCAAUUAAUUCAUUGAGAGAAACUUACGACCCACCAGGUUUUUUCAUUGAAUAAGAUAACUACAUCGGCAUUUGAUGUUUUCUUGGAUACGUGAGUAGGACUGUUCUCCAUAUAUUGAAGUUAGUUAUGCAAGUCAAAACCAUUCUGUUCAAGCCUGAUGUUGAGUAAUAUCCAUGGGUUGAAGUCGUGAAUCAAAGCUGAGACUUAGGGUUGACAGUAAUUGCAGCUUUAGCCUGUUUGGACAUAAGGUGAUGAGACUGAGUGGUGUACGUAAAAGAAAAGGAUGUCAACUUUGAGCUAGAGCUGAGUAUUCAUUCCACGUUCUGGGUUUUGGUUGACCUCUAUAUCUUGACUGGUUCCUAGUGAAGACAAAGCCCCAGAGUUACAUUUCACCCACGAUAUUUGAGUUUAUCGAGUUACCACGUCUUAUACUUUCCCUGAAAAACAAAUAUAUGUGUUAAAACAAGGUUGAAAAAAUUAUUUACUGAGUUUUUAUGGGUGCAACUCAUGUUUUGAAACAUUUAAGAUUUUUAGCGGUUAUGUUACUAUCCCGUGGUUGUUUAAGGUACAAGAGACAGUAAAAAAAAAAACAUAGUAUCUUAAUUAGUUAUAAUAAUCCUACAAGUGCACAUGGGGUAAAGUUAUUGUCAACUCAUACUAGCGUGUGAAAUUUAAAGAGGUCUUAGGGUUUUGUGAGUUUUGAAUUCAAGGAACAAAAUAAUAAGUCUAGUGCAUAAUAUUUGAAAACCCUGCUUCAUCGUGUAAAAUGGAUUAAAUUGCUCUAAGGUUUGUCCAAAUUAAAUUGUCUAAACUAUUUUACAGGCUUGUGGGAACAAAUAAAUUUUUUUUCUAGCAACUCCAGAGUCAAUUAAAAGUGGAAAUUUUUUUCCUAAAGCAGCGUUUUGUUGAAGGCAAUAAAGGCCCAGAUAUGGGACACUGCAGGUCAGGAGCGAUACAGAGCAGUAACGACUGCCUAUUAUAUGGGUGCACUUAGAGUGCUCUUUUAGUUUAUGAUGUGACAAAAUCAACAACAUUUGAAAACGUGAGCCGGUGGCUGAAGGAUCUGAGGGACCAUGCAGACUCCACCAUCGUGAUCAUGAUAAUUGGCAACAUCUGAAACACCUCCCAACUUCUAUGUCGAUUUUUCAGUCUCUCGAUGGCUUAUUGUUGAAACAUAUUUUUAUUUAAUUUUUGUUAACAAUGUUGUAUCUGAAUUAUUCUCCUCAAUUGUUGUUGAGAUUUCAGAAUUAUUUUGCUAUGGCUGUGUGCACUAGCCAUGUUUCAGCGUACUUUGUUUUUUUAUAUCCUCAAUUACAAGGCAAUGAAGCUGGCUUUUUACAUUUUCUUUUCUAAUUUGUAUCUAUUUUUUUUAUAAAAUAGGUAUUUUCCUUGUGUGUUUGCAGAGAUCUUAAACAAUUUAUGUUUUUGUAACAGUAACCAAUAUCUUUUAUUAUACAAAUGUCUCUCUCAAUUUUUUAUAUUUUAUCUUUUAUAUAUAUACUGUUUGCACAGUUCUUUCAGCAAAUUUUUUUCUGUGGUUGCACUAUUUCAUUUGUUUCCGCAAAUGAUUUUUUUUAAAAAAAGAAAAAGAAUUAAUUUGUUAACUUGCUAAGAGCCCAUCAAAUUAAAAGAAAUUAUGUUAAUUGUAAUAUUGAUAUGUAGAUUGAUUAUUGGAUGCCAUGCUACAGUACACAAUUUAAAAAUUGAAAUAUUACAAAAGCGCAUAAAUUUUAAUGUGUGAACGAAAUGAAAUUAGUUGUAGUUACAUGAUAAUAGAUACAUAAGAUAUAAUAAGUCUCCUUCUAAUUAGGUGUGAGGAAGAUCUUAUUUUAUUAAAAUGAUGACUAAAUUAAAAGAUAAAAUAUGUGUUUCAAAUUUUUUUUUAAGAUUUGUUCUUAUAUUAAUAAAUUGACAACUUCCUCAUUAGAAAAUAAUUCAAUUGAUCACAGUUCCCACCAGUUAAACCGUUGCAUUUGCAUAAUUUCAAUAUAUUUGCAUUAAUUCAAUCAAUAUUAUUUACUGUCUUACUAGAUAAACAAAAAAGAAAGAAAACAAAACAAAAAAUUUAUUUACCAAAAAAAAAAGUUAUUAAUUACAGAAAAUAAAAUGGAUAUGAUGCAAUUGAUGCACCAUUCUCAAUAUUAUUUACUGUCUUACUAGAUAAACAAAAAAGAAAGAAAACAAAACAAAAAAUUUAUUUACCAAAAAAAAAAGUUAUUAAUUACAGAAAAUAAAAUGGAUAUGAUGCAAUUGAUGCACCAUUCUCAAUAUUCAUACCGGUUAAGUUUAAUACAUAAAUCAAGUAAAUUUCCUUACAAAGCCAACGGUCUUUCCCCCUUUUUUUUAAUGCCACCAAUGGAUGAUAUCCAUUUUAGUCGGUUAACUUUAACUUCUAAGUUGGGUCUAUUGCAUACUCGUACUAGUAAGUACUCUAGGUAAGGGGGUUCAUUGCCUAACCCACUAAGAUUUUGUUGUAUGGAAAAAAUUUAUAAUACAACAGAAGUAAUAUAACUAAUUAAUAUAUGUAUGAUACAUAUAUUUAAAUUUAAUGUAACUAUCACUUAUAUAAUAAUUUUUUUAAAUAAAUACACAUAUAUCAAGACUGACCAAUUAAAAUCUGAAUCAAGACUGUGACUCUAAAUAGGUUGGAAGUAUUGUAGCUUUAGCUAAUCCUGGAGUGAUGUGUUUACACUAAUUCCGGCUUACCUCCUGAAUCUCUAUAUAUACGGCCCUAUCCUAAAGCUUGUUCAUCACUUGCUUUCUGUUUUCUCAGUUCAUUUGCUUCCAUUUGCUUCAUCUUCCUCUUCCACUUGCAUGCUUCUUAAUCCAAUGCAGUGUAUAUAUAAUUAGUAGCAAGUAAAUUAAUUAAUCAGUAGCAAGCAACUCUUUUAAAAGUCAUGCUACCUCUUAUGAACAGAAAGAGAAAGCAAAGAAAUGGAAGUGCGCAGGUUUAAUGUUAAUGGUGGGUACCGAGUUGAGAGAAUCACAACAACUGAUUCUCAUCAAUUCCCACUGGAGAGGCGUACCUAAUCUUUCUACAAGUCAAAAUUUUUUUCUGACUAGCUAUCUUAUCAGGCUGCACAGUACUCAUUUCUACAAGUCAAAAUAAUCAUAGUGCUACAAAUUAAUAAUGUUGUACAAUUAGAUAUGGUGAGAUAUAAUUAAUUGAUUAAAGUAAUAAAAAUAAAAAUAAAUUAUGCUGGUCCUAAUAUAACCAAUUUGAUGAUAUGCCACAUUAGUUUAUAUAUAUAUAUAUAUAUUUUUAUGUAAAAGUGUUUAUAAUUAUAUAACUACUCGUAAAAUUAAAGCAGCUGAUGAAAAGGUUUGCUCAAUCCUCAUAAUAUAUGAUCAUGUUGAGGACCAAAUAAUAAUUUGACACUUUUGAACGAUUAAUUAGCAAUUAGUCAUCCAAGUUCAUGUUUUGCAACUAAAUACACAAUUACACAUAGUUGCAGAACAUGGAAUUAAUAUAGUGCUAUUAUAACAUUGGUAUAAGUGUUGUACUUGGUGUGAACAAUUAUGUAUAGAUCCCACUAUCUUACAUGCAUGUAAAAUAUAUUCUCCUCAUAUGAACAAUGUAUGAGUCCCACAUAUGUACUGUUCAUAUGAGUAGAAUGUAUGUAAGAUAUAGAUUGUCUUAUGUAUAAAUGUAACUUGAGUCAGCAUGCAAAUAUCAAUAGUCAAUCAAUAUCAAUAGCCACGUUCUCGUUCUUCCUUUUUGUACCAACGGCCGCCACAAGCCAAGAGAUAAUGAUCUGGCCCCGACCCGAAUGUUAUGUCCUCGUUUUCUCCACACAACUUCGUACACUAUUUAACAGAAAAAGACAUAAAUUCACUAAAAAUAUUUUAAAGUUUAUAGAAAGGUAAUAUUUUAAAAUUCACUAAAAAUAUCAUAAUCCCAUUUCAUCAAAUGUUCUCGCAAUUGCAACCUCCAGUUUUUGGGAAAUUUAUGAAAAUAACCAUAAAUAUUUUGUUAUUUUCACAUCUAACCCUCUCAAGUUUUUUCUAUCAACAUUAGCCAAACACAAGCCUUUCUCCCCAAAUUACCCUUCUUUACAGACCAAAAGCAACAAUUUUUCUCCCAUAUCGUCAAACCAAACACAGCUUUCCACUCUUGAAUCAUCAACCAACGGCGACGGCAAAAGACAACGGUAAAAGUGAAAUCCGUUUUUGGGAAAUUUCCGAAUCCAACACUAAUCGGCAUCACUUAGUGGUAUGAGUUAUUUUCUGAACUUGCUGAACUGAGUCGUGGGUGAAUCUGGCGACAGGCUGCCUGUCGCACCAAGCCUUGGAGAUUCAUUAAAACUGUAUUAAUUUGAUCCGGAUCCAAAUAAUUUUUUUUUUAUAAUUUCAGGCUUAAUGGAUUCAGUUGUACUUGAAUUGUGUUACGUUGGUUGGUGGGAGACAUUAGAUGAUGGCUGUAUGGAGUAUGUGAAUGGUAAAAAUCGAGCUUUUUUGGUUGGGAAAAAUUGUCUGUUUGAUCAGUUAUUGGCAAGAGUAUACGAGGUGUUACAAAUAAACCCUAAUGAAUAUAGUAUCACAAUGAAGACAACUUUGAGGUCUAGUAACACAUUAUAUCGUAUAUGUGCACUGCCCAUGGAUAUAUUUGAUGAUGAAAUGGUGAGGGUUGUGUUGCAUAUGGCAUCCGACGUAGCCAAUUUUGGAUGCAUUCCUAUAUUCGUGACCACAUCACCUCGAGUUCCGAGUGAAGAUAUUGAGCCACAUGUCGAUACAGAAACUUCGUUUAGAGCAAAUAUGUCUAGCCCCGAUAAUGAUGAAGAGGUGUUGCCAAGGACAAUAUCGCUGCAGCAAUAUUACUCUCCAAUCCACGACAAUUAUGACAACAUUGAUGAUAACGGCAUUACGUUAGAGGAUGUUGGAGCAACGGUAUUUCCAAUAACGACUUCGUUGGAGCAACGGUAUUCUCCGUAUCACAACAAUGAUUUUCGGGAUAAUGAUGAUUUUCAUCAUGAGACAGAGGGGGAUAAUGUUUGUUCAGAACCUUCUAAUAAUACGAGGGGCACUCAUUUCAAUAAUGAUGGUGAUGAUGGAGGAGCCGGUCCUUCGAAUGUUCCGUCGUUUCAGCACGACGAUGAGUGUGAAGACAAUACUCCUGUGAAUAAUAGAGGCAAUAGACCUAGUCUUUUUAUGGUUCGAUCGAGAAGGCGAAUUGACCCCCUUACAAGUCUUGCUCCAACUUUGCCUUCGAACAUGGUUGCUCCAAGCUUUGUUAGCAGUUGUGAUUCAGAUGAUAUCAGUGUGGGUAAGCUAUUUGCUGAGAAGAAUGAGUUUAUAUUACAACUACGCAAGGUUGCCUUUAGAGAUAAGUUUGAUUUCAAGAUUGCACGGUCUACUACGACACGUUUUGAGGCUCACUGUUGUUCAGAAUCAUGUAAAUGGCGUAUUCGAGCAACUAGAUGUUCGAACGAGCAAAAUGUUCCUUGGGUGGUAAAGAGAAUUGACAAUGUACACACUUGUCAUAAUGAGAUAUUGGUUGAUGGACGUCAUCAAGUAAGGAGCCGGGUUGUCGGUCAUAUUAUCGCAGAAAAAUAUAUUCAAGACAAGAGGAUUUAUACUCCGAAUGACAUAAAAACAGAUAUGCAACAGGAAUACGGUGUUCAGUUAACAUACCAGCAGGCAUAUCGGGCGAGAGAAGUUGGUCUUGAAAUAGUUCGAGGCAACCCUGCAGAGUCAUACAACUUGCUCCCUAAAUACUCUCACGUACUAACUACAGCGAAUGAGGGUACAGUCACUCACCUCGAGCAUGAUGGAGAUGGUAAUUUCUUGUACUAUUUUGUAGCACUCGGAUCUUCCAUCAAGGGUUUUAUGCAGUACAUUCGGCCUGUCAUUGCUGUAGAUGGUACUCAUCUGAAGGGACUAUAUCAUGGAAGCAUGUUCGUGGCAACAUGUCUUGAUGGUAACAAUCAAUUGUAUCUGUUAGCCAUUGGGAUCAUGGAUUCAGAAAACAAUGAUGCUUGGGAAUGGUUAUGAUGAAGUUACACGGUGUGAUUGGCGAUAGACCUGAGUUGGUAAUUAUCUCUGAUCGAUGCACUGCCAUAAGGAGAGCCGUUCUUAAAGUAUUUCAUAAUGCAACUCAUGGCGUUUUUUUUUACCACAUCAAAGGUAACAUUAAGUCACAGUUUAGAAUGUCCAAAGCUCUUUGGGAUGAAUUUGAGCCUGCCUUUAUUAAUGCAGCAAAAGCAUAUGGCCACGAGGAAUUUAAGAGACAACUUGAAAGGUUGUGGAUGAUCCACUUGGGUGUGGCUGAUUACCUAGAAAAUAAUGUCGGUACGUGUAAUUGGGCAAGGUCUCAGUUUGAAUGUAGGAGGUACAGCAUACUUACCACCAACAUCGCGGAGAGUGUUAAUUCUUUCAUGCGGGAACCUCGAAAAUUUCUUGUUACUCAUCUUGUUGAUCACUUUAGGAAAACAAUGCAUCAAUGGUUUUAUGAUAGGAAAAUUGUGGCUGAGUCAAUAACUACUCGGCUAACAACAUGGGCAGAUGAAAUAGACACUGAGAGGAGAACUAUAGCUGAAAGAAUGAUAGUUCGGCUGGUGUCUCCGCAUCGAUUUCAAGUUAUAGGCGGUGGGCUUAAGGAAGGUUUGGUUGACUUGCAAAAGAGAACUUGGACCUGCAGAGUGUUUCAGCUUGAUCAGCUUGUAUGUGCUCAUGCAAUUGCGGCGUGUCUAACACACCGGGUGGAUUUUAUUAACCUUUGCUCGGACUUUUACACUACAGAAUCGUUGGCGAUGGCUUAUGCACAACCAGUAGAGCCAGUUGGUGAUGUGGCUGAUUGGGAAGUUCCAGAUGAAAUUCAGGAGAUGCAAGUGUACCCACCAGUUGAGGCACCACCACCUGGCCGUCGCAAAGAGCUCAGAAUACCCUCGGCUGACGAGGAUGUUAACCGGCGGACUGUAAGAUGCGGGCAAUGUCAUGAACUGGGCCAUAAUCGUAAGCGAUGUAAGAAUCCCAUUGCGUCAACUCGAAGUUAGUUGUUUUUGUGUUUCGUUGGUUAAAACUGUAAUUGUUUUUUGUGUAUUGUACACUUAUAUGUCAUAAAAAUUUAUUUUUAUUUUAAAUAUUAAAAUGUGAGCAUUAAAAUUAUAUAAACUUAAGUGUGCAAAUUAAAAUAAAAAUUCAAGUUUCAACAUUCAAAUUACUACAACGGUUUACAAUACAAUAUCGUCAUUAAAUAUGUCAACCGCAAUCUUCUUUCUAAAGUACUCGACAUGACUAGCGUUAAACUCCAAUCCAAGCCCGAACAUUAAAUACAUCGUAACCAUCAAUACAAAAACACCGCAAUCGCCAGUUCCGGGCUCUUGUUGUGGCGCGCUCUUAACUGCAAUAACUUUCCAGGGGUCUGCACUCCGCAACCCGGGUCGGAUGUUGUAGAAGCCAACAUAUUCCAACCAUCGAGGGAAUAUAACUUCAAGUGGCUUGAAUUUCAACUUGUACCUUUUGUCGUCGCGAAAUGUGAGUAAUGAGUCAUAAAUCCAGACUUUAUUUUUCCGCAAGUCAACUCGUGUUAGUACCCAAUGCGCGCCGUCCAAGUUAACAGGGAUGAGUAACUGUAUAUUAAAAUUGAAAAACAUGUUCGUUAUAUAUGAAAUUGAAAUACAAAAAAAAAAGCGACAACUCGAAUAUUUUCAUUAUGGAGUAUGUGAAAUGCAAUAAAAUACAUACCAUAUCGACAUCCGUCAUUGAUUUGGACAUUGUGUGUUGUUGCCCACAAAGAUAACUAUUCAAGCGGUCGUCGAAUACCAAUGAAUCGACCGAACAAUCCCCGUUAUUCCAUAACUGAUUCAAGAACACCUAGUACAUAGAUAACCAAGAAAUGCAUAAAUGAACAAAACUUAAAGGCAAUAAUUAAAAAAAAAUUAAAUAGUAUUUAUAAGUUUUGUCGGCACGUUACCCAAAAAAAUGUGUCAGUAUGUGUGACACGUUGGAGUAAGGCAUUUGGAUACUGUCAUUGUUUCUCGCUAAUCAAGCGUAGAUACUUGUGAAUAUGCUGUAGAGAAACAAAAAUAUUACGAUUUAAAAGAAAAAUUUUGGUGAAACAAAUCCACAACAGUAUACAUAACUUCGGAAAUAUAAAUACCUCAUCGCCUAGCCAUCCCAUCGAAGCUGUACCCAAAAGUAUUUGAAAGAAUGACCGCGGGUGCUGGACUCUCCGACGGACUCUGCUAUCACCAGUGAACCAUUGAUCAAACUCAGCAAACAAACUAGAGUCCUCCAAUCCUCUCAGUGGAUUUACAUCCACACUCGUACUUAUGUCAAUCGCAUGCUCCAUAUUUGGGGUCGAGGUAAAGGCCGGACGUUCUGUCCUCGCCUGACCGGAGGAAUCAUGUAAGGACUGUUAUAAACAUACGACGGUAUGUACGCGUGGCCGAACUUACUAACGCCCGGAGGCACUUCAGUGAACACCUGCACGCUCUCCCCACUAACAUCCCCGUAGAAACUAUACAACGACGUGGGCGUAGACAUAUUUUCAUUGCCCACGUCAGUAUACACUCCAUAGUCAUCUGGGGUCUGUCUAUUCGCCAAGAAGAACAUAUUAAACAACUAUCAAAUUAAAAGUUAAACGAACAUAAUUAUUAAAUUUAAAUUUGCUCACCGCAUACGAGCGUGCAGUGGGAGAAUCCUUAUUUGGAUGUUUAGAAAAUGUGUCGAUGAAGCCAACAACGAUUUCUUUAAAAUCUUUUAAUUCUGACUUUAUUUCAUACACGUUACGAUCAAUCUUAUCCAGCCGUUGUUGUAUGUAAUCAUUAAACUGCUUUGUCCUCGACUAUUACAAAAGAAAAAAUAAAACUUUAGAAUAACAAUAAAAAAUUUAUAAUUUAUAAAGGAAAAAUAUCGUAUAUUAUUUAUAACCUCAGAAUCCCGUGCGUCAUCAGAGUUGUCUAUUUGCUGCUGGUGGUCAUCACCAGCCACCUCAUCCUCAUAAGUGUCAUGACACUGCUCUGGUAUUGGGUUUGGUAUGUCAUCAUGAUCGUCAUGCUCGUCUGAUUGCCUUGUAACCGACGGCAUCGCGUUGAUUGAGGGUUGGUGCUGUAUAAAGUAUCAUUUAAAAUUAGUAAAUGAAAAGUCAAAAUUUUCGAUUAAACAUUUUUUAGUACUUAGAGUAUACCGACCUUAUGAACCCAGUCUGGAAUGCUUGGCAAGUAAUCCUUCACAGAGAGCCAAUAAUUUCUGCUACUCUCCUUUGAAUUUGGCUCAAGAGUUUGUAAAACGUCCCCCUGCCAUAAAUUCAAUUGAAAAUUUUAAGUAGGUAUGCAUAACUUAAAUUUAGUAAAGUAAAAAAAAUAAGUAAUACAUAUUACUUACAAGACGAGAUUCGUCGUUGAAGAACGAAUAAACCUCCGCAAAGUUGAUUCUCGAAGACGCCAUGGGCUUCCAUUGCAGAAUGCGAGGAAUCUUAUUCUUCGUUUUGAUGACCCAUGUUGAUGGCAACCCUCCGAUUGCUUCGUAAAUCCAAGCCUACAACAACCAAAGUGAAAAAUCAAAUAAAACAACUAUCAAAUAUUUAAUACUAUAAAACUUAUUAAUAAACAAAAAAAAACUCACCUGAACCCCAGACGUAAAGCCGUAAAGAUUGUAUUUUUCAAUGUUAUGAUCUGGAUUUUUCAACCGAGUCUUCUUAAAUUUCUCGUCUUUCUCGAACAGUGCAUUGUCAAGACUCUCAUAAAUCAUUUCCCACGACAAUAGACCCUAUAGACGCUUUCGGAAGUACUGUAUAUCAUCAACUUCGUCAAGCCAAUCGAAAUUGAUUUGACAGUGAUUUUUUCUUGCAUUUAGUACUCUGUCCGCAAAAUAAAAUAGCGCAAUCUUUAAUGCGUCCAUAUCGUCCAUUUCCUCGAAUUUCAACUCCUUAAAUACUGCAUCGAAUUGGUUCACAUUAAUCUUACGAUGCACACCACCAAAAUACGUAUUUUGUAGCCUCUGCUCCAUUUCAUCAUUUUUUUGAUUGGUAUCAACACCAAAUGAAAGUCUAGUAACCAAGCACCAUUCGACAAUUGACAAGCGAAUCAAAUGCUCACUAAUUUGAAACCAUAACUGAUCUUCACGACUAUCUUCUUCAUGGACCACUUGCCUCAGUAAAAGAUUGUGCAAAAUUACCCCACUAAAUGGAAAACUUCGACACUCCAAGAAAUGCCCAAAUAUAUCCUUUUUGAACAUACUCAACUGCCGCUUUGUUAAUUUUUCCUCGAUGGCUUUUACGACCGAAGAUAACUUACACAUGCUCGAAAUUCGACCAGGAAAGUGAUCGGCAUAACGAAAAUACAUCUUGCCUACUUCGAUAUCCGGUGAUUCUGAUUUCGCCAUGUAUCUGUAAUAUUUAUAUAAUUAUUACAUUACAUUUACAGAAAAAAAAAUUGACUCUUUAAAAAAAAGGACACUCUAAUUUUUGGUGCGACAGCUGCCCAGCGAUGGGCACGCGCGCGCGUGCCCUACUCCCCUCCCUCCCCACCCCCAAAAUUAAGCCACAACACUCCAAAAUCGAAAAACAAUACUCCCAAACACCACUAACCACCACAAACAUCACCACCACCACCAUUAUUCUCAAGCUAUAACUAUUAUUAUUCUAAAAUCUCAUUUUAAAUUAAUGAAAAUAAGAAAAAUGACUAACCUAGGUUUUGUUUAAGGUUGUAGAUCGUAGAUCGGAUGCCGGUGAGAGAUGGAGCCGCCGCCGACGAGGGUUGAUGUCGCCGCCGAUGAUGGGAGUUGGAUCGGUUUGGGAGAGAUGAGUGAAAGGGAGUGUUGGGGAAGAGAUGAGGGAGGGGUAUUUUGGUCUCAAAAGUUGUUUUAUGGCUAAUGUUGAUAGAAAUAUUUUUGAGGGGUUAAGAUGAAAAACAUCAAAACUUUAAUAGUUAUUACUGUAAAUUUCCCCCAGUUUUUGAACUUGCCGAGAAUAAAUUCUAUACUGUCCAUAAAUAAAUGUUUGUCUCUUCUGUCAUCAUUUGAUCCUUCGAGUUUUUCAAUAUUAAUUUUAAAUAGCAAAAGAAUCUCUUUUGUUUGUUAUGGGAGUGUGACUUGUCGGGCCCAACAAACGGUUUUUUUCCCUCAAAGUUCCAUACUUCUAUUUAUGUCCUAGAUCUUAAACCCCUUAAAGGUCAAAUCAACUCUGGGACCCUUUUUAUCUCAUAUUAAAGUCAUAAACAAUCACCUUAAAUUUAAAGACAGUACCCCAACAUAUUAAAUAAAUUUUAAAUUUAAUAAUUUACAUAAUAAUAUUAAAUAAAAUUCAAUUAUAAUUUAACAAUCAACAAUUUAUAUCAAUUCAACAUAAAUAACAUACAACAACACUAUAAAUUCACAAACAAUAAUUUCAUAAUAUAAAUCAAACAUAAAAAAAAAUUAAAAAAAAUAAAGGUAAACCGAUUUAUUACAAUAUUCUCUAAUUAUUAUUAUUAUUAUUUUAGUAUAUUUUUCAUAGUUAAUGAAAUUAUAGAGUUAAUUAUGCUUAUACAUUUAAAUAAAUAAUUUAAUUUAUAUAAUUUUCAAUUGAAAUUGAAAUUUAAUUAAAUAAAUAAUUAAAUUAUAAAAUAAUGCGGAUCCAGAUAUCCAGUUAUUCGGAUCCGCACGAAUCUUGAUUUUUAAGAUUUGGAUCCAUAUUUUUUAACAUGCAGAUCCAGAGUUUAUUGCCAACCCCAACACUAUUUCAUUUCUGGAAACAGACUUUUAUUUAUUUAUUUUUUAGAAAAAGAAGAAUAAAAAGAAAUACUAUGUCUACUUACUUGGCUCCAAGUAUAAUAUUAAUAAAGAAAUAUAUAUUGAUUAUUUGAUGCCACCUUACAAUGCCAAAUUUAGAGAAAAUUGUUACGAAUAAUUAUUGGAAAAUGAAAUGAAACAAAAAAUUGUUACCUGAUGAAGCACCAUCACAUCCUUGAGCUUUAAGACAAUAAAAGUCGCGUAAAUUGGGGGACCCGCAAAGUCGUCGUGUAAGUUUGCUUUACGUGAUUUGAAUAAGUUUGCUAAUUUCAAAAGAAAUGAAAAAGAAUAAUUGAAAAAUCAAAAUGCACUUCUAUCUUGCCACCACUCGGCACUCACCCUCUCGACUAAAUGUCAUUUUCUUUGAACUUUCAUGGCUUCUAAGCUCCCAUCAAGAAUUAGAAAUUCACAAAUCCAACCUUUAUUAUCUCAGCGAUACAUCCCGAUUCCAAACUUUACCUCAUAAGCGAUUAUUGGUAACAAGCACCAUUUUUGUCAAUUGCAUAUAUAUAUUUGGCUGAACGGUCAAUUCUAUUUUACUUCUGACGUAGCAAGCACGUCCCAUUCCCCACACACCAUUAUCUUGCCACCACUCACCCUCUCGACUAAAUGUGAUUUUCUUUGAACUUUCAUGGCUUCUAAGCUCCCAUCAAGAGUUAGAAAUUCAUAAAUCCAUCCUUUAUUAUCUCAGCAAUACAACCUUUAUAAGCCGUGGGGUCAAUUGCAUAUAUAUAUAUAUAUAGGGCUGAACGGUCAAUUCCAUUUUACUUCUGACGUAACAAGCACGUCCCAUUCCCACACACCACUACUUUUUCACAAGUUUACCAUUUGGCUUUUGAGUCCAGUGGUGCUAAUUUUUGAAGAUACUCUUACUGAACUGAGUGACCAAUUUCUUUUAUGCUAAAUGUAUCCUGUGAUGCAGAAGAAGAAGAAGAGUUGCAUUCUGAAGUCAAUAUGAUGCAAAUAAGCUGCCCUCGCCAUCAUCACCUUCAACCCGCAUCACUUUAAUCCUUCAAGGUAGGGGUGUUCGCGGAUCGGAUUUUACGGAUUGGACAUCAAUCCAUAUCCGAUCCAUGAUUUUGCGGAUUAUAAUUUUUCAAUCCAAUCCAAUCCACGGAUUGAUAAAAUUCAAUCCAAAUCCAAUCAAUACAUCUGCGGAUCGGAUGCGGAUUUGACUCAAUCCGUAUGCAAUCCACCAUUUUACGCAUUAGUUUUCGAAUUAAAAAUUUUUAGUUCUCUCCAACUAAUGAAAUAAAAAAAUCUAAUAUAAAAAUAAUUUUACUACCAAUUAAAUUUAAAAUUGAAUAAAAUUUAAAUAAAUUAAUUGUUUAAAUAAAGCUAAAAUAAUACAUUUAAAGUUUCAAAAUAUAACACAUCGAGAUUAAGUAUUCAAAUAAAACUACAAUAAUACGUUCAAAGUUUCAAAAUAUAACACACCAAGCUUAAUUGUUCAAAUAAAAUUACAAUAAUACGUUAAUAUAACACCGAAAUUAAUUGUUCAAAUAAAGCCACAAUUAAUUGAAAUGACGAAGUUUCGGAAACCAAACACUGUCUGAUCCUUCACCAGGGUUGUUACUAGGGUUGUUGCGCCUGUCGAAAAGUGAUGAUUACGGAGCCAUCCACGAUGGGAACCACGAGAAGUCAUACGGGUGGCGAUCUUGAAGGUUGUGAUAGUGAAAUUGUUCAACUGAAACUAAUGACUGUGAAGUGGCUUGAUGGACUUGGGAAAGAAGAUGGCUUGCUUUCGCCGAAAUCGCGCAGCCGAUGUCCUUUAAAUCCGUGUCGAGAGUGUAUCCAACCAGUAUUGAGUGUUGCUAGUGUGUGUGACGGCGGGGAAGCUUAGGGUUUUUUGUUUGCAAAUUGUUGGUGACUUUGCGUUAUGUUACUUUGCUUUUACUAGUGCGUGUGACUUUAUUUUUAUUUUGUUUUAAAAUUUUUACAAGUUAUAUUUGUAUAUUUGAUUAUUUAAUUAUUUUUCAUUUUAUAUUAUUAUUGGGUAAUGGCUAAGAUAUGUUAUAAUGCUUAGUAACUAUGCAAUGUCACAUUUAUAAUUUUUUAAUUAUAUAUAUAUAUAUAUAUAUAUAUUUUUUUUUUUUUUUUGCGGAUUCACGAAUUUCUGCGAAUUUACAGAAGUAAAUCCAUAUCCAAUCCAUCGACUAUGGAUUUUUAAAUUUUCAAUCCAUAUCCAAUCCACCAAUCCACGAAUCGGAUUUAUACGGAUCAGAUUCAGUCGAUCGGACAUAUUGGAUUCUGAACACCCCUACUUCAAGGCAUAUGCCUACACUUUUCUUACAUUUUUAGUCAUUAUGAGCUAAAUUUUCAGCACAUACAUAAUGUUAUUUCUUUAUAUCAAUAUAUCGAUGUGUCUAAGUUUAAUUAAACUCAAAUUUUAAACUUUUGAAAGUAGAGAUUAAUUGAAAAGUUUUUUUAAAAUAUUAAAAAUUUUAAAAUAUUCACCACUUUUUUAACAAUCUUAUUUUAUUCCUUUAUAGCAUAACUUUAAAAAAAAUUAAUUAUUAAAAUAAUUUUUAGUUUUUAAUAAAAACUCUCAUUAACAAUCAAACAACUAUUAUUAUUUUUUUGUGUGAAAACUUUACCAAAAAAAAAAAAAACUCUACUCAAAUAAGCUCUAUUUGAAAAGUUUUACUGAAUGGAGUCUCAAUAAAGAAAAAAUAACUCAUUUAAUCUUUAAAAGUUCUUUUAAAAAACAAUAAAAAUUUUGAAAAAAUUUUAUGAGAUUAAAUAAGUAUUUAUGAUAAUUAAAUAACUCAUACCAAAUAGGCACAUAAUUAUAAAAUGAUAUACUUUAAUAUUUUUCAUAGUGAUUUGAUAUUUUGUAAUUCUAGUAAUAGUUAGGUGAUAAUAGCUCCUUUUAGAAUUAUAAAAUCAUAUGUUAGCUUUAAUAACAAAUUAGAAUUGACAACAUUGUUGUAAUGUAAAAAACAUUAUUAAAUUUAGUUUCACUAAAAGAAAAUAUCGUAACACACUUGUGAACAGACCGUUUGUAUGCUUAAUUUAAAGAUUCGAAUUAGUUGAGUUAAUUAACCGUUUGUAGACUUUGAGUUAAUAAACCUGAGUUAAUUGAUAAGAGAUGUGAUUUCUAUCCACCCUCCCAGUGCGUUGCGUCAUCCCAGCCCCACUGCAAUGCCUUUGGCCUUUUGCCUUUUGCCUCCCUCCCAAUGCCUUGUUCACUUCAUUUUCAUGAUGCCUAUAAGAACUGCGAGUUAGGCACACACUCCUGAGCAGGUCGGUUUUGUGCAGAAGAAGAAGAGUUGCAUUCCGAGAUCAAUAUGAUGCAUAUAAGCUGCCCCUGCCAUCCUCGACAGAACUUUGAUCCUUCAAGGUUCCCAAGUACACUUUUCUUACAUUUUUAGUUGUUAUGAGCUAAAUUUUCAAUGCAUACUGUUCUUUCUUUCGUUCAUAUGAAGCUUAAUUAGUUUUGUCAACUCUUUUGGCAUUUCUUACUUGACUAUAAACUUAGUUAAGAGCACCCUGUGAUCUGGAGAGUAAGGGCUAGAACUUGAUGGCGCCAUGUUAGACUAGUGUAUGAGGCUUGUUCAUGCAGUAAUAAUUGGUCUUGAUGCAGGCAAUUUUUUUUUUUUUUAAGCUAAAGAAAGUUAAGUUUUAGAAGAUCAUUACUUCUUUAAACCCAGUAAGCGUAUAAGUUUCUCUUCUUUUGGGUUUUGUAGAAUUAUUCAUUUUCUCCUUAAUUCCCUUUAUCAUGCUCUACCAUAACUGAGAAACAUGGCAGCAGCGGCGGGUCUACAGGUGGGCUACAACGGGCUGUAGCCCGUUCUUGAUUAGGAAAAACUUAUUUAUAUCCCUUAUAUUUUCAUCAAUUUUAUAUAAUAAUAUAGUUUUUAUUUUCUUUCAUGUAUGUCCCUAACUCAAUUACCCUUAUAUUUUCAUCAAUUUUAUAUUAUAGUAGAACUUUUAUUUUAUUUUCAAAUAUGUCCUUAAUCCAAUUAUAUUUUUUCCAUUUGAAAUUAGUUACUUAUUUAUAAAAUGAUUAAAUUGUACAUUUAUUGAAUAUAUUGAAAACAUUAGGGGGCCAAAUGUUGCUACUGCUUUAUUUUAAAAUAUUCUAAUUGAAAAAAAAUAUGUCAAUCUAAUAUAAAAUUUUCACUAAUAUUAUAAGUACUUACAAAAACAACAUGUAAUAGCAAUUAUCAACAUUUUCAUAAACUUUUUAUGUGAAUUUUGAGAUUUCAUUUAAUAGUAAGUUAGAAAAUAAAAUUUGAGUAUUUUGAGAAGUUUUUCAUAAAAGAAUCAUCAGCAUAUGAUUCUUCAAAGAGAGUCAGAGCACUUACCAAAGAAACAACGGCAUUUAAAUACAUUUUUAUUAGAUGAGUUUAGUUUAUUAUUGAAAUUUUUGACUAACAAUAUAUUUAUAAUUUUAAAAGAUGAAUAAAUUUUUUAGUUGUUUAAUUUAUUUAAGCCUACUAAUUAAGUACUUGACUUCAAACAUUAAAGUUUUACUUGCGAGUUUUAGUUGAUUGUAAUUACAUGCAUUGCUUUAAUUUUAGCUUAAAAUUCUUAAUUGAUUUAUUAAUCGUUAUAUAAUUAUAUUUUAUUGAAGGUUGCAAUGUCGGAUUCCAUAAUUGAAAAAUUGGGUUUUCAUAUUUGAAUUACCUUUUGUUUUCUACUCUUUUUUUAUAAGUAUUUUCAUUUCGAGUACGUAUUUAUAAGAAUAAUGUUCUUCAUGUCCCUCUUAUUUGAUGCACUUCUUCCUACUUAUGAAUUUUUAUAAUCACUUCAAAAUAUUAUUUUUUUAAUUUAGCCCAAGAUAAUAUAAAUUCUUGGGUCUGCCCUGCAUGGCAGAGCAUGAUGAAUAUUAUUAUUUAAUAAUAAUAAUCAUACCAACAGAAAGAAUGAUUCAUAGAUGAUCAAUCAACAUUACUUAAUCAAGAAAUAACACAAGAACAUCAAGAUUGAGUCAAAGAGACAAGAUUAAACACGGCAAAAAUGAUCAAUUACAAAAAAGCUCACACAACAGGACACAACAUAAACAGGAAAAUUAAUUGACCUCACUCUUCUUAAAAUGAGUGUAUCUUAAAAAAAAAAUGGAAUUACAUAUCAUCUAAACAAAAAAUCCUGCAGUUACUCAACAUAUCAAAUUAGAGUCCACACAAUCACUCAAUGCAAAUUAUUUACACCACAAUGUUUUGACUUUUAUUUACGUAAGUUAUUUCAGAGCUGAACUUGAUCAAAUUAGGAGUUAGAGAGUUUCGAAUAUUGACUCAUUAUAUUGUAAAGUUCGUAAAUAUGUCUAUUGGGCUGGGUGUUUUUCUCAUAUAUAGGAAGCUUUCCUUUUGAUUGUUAAAAUUAAUUCGAUGGUUUUGCAGCGAUAACAAUUUCAUUUCCUCAAUUCCAUACCCACAAGUUUUUGGAUAUCUCAUCCCGACUUUAGCCACUAUUAUGGGUGCAUAUGUACAAGGCACAACUAAGUCAUUGAUGGAAACUCAUAGAGUAAGCUUGUGUGUUUCUCUGGUGGCCAUAAUCGUCCACUACAUUGCGUUUGCUGCCGAUAAGAUGCCUCGACGCCAUCAAGCAAACUUUUCACAAUUAUGGGGCCUCAUCGCCAUUGUCUUUGGAUCUCUUUCAGCAGUGUCGUUGAUCUCCACAUUUUUCACGCAGUCAGUUGCUGAAAUCAUUUGCUACGUUGCAUUGAGUUGCACUGCUAUUAUCAUAGUUGUGUACCAAUAUGUCAGAAAGCUUAUGGAUGCUUGUCAUUGGCUUUACCACGAAAUUUUGAGGCCAUUUUUCAGCAAGAUCUUGAAUUGGUUUCAAGCUCAUUGUUACAACUUCUCUUCGACGGAACAGCCGCAACGCCCCACAGUGUAAUUGAAGAAGUUUAAUAUUUAUUUUAAAAUUUCAUCCAAGAUACUUUACAGAGAGAUUCCACUUAUGUUUCCAAAUUUCAAUAGAUCAAAAUAUAUACUCAAUAAUAUAUAGUUUUUCAUUCAAUAAUAUACAAUUUAUUUGAUAAUUUUUUAAGAUAGUUAAAUACAUUGAAUUAAAUUCUAAGAGUAAAUAUGUAUGUUGUAUAUCUGAUGUAAAAAAAAUAUAUUCUUAGUUUGCCAAUAAAAUUGGAACAGGUCUCACUGUAUUUGUUCCCUAAUUUCAUGAAUUUUAGCUCUCACUCUCAUUCAAUGGAUCAAAAUAUACACUCAAUAAUAUAUGGUUUGUCAUUCACUAAUAUAUAGUUUUUGAUAGUGCAUUCGUAUUAGAUUUUUAUAUGCAUUGUUUUAUUGUUAUUAUAAAAUAUAAAUAUCUGUAUUGUUUGUGUUUUUUUGACGAAUUAGAGACUUGAUAUCAACUGUAAAGGGAGAGUAGUAGAUUAUUUGGGUGACAAGAAAAGUCCACAUAUUUAUUGUUUGUGUUUGGGGUAAGGGCUUCGUUUCUACCCUGAACAUUGGCUCUAAGGAUAUCCAUGAAUGACAUUUAAAAUAAAAUAAAAAAGAAUUAAAAAUAAGAAAGAUGUGUUUUGAUGUGAAUAAAAAAUUAAUAACAUAUUUUUCUUGUAUCGUUGUUAUUUUAUAAAUUUUUUUAUUAUAAAUUUAUGAAAUAAUAAAAGAAUACAAGAAAAAUAUGUUAUUAAUUUUUUAUUCACAUCAAAAAAUAUUUUUAUUUUUAAUACUAUAAUUUUUAUUUUUAUUUAUAUAAUUUAUAAAUAAAUAUAUAUUAAAAAUAUUGUUAAGAGUUAUUAACUAUUAUAAAAGUAAUAAGAAGUAAGUAAAUACAAUCUUUCAAAAGAAAAUUUUAACAUUUACUAUUUGAUAAUUUUUCAGGAUAGUUAAAUUCAUUGACUUAAACUCAUAAAUUCUGCUAGUCACUAUAUCCACCGCAAUCUCAUUUUUAAAAGAAAAAAAAGUUUAAUUACCAAUAAAAUUGGAAAAUGUGUCAUGCCGUUAUUAAUGUCGAAAACUUUUGACUAUAUUAACGUACUUAACUAAUUAUACAUCUAAAUGUGAAGAAAGAAAUUAGCAAAGAAUAAAAUUUAAAAUUUCCUAGUACUUGAAAUUCGGGGAAAAAAAAAAAAGAAAAGGCCAAAUUUCAGUAGCUCUCGGCCCCGCACUUUCGGGGUAAAAAAAAAAAAAACCCCAAAACACAUCAGCUUUCUCUCUCACUAUCAUUCGAAGAAGCAUCGUCACAAUCAUUUGAAAUUCUAUAAUCUCAGUUUCAAUGAAGACGAAGAGGCUUGGUUUAAAUAUCGGCUUUCAUCAUGCAUUUUCAGGUUUAAUUUCAGUUAAUCUGACCAAAUUUGAUGGAUUUGUUCCCUAAUUUCAUGAAUGUCAGCUAUCACUUUCAUUCGAUCGAAGAAGCUUUCACUUUCGUUUGAAAUUUUUGAUCUCGAUCGGUUUCACUGCAAAGGAAGAGGUUUGGUUUUAAUCUCGCUUUUAUUCAAGAAUUUCAUGUUUGUAUGCGUUUAAUCGCACCAAAGUUGAUGUGUUUCUCCUCUAAUUUAUGGUUAGGGAUCUAAUUUAUGCCUCUUGAUGUAAAAAAUUUAGAUUUGGGCUUUGAUUAUUUGAUUAUUAAUUUUGUAGCGUUUGGAUACUGUUGAACAGAGUGAAUUAAUCCACAUCAAGUAUGUAUUGGAACUAUUAGGCUGAAACCAGAUGGCUUCUGUUUACUAAGCAAUACAAGAAUUGAGUUAUAAUUAGGUCUGUUUACUAACUUAUCUGUACUAUCAUCUUUUUUAAUUCAUUCUUUAAGCUAAAUUAGGGUAUUAGAAACAGAGCUGGGAAAGAAAUUAGUACCUGCAUUCAUUUUAGUGGAUCUUGGACCAGCUUGUUCAUUCAUCUACAACUAUUAGAGUUGCACAACUCCGUUCAUAUGCCCCCAGUGUUGGCCACAGCUGUCUUGUGUGCAUGUAAUUUAGAGAAUAAAUAAAUUUAAGUGUAGACUAAUAUUUCUUUUCUUUUAUGAUAUGUCCAAUGAACCACAUUUUUCAAUUAUACUUUUUUUUCCUCCCCUCAAAAAUACAUAUCCUUCCUAGUACUUUUCCAAUGGAUCUCAUUUGUUUUCUCCCUAAUACAUUUUUUGCAGUUAGAGGUGCCUCAAAAGCAAUUACUCAAGGAGAGAUGUGCUUUGGCAUGGAUUAUGUUGGAUAUUUAGUCUUUUUCUUAUGGAACUAAUGACACAUCUAUUUUAUUACAAUGCCUUUCCAAUUGGAUGAGUUUAUCAGAAAAGAUAGGCUUCAUGUUGGGACGUCUUUUGAUCUCCAUUUUUUGUCUAGUAACUAAUUUGUUCAAUAUUUACUUGUGGCAUGUGGGGACUGUCAUCUCCUUUGGAUGUACUCAUCAUUGUAUAUGGUGUAAAUGGUGACCUUCAUUACCUUAAUUUUUUUAUAUGUGGAUUCGAGGCUUCUUACGUGCUUAUGUGAAUCUUUUUUUAGCACGAUCAUUUCAUAAAUGUUACUCUAUGGCUUCCAGAAUUUCUGAAGAUUUUUUCAUGGAAUAUUCUAUGUUUUACCUUUCAAGGGGUUAAAAGUGAGAAAUGAAUUAAUUGGACUCUGGAAAUUGGUGUAGCUAUUCUGUGGCCUAGUAGCUCUUAAAAUUUUACAAAACUCCCUUUCCUUGUUAUUUGAUUCCCUCUCAUAUUUGGUAUGCUGAAUUACAGGUCUAUCAAUGGAAUCUUAGAUUAUAUGUUAUGUGGUUUUCAGAUGUGCCUAUAUUGUACUUAGAUGGUAUUAUGAGCAAAUUGCUAGUGCUACUUCAGGUAUAUUGUCAGAACAAUCAACACCCAACUUAUAAUACAUACGUUUAUAUCAGAUUUACUGUAAUGAACGAACAAUGCCUUCCUCUAAAUUUUUCAUUUUUGGUGCCAGAAUGGAAAACAAAUAGUGCAAGAAGGUGUAUUAAUUGCCUUGGCAUCAGUUGCUGACUCAUCUCAGGUAUUUUAUAAAAUAUGCUUUGAUUAGAAGCUAUUACUUAUAGAAACCUGUCUGACAGGAUGAUCUUUUUUGGAGUAGCUACUCGGAUGGAAACUUCUUUAAAAAGGGAAAAAAAAAAUUAGGGAAGCAAAGUUUAUGUUGAAUUAAAAGAAAAGGUAUCUACAAAAGUGAACAAUCCGUCGCUCCUUAUAAUACCAGCUUCUGCAUUUGAAGUUCUCUCUCUCUCUUUUUUUUUUUUUUUUGGGUUGAAAAGAAUAUUUCUAGAUACAUAUAAUGCUCUUUACUGUCUGUUCACCUAAUAUUUAACUAAUUUUGAAGGCUCUAGAUUUUAUUAAUGAGAAACCAGGAGUCCGUCCUUGUAUUGAUUACCACAACAGCUGUUGAUUGCUGUGGUUUGUCUUUAACACAAGAACUUAAAAUUUUGAGUUUCAUUUUAUCCAAAAGCCUAACUUUCAAUGUUUUCAGACUAACCAUCCUUUCUCCACUAAAUCAGAAAACAUAUGAUCAGUAAUGAACUUAGAGAUUCAGUAUCUUAAUUUAGUGUAAGUAGCCCUACUAUAUAACAAAUUCAGUCUUCGGAUUCUGCAAUUCAAUUUUUCUUGAUAAGUUUACUUUUUUUUUUCUUUUUUGUCCUCAAAAUGUAACUAAUUUUCUUUAUCUUCAACUUUCUUCAAUGCUCAGGAACCAGUGAAACCAAAGUAUUUGAUGAGAGCAGCUCACUGAGAAGUGAUUACUUGACUGAGGUAAGAGCCUGAUUUCUAUAAACAGUACAAAAGGCCUUUGCGGAUGACUUGCACAGAUUUUAAAAUAGUCGCAACGUAAAUAUAGAUUUAUUGCCAUUUAGAUUUUUAGACUUUUAAGAAGCAAAUAAAUAAUUAAUUAAAGAAAGUAGUUUUAUCAGACAAAAUUCAUAUUAUCCUUAAAAUUCAAAAAUCAUCAUAAAAAAUUAAGUUUCUCUCCCCCUCUCUUACUCUCAGUCUUGUUCAACCCUUCGCCUCUCAGCCUUGCUCGAUAGUAAUUUAUUGAUUUCAGUUUUAGGUAAGCUCUGUCACUGCAAACUUUUGGUCAUGUGAAUUUUUGUUAUUGCAUAGAUCUUAAUUGGUCAAAUUGAAGGGGAGAAAGUUGCUGAUCGCAAAGCUGAUUCUGAAAGCACUUCUUCACUUUUUCAGUAUGAUUUUACAGAUUCAGUAUGUAAUUGAAGUUCUAAAGCAAUGAUUUAGAGUAUUUAGAUGAAUGGUUUAAAUUAAUCCAUCAAAGUUGUGGUUUAUACACAUGCAUCAUCAUGGGAACAUCUAAUUAGAUAAUAGAUUUUUACUUUUUAUCCUUCUUGUCUAUUUUACUUGUGUAUGUGAGUAAGGCUGUUCUCUGUAUGUUGGAGUUGGUGAUGCAAGUUGAAACUAACCUGAUGUCGACUCUUGGCAUGUUAGAGUUGAAUUGGAAUUGCAAUUAAUUCAUUAAGAGUAACUUAUGAGCCAUGGGGUUUUCUCACUGAAUUAGAUAAUUAGAUCGGCAUUCGAUGUUUACUUGGAUAUGUGAGUAGGACUGUUCUCCAUACGUUAAAUCAGGUUGGAAAAAUUAUUUACUGAAUUGUUAUGGGUGCAAUUCAUGUGUUGAAACAUUGAAGAGUUUUAGCCUUUAUGUUACUAUCCUGUGGUUUUCUAAGGUACAAGAGACAUUAAAAAAAAAAAAAACAUAAUAUCUUAAUCACUUCUAGUAAUCCUACAAGUGCACAUGACUUUGUGGGUUUUGAAUUCAAGGAACAAAAUAGUAAGUCUAGUGGAUAAUAUUUGAAAACACAUGUAAAAUGGAUUGAAUUGCUGUAAGAUCUGUCCAAAUUAAACAGUCUAAACUAAUUUACGGGCUUGUGGGAACUAAGAUUUUUUUUUUUUUUCCUAGCAACUUCAGAGUCAUUGAAAAAUGGAAAUUUUGUCCAAAAGCAGCUUUUUGUUGUAUGAUUAAAGAGAAAUGUGAGAUUUUCAGGUUGAAGGAAGGACAAUAAAAGCGCAGAUAUGGGACACUGCAGGCCAGGAGCAAUACAGAGCAGUAAUGACUGCCUAUUAUAGGGGCGCACUGGGAGUGCUCUUUUAGUUUAUGAUGUGAGAAAAUCAGCAUUUGUAGACGUGAGCCGGUGGCUGAAGAAUCUGAGGGACCAAGCAGACUCCAACAUCGUGAUCUUGAUGAUCAGCAUUGUGAUCUUUUAUUUAAUUUUUGUUAACAACGUUGUAUUUGAAUUAUUCUCCUCAUUGUUGUUGCUGACUUGAGAUAUCAGAAUUAUUUUGUUAUGGCAGUGUGCGCUAGCAAUGUUACAGCUUACUCUGGUUUUUAGUGUAUAGUAUACUGCUUCAGUUGGAUUCUCUACCACAAGGCAAUGAAGUUGGCUUUAACAUUUUCUGAGGUCAUUUUUGUAAAUUGAUUUGACAAAAAUGGUAUUUUCCUUGUGUUUGCCUCGAACAAUUGCAAUUUUCUAGUUAUAAUGUUUUUGAAACAACAUCCAAAUAGCGUUAAAUAUCUUUUGCUAUACAAAAGUCUCCCUCAGUUUGCUAUUAUUAUUAUUCUUUUUUUUUUUUUAAAGUUCAUUGCAUUAUUAUGACCAUUACAUAGUUUGUUAUAGCAAGUUCGGAUGUUGCACUAUUUCAUUUGUGAAAACAGACUUUUAUUUAUUUAUUUAAAAAAAAGAAGAAUAAAAAAAAUACUAUGGCAACUUACUUGGCUCCAAGUAUAAUAUUAAUAAAGAAAUAUAUAUUGAGUGUGAUGCCACGUUGCAAUGGAAAAUUGUUACCAAUAAUUAAUGGAAAAUGAUAUGAAAGAAAAAAAUCGUACCUGAUGAAGUCAUGAAGCAUCAUCACAUCCUUAAGCUUUAAGACAAUAAUAGUCGUGUAAAUUGGGGACCCGCAAAGCCGUCGAGUAAAUUUGCUUAACGUGAUUUGAAGUUAUACAUAAUUGAUAAUUUCAAAAGAAAUGAAAAAGAAUAAUCGAAAAAUCAAAAUGCACUUCUAUAUUGCCACCACUCACCCUCUCGACUAAAUGUCAUUUUCUUUGAACUUUCAUGGCUUCUAAGCUCCCAUCAAGAAUUAGAAAUUCACAAAUCCAACCUUUAUUAUCUCAGCGAUACAUCCCGAUUCCAAACUUUACCUCAUAAGCGAUUAUUGGUAACAAGCACCAUUUUUGUCAAUUGCAUAUAUAUAUUUGGCUGAACGGUCAAUUCUAUUUUACUUCUGACGUAGCAAGCACGUCCCAUUCCCCACACACCAUUACUUGUUCACAAGUUUACAUUCAUUUAGCUUUUGAUUCCAGUGGUGCUAAUUUUUGAAGAUACUCUUUCGAAACUGAGCGACCAAUUUCUUUUAUGCUAAAUGUAUCGAGUGAUGCAGAAGAAGAAGAAGAAGAAGAGUUGCAUUCCGAAGCCAAUAUGAUGCAAAUAAGCUGCCCUCGCCAUCAUCACCUUCAUCUGCAGCACUUAUAAUCCUUCAAGGCAUAUGCGUACACUUUUCUUAUAUCUUUAGUUAUUAUGAGCUAAAUUUUUAACACAUACAUAAUGUUAUUUCUUUAAAUAUAUCGAUGAGUCCAAAUUUAAUUAAUCUCAAAUUUUAGACUUGUGAGAAUAGAAGUUGAGUUUUUUUUCAAAUAUUAAAAUUUCUAAAAUAUUUUUCACUUAUUUAACAAUUUUAUUCCAUUCUUUUCAUAGCAUAACUUUAAAAAAAUUGACUAUUAAAAUAAUUUUAUAAUUUUUAAUAAAAACUCUCAUCGACAAUCAAACAAAUAAUUUUUUUUAUAAAAAAUCUACUUAUAAAAAUUUUUAAAAAAACUCCAUUUAAAUAAGUAAUAUUUAAAAAUUUUUAUUAAAUGGAGUUCAAUAGAGGCAAUAUAACUUAUUUAAUCUUUAAAAAAUUUUCUUAAUUUUUUUUUUAAAAAGAACUUAUAAGAUUAAAUAAAUAUUUAUAAUUAAUAAAUUAAUCAUACCAAAUAGGUAAAACAUUGUAAAAUGAUAGACUUUUAUGGUAGUUUAUUACCGACUUGCUGUUCCUUGAUGGUAGUAAAUUGAUUGUAUGAAAGAUAAAAAUUAAUAAGAAUUUUAUAUAAUAAAAAAUUGAUUAUUUGUGUGAAGGUACAAUUAUUUUUUUGCCCUUCGAACGGGUGUGUUUUUACAUGGGCCCGUUGUGUAAGUGUUUACACACAACUUUGGAAUUUCAUAUGAUAUUUGAUUAUUUGCGAAAAAUAUAUUCAGUUUUCAACGUCCGUAGAUCUUGCUUGUCUAUAUGCAACACCAUAUGAUAUUGGCACCAGAAUCAUACAAGUUGAGGCUUGGCACGGCACGGGCCAGGGCUUUUUGAUCUGGGCCUUUAAGAUUUUGCGUUUUGCAAUUUCUUCUCUCUCUCCUCUCUUUUUUUGAGAAUUUGUGUUUUGUAAUUUCUUAAAAUUAGAGUUAAGCUCCUAGCACCUCUUUAAUUAAAACUCUUAUGAAACCCCCACUUAUUAUAUGUAUAGCUCUUAUAAUUAAAUAUUUAACAUAAUAUUUUAAAAUAAAAAUUCUUAUCAUUAUAUAAUUUAUUAUUUUAUUGUCCCUAAAUUAUUUUCAUUUUAAAAUGAUUAUUUAUAUCAUUUACAUAUGGGAGGGUUCAUGUUUUUUAAGUGUAAAAAUAUUUUAAUUCAGUUAAAUUUAUAUUUGUCCUUUUAUGUAAUUUUCCUCUAGCAAUAGAGCUACAAUUACAAAAUGUGGGGUCUUAAUCUUACAAGUAUUUUAAGAGACUGUGAAAAGCACUACUCUAAGAUUAUCUUCAUUAAAUUUCACAAAGAUAGUAACUUUUAUGGUUCUACCACCCCUCGAUUUUUCUUAUAAAGCCUUUCUUUUAUAUUUAUGAUUUCACCUUAGUAAGACCACAUAAAACAACAAAUUCAGUUUGAUUUUUUUUAACCUCUUUCUUUUGUAUAAUUUUAACCAUGGUUAAAAUAGUUAGGAUAAAAGGAUUUAAAAUAUUAAUCCUCACCGUNNNNNNNNNNNNNNNNNNNNNNNNNNNNNNNNNNNNNNNNNNNNNNNNNNNNNNNNNNNNNNNNNNNNNNNNNNNNNNNNNNNNNNNNNNNNNNNNNNNNCAUACUGACUAUUAAGAACGAUCCAUCAUCAAAAAAUGAUAGAGAAAUUUGGGCUAAGAAGUAUACACUACAUCUGUAUACUACUUUGAUGUAAAACUUUAUUAUGGAAAUUAAGUAAUUAUAUCUUAUUUUGAUGGUUUUGCAGUUUGGAAAGUUUGCAAUCAUUAUCGGCACCAUACCACACAUUAUUUCUAUUUCUAAUUCCAUUGCUUGUCGAAGUUAUUGAGACUAAUAAUAUUCAAGAUGAAAAGAAAAAUGUUGAUCGAAACAAAUCCAAUUAGUAUGUGCCUGUUUUUGUUGGCUUUACUCAUCUACGUCUUUGCAUAUUUUGUUGCCAUGAAAUCGAACCAUCAAAUAUUCAAGGCAAUUGCUGUUAUCUCAGGAUCUCUUUGUUCAGCCUCGUUGGUCUCCAUUAUUCUACUACACACAUAUGGACAUUUUAGUUUCAUUAUGUGGGCUUUUGUUCUUCUUCUUGUUGCUUAUAACAGGAGGCUUUAUAAGAAGAUUUUGUAAUUUUGGAAUAGAUUUAGAGAAAACAACCAACUACAAUUGCCAAUAUAGCUCGAUCGCCUGCUAGGUGUGGAUGAAUUAAAACUUUUACAUGCAAAGUACCAAAAAUCAUUAAGUGCUAUUAUAGUUUAUUCGCAUACACAUCUCUUAUAGUUCUUAGCUUGACCAAAUUAUGAUUUUAAUUAUCAAAAGAAGAUCUUGUACCAGUCUAAAACAUCAAGUUAGUGUUAAAUUGAUCAAUUUAUCUUAUAUUGAAGAUUUUGUUUUUUCAUUUACCUACCACAUUUAUCGUGAUGCAUUGAUUUAGGAAAAAUAAUCAAAAUCCUUGGUUGUUUAAGAAAAAAUUCAUUAACUUUAAUUUCAAAUAUUUGUUGUAUUUUUUUAACUUUUAAUGUGAUAAAUCUACCAUUAAAUAAUGAAAAAAAUCUAGAUAUACUGGUUAAAACACACCCAAAAAAAAAAGUUCACAAUUUUUUUUUUUUACAACAUGAGUAUUCCAAUGAAUUGUGAGAGGGGAAUUGAUUAAUUUCUACAAACCGAAUGAGGUUUAAUAACACAUAUUUCAAAAGGUAUUAUUAAUAAAAGUAUAAAUAAAAUACAUCACUUCAAAAAAGAAAAAAAUGAAAAGAAAAUAACCAUUUGGCUGAGGAGUAUAUGCUGUUGCGUGAUCAAAUUUAUUUUUUAUUUUCCCCCACCUUGUCGAAGCUGGUACUAAAACUAACCAGUAAAAUUAAAAAAAAUAAUAAUAAAUUGGUUUUACUAAGCUAAAUGUAUAAAUCAAUUAAGCAUUUUUUUUUUCAAAAAGAAAAUUAUAUAUGCAGACACGCACAUGUGGAUGACAGCGGCGGUGGCCAAGAAGCAGCCAGAGUGGCAGCGGCGGCGACCAUGAUUGUGUUUGUAAUAUAUUUGAAUUUUGAUGCCGCAGUUUUUAUCUUUUUUUUUUUUGGAAAAUUAUCAUUUACAUGUGUAUUACAAUCAAAAUUCUAGCACAUAUUAAAUCAAUAGUCUAUCGUGGCAAUUACAUAAUUAAUUUAACAAUACUUUAAGAAUAAUGAUGUAUGCACAACAAUUUUAUAAGAGAUAGAAAAAUAUUUUUUAGUAAAGUUUUCUUUUGUUAUGUAGUAAAUUUUUUUUAUUCUACAGUGAUAGUGUACGGUUUUUUGUACUAUCUGUUGUACACAUGUUACUAUAUAUAUAUAUAUAUAUAUUUUAAUUUAAUUGCAACAUUUGGCCUAAAGCAUUGAUUUUGGGAAAAUAAUCAAAAUCCUCUGCUGUUUAAGAAAAAAGCGUAUUAACUUUAAUUUCAAAAUUUUAUUGUAUUUUUUUAUUAUUUUACCUUUGAUGUGAUAAAAUCCACCAAUAAUGAAAGAAAGAUUCUGGGAUAUAUUAGUUAAAAAAACAAAAAAAAAAAGAUAAAAGUUCACAUAUUUUUUUUUUCUUUUAACAACAUGAGUAUUUUGAUGAAUUGCGAGAGAGAAUUGAUUAUUUUUGACAAGAAAAACAUGGGUAUUAAUCAUUUUCAUGAUUUAUCACCUAUGUGCAAAGUACAAAUAAAAAUACAACAAUAGAACAAUGAAAAGAAAAUUACCGUUUGGCUGAGGGGUAUUAUGCUGUUACCUGAUCAAUAUUUUUGGGCCCACUCUCUCUCUUUGUUUUUUACAAUUAAAAAUUAAAAAAUAAAAAAAAAAUCACAGGAAAAUCAAGGAAAUCUAAACCUUAUCCUCAUGACAACGGGUUUUUUAUUUAAAUAUACUUCAUUUGUCCUUAAAUGCCAAACCUAUACCCUAUUACAUACAUAUACCUCAUAAAAGUGUAAAAAGUCAAAAAUAACCUAAAAAAAUAUCUAUUUACGUUUAAUUCUUCUCUCAUGACUUCUACAUAAUAACACAACCAAAGUCGAGUAUACUCGACUUUUUACCUGAUUUAAUUAAAAGAAAAAUUUUCAUUUCAAUUUAAGUUGAGUAUUCUCAACUAAUUACCAAACUUCAAUGAAAAGUUAAGAAUUUUUAUUGAAUGAAUAUUGGGUAAAGUUAAAUUAAAGUCGGAUAUUCUCGACUCUUUACUCGACUUACUUGAAAAAAUCGAGAAUUUUUUAGAUAAUUUUUUAUUUCAAUUGAAGUCGAGUAUUCUCAACUAUUUACCCGACUAACAUGAAAAAGUCAAGAAUUUAUGCUGAAUUAUUAAUUGUGUAUGGUUUGAUUGAAGUCGAGUAUUCUUGACUAUUUACCCGACUUCGAAGAGUUGGGUUUAGUUUUAUGAGGAUUUAGUAGUGGUUAUUUUUGUAUUUUCUCUAAUUUUUUAAAGUAUAUAUGUGUAAAAUUUAAGAGUGUUAUAAUUUUAGGUAUAUAUUGAGUAUUUUGAAGGAAAUGGGGUACAUCCCACAUAAUUCUCCCCAUGACACCACAUCAGAAACAGCACUUACCCAUUCCUAUGUUACAUGUAUACAGGUUGAAGUUGUCAUCUCUGAGUCCAACGCAAUAUUCAUCCAAUUGAUUUUUGGAGACACCAAAACAAGUCUCGAGCACUUGAUGGCCCCCGUGGAGAUUGGAGAGGCUUUUGAUAAAUUUUAUGAAAUGAACUAACACACAUAAAUUGGAUAUAUAGAUGAUCGAGAAGAAACUCCAGCGACUAGGCCCCAGAUAUAGCUUUCGCUCCCUUGUCUCUAAAGGAAUUUGCCCAUCUAGUGAUUCCAAAGUUCAGUUAAUUUUCUAAAAUGAUUUUCUAUAUAUAUAGAGAGAGAGACAGAGAGAGACAGAGAGAGAGAGGCGUUGAAUUAAAUUCUUAUAGUAAAUAUACACAUUGGAUAUCGUUUUUAUAAAAAAAAAAAUGUUUGCUAUACCAAUAAAAUUGCAACAGGUGUCUUGGCAUUGAUUAAUGUCAGCUUUACGUUUGGCUGAAACUGUGUGGGUUCUGUUCACUAACUUAUCUGUAUUAUCGUCUUUGUUAACACAUUCUUUAAGCCAUAUUAGGGCUGUAGAAACAGAGCUUGAAAAGAAACCAGUACCUGCAUUCUUUGUGGUGAAAACUUGGGCCAGCUUGUUCAUUCAUAUACAACUAUUAGAAUUGCUCAACUCCAUUUACAAUGCCUUUGCAAUCAGAUGAGUUUAUUAGAAAGGAUAGGCUUCAUGUUGGGAGCUCUUUUGGUCUUCUCUUAUUGUCUAGCAACUAAUUUGUUCAACACUCCCUAGCGGUAUGUGGAAACUGUUAUCUUCUUUGGAAGUACUCAUAUUGUACAUGGGGUAAGUGGUGAUCUUCAUUACCUUAAUUUUUUAUAUCUGGAUUCCAGGCUUCUUACAUACUUAUGUGAAUCAUUUUUUAGCACGGUCACAUUAUAAAUGUCACUCUAUGGCUUUCAAACUUUUCUGAAGUUUUUUAUUUCCAUUGAAUAUUCUAUGUUUUACCUUUCAAGGGUUUUAAAGUGAAAAAUGAGUUUAUUGGACUUUGGGAAUUGGUGUAGAUAUUCUAUGGCCUAGUGGCUCUUAGAAUUUUUCAUAAACUCCCUUUCCUAGUUAUUUGAUUUCCUCUCAUAUUUGUAUGCUGAAUUACAGGUCUAUCAUUGGAAUCUUAGAUUAUAUGCUUGGAUGUGGCUUUGAGAUGUGCCUCUAUUUGUACUUAAGAUUGUAUCGUGAGCAAAUUGCUAGUGCUACCUCAGUCAACACCCGCUUUAUGAUACAUGCAUUUAUAUCACACCAUACUUUAAUGAACAAACAUUUUCUUCCUCCAAAUUUCUCAUUUUUAGUGCCAGAAUGGAAAACAAAUAGUGGAAGAAGGUGUAUUAAUUGCCUUGGCACCAGUUGCUGACUCAUCUCAGGUACUCUAUAAAAUAUGCCUUGAUCAGAAGUUACUUCUUAUAGAAACCUGUCUGUCUGACAGGAUUUUUUUUUUAGUAGCUACUCGGAUGGAAACUUCUCUGAAAAGAAAAAAGAAAAAAAUAAGGAAGCAAAGUAUAUGGCGAAUGAAAAGAAUAUAUCUAGGUACAUAUAACGCUCUUUCUUGUCUGUUUACCUAAUAUUUAACUAGUUUUGAAGACUGAAGAUUUAGUUAAUGAACAACCAGAAGGAGUCCGUCCCUGUAUUGAUUACCACAAGAGCUGUUGGUUGAUGCGGUUUGUUUCUAACACAGAAACUUUAAAUUUUGAGUUUCAUUUGAUCCAAAAACCUCAAUUUCAAUGCUUUCAGACCUUUCUCUACUCUAAAUCAGAAAACAUAUUAUCAGUAACGAGCUUAGAGAUUCAGGUCCAGCUUAAGGUAGUAUAAGUAGCCCUACUAUAUAACGAAUUCAGUCUUCUGGUUCUGCCAUUCUAGUUUUCUUGAUAAGUUUACUCUCCUCCCCUCACCUCCCAAAAUGUAACUAAUUUUCUUUAUUUUAAACUUUCUUCAAUGCUCAGGAACUAGUGAAACCAGAGUAUUUGAUGAGAGCAGAUGAUUACUUGGCUGAGGUAAGAGCUGAUUUCUAUAAACACUACAGAAAAAAGGUCUUUUUGCGGCUGAAAUUUAAUUAGAUUGGCAUUUGGUGUUUAUUCAUCAAGUGAAAAUCAGCGCCAAGGUGAGCCGGUGGAAGAGGGAUCUGAGGGACCAUGAAGACUCCAACAUUGUGAUCAUGAGGCAACAGGACUGAUCUGAAACACCUCGCAACUUCUAUGUUCACUUUUCAGGCUCUCGAUGGUUUAUUGUUUAAACUUAUUUUUAUUUAAUUUUUGUUAACCAUGUUGUAUUUGAAUUAUCCUCCUUAGUUGUUGUUGUUGAGAUAUCAGAAUUAUUUUGUUAUGGCAGUGUGCACCGGCCAUGUUACGGCUUACUCUGGUUUUUCAGAUCCUCUAUUAUAAGGCAAUGAAGUUGGCUUUUACAUUUUCUUUUCUAAUUUGUAUUUAUUUUCCUUGUGCUUUUGCAGAGGCCUUGAACAAUUUAUGUUUUUUUUAACAAUAACCAAUAUCUUUUAUUGUGCAAAAGUCUCUCUCAAUUUUUUUUUUAUAUAUUAUUACAUACACAGAGAGAGAGAGAAUUUUACACAGUUCUUUUAGCAAGUUUUUUCUGAGGUUGCAUUAUUUCAUUUGUUUCCACAAUUAUUUUUUUUUGAGAAAAAGGGAAAAAGAAUUAAUUUGUUAACUUCCUAAGAACCCAUCAAAUUAAAGAGACUAAACUUAAUUGUAAUAUUAGUAAAGAUAUGUAGAAUGAUUAUUGGAUGUCAUGCUACAGUGCGCAAUUUAGAAAUUGAAAUAUUACAAAAAUACAUAAAUUUUGAUGUGUGAAUGAAAUGAAAUUAGCAGUAAGUACUUACGUAAUAAUUAAUAGAUGUAUAAAGAUAUAAUAAGUUUCUUUCCAAUCAGGCAUGAGUAAGACCUUAUUUUGUUAAAUCAUGACCAAAUUAAAAAGACAGAAAAUGAAAGAUAAAAAUUCAUUAGAAUUUUAUAUUGUAAAAAAAUUGACUAUUCGUGUGAGUGUAGGCCUUUUUUUAAUAUAUAAUUACCCCCUUGAACGGAUGUGAUUUGUCAAACUAGCAUCACUCUUUUCCCAUGUGCGAUGGGAUAAUGGGAUUUCAUUUACCCUCAGCUAAUAGCGUCUAAGAUUGUCAAAGUUAAGGUAAUACAUAGCUAAUUGACCGCCCAUAAAUUACCGCUCAUUCCCCUGCUGCCUGCUCCCCUGCUUUCCCCUGCUCCCCCCCUACCUUUACCUUUUCAUGAGGCUUAUAAGAACUACGAGUUGAACUGAUGCUGCUGAGGAGGUGGGUUUUGUCAGAAGAAGAAGAAUUGCAUUGCGAGAUCAAUAUGAUGCGAACAACCUGCCCCUGCCAUCAUCGACAGAACUUUGAUCCUUCGAGGUACCAACCUACAUUUUCUUACAUUUUUAGUUGUUACGAGCUAAAUUUUCAAUAAAUGCAGUUCUUUCUUUGAUUCGUAUGGAACUUAAUUACUUUUGUCAUCUUUUUUCGCGUUUCUUACUUGACCAUAAGCUUAGUUAUGAGUAUUCUGUGAUCUAGAGAGCAAGGGCUAGAGCUUGAUGGUGCCAUGUUAGACUAGUUUUAUGAGGUUUGUUCAUGCAUUAACAAUUGAUAUUGAUGUAGGCAAAUUUUCAAACUCAGUGAGUGUAUAAGUUUCUCUUCUUUUGGGUUUUGUAGAAUUAUUCAUUUUCUCCUUAAUUCCCUUUAUCAUGCUCUGACAUAACAGAGAAACAUGGCGGAGCAUAAUGAAUAUUAUUAUUUAAUAAUAAUAACAAUAAUCAUACUAAUCGAAAGAAUGAUUGAUAGAUGAUUAAUCAACAUUGCUUAAUCAAGAAAUAACACAAAAAUAUCAAGAUAGUGUCAAAGAAACAAGAUUGAACAAGGCAAAAUGAUCAAUUUAAAAAAGGCCGCAUAAAAGAACACAACACAGGCAGGAAAAAAUAACCAUCCUUACUCUUCUUAAAAUGAGUUUAUCUUAAAUUAAAAAUAGAAUCAUAUGUCAUCUGAACAAAAAUUCUGCAGUUCAUAAAUAUAUCAAAGACUCUACACGAUCACUCAACGCAAGCUAGUCCAGGAUGUUCUGACUUUCAGUCACCAGAGCUGGGUUAUAAGUUGGUUGACAGAGCAAUUCCGGCACUUGUAACUUGGAGUUAAGAGAGUUUCUAAUAUUGACUCAGUGUAAAGUUUGCAAAAAGGUCUAUUGAUCUGGGUCUUUUUCUCUUACAUAGGAAGCUUUCCUCCUGAUUGUUAAAAUUAAUAUGGCAACAUAUGUGCGUUAAUAUCGGACUCUUAAUCAUGCUGAAAUUGUCUCAACAACCAGAUUAUAUAACAGCAAACCCAGAUUGCACCAGAUUCAGCCACGUGGAUAGCGGUUUGCGACGACGCUGAUUCGAGCUCCUCACAUGCUUCCUCACGUGAACCACUUAAGUCAUGGUUAAAACGGCUUUCGAGGCUGGCGUUUUAAAGCUUAUGAAACUUAAGUGAAUCACGUGUACAGCUCGUGAUCAACUAAAACAAGUCCCUUUGCUUAAAACGCUGCCGCUCCUUAUGUAUAAGUCCAUACUAAGAGCAUCUCCAAAAGACUAUUUAAAUUUUACUCUUCAAUUUUUAAUUUGCUUACUGAUGUGGCAAAUAAGUGGGUAGAAAAAUAUAAUCUCCUCCAAAAGACACAUCAAAUAAGAGCAAGUUAAUAUUAUUUUAAUCAAUUCUUUCCCUCUAUCAAAUUUAACUACCCUCCAUUUUUUUUCCCUCCAACAAAUUUAAUUAACCUCCAAUUAUUCACUCUAAUUAUUUUAAUUACCCUCCAAUUUUUUUCACUCCAACGAAUUUAAUUACCCUCUAUUUUUUCCCUCUAAAAAAUUUAUUCAACCUCUAAUUUUUUUUUGGGCUUUUAACUCUUUAUGAAAUAGAUUUUUGUGAAUGAACUUCUCAACCUUCCUUCCGCCAGUUAACUAUUUUUUUUUUCCAUUGUUUUCCUUCAUGGCCAGCAACUUUAAGAUAAAGAUGCUGUCAGAUUCAUCAUACUUUUAACUCUUUAUACUUUAAACUCUUUAUGAAAUAGACUUUUGUGAAUGGACUUGUUCAACCUUCCGCUUGUUAACUAAUAUUUUUUCCUCAUUGUGUUUCCUUCAUGGCUAGCAACUUUAAGAUAAAGAUGCUGUCAGAUUCGUCAUCUGAUGAUGAUGAAAUUGAGAUGAUUGCAGCGGUAGCCAUUGCAAAGAGAAGACAUAAAAAAUCUGGGCGUUGUGGCUCCAUCAAAGGUCACGCAACAAUUUGGCGUGAUAGAUUAGCCGGUCAUGAUAGGCUUUUUCAUGAUUAUUUUUCUGAAACUUCCACAUAUCCUCCAAAUAAAUUUCGAAGGAGGUUUCGAAUGAAUCGCCAUCUAUUUCUGCGUAUUAAAAAUUCAGUGGAACAGCACGAUUCAUAUUUUGUCCAGAAAAGAAAUUGUGCUGGAGUCCUCGGUUUGUCAUCACUACAAAAGAUCAGUGCAGCAAUACGAAUGCUAGCUUAUGGAGUAUCCGGUGAUUCUAUUGAUGAGUAUGUGAGAAUUGGCGAAAGCACUGCAAUCGAAAGUUUGAAAAAGUUUGUUCGUGCAGUGAUUGAAAUUUUUAGCAAUGAAUAUUUACGAUCUCCUAACACAAAUGACAUUGCUAGACUUUUAGCAGAAGGUGAACAACGUGGGUUUCCAGGAAUGUUGGGAAGUCUUGAUUGUAUGCACUGGAAGUGGAAAAAUUGUCCAGUGGCAUGGAAAGGGAUGUAUGUUGGUCAUGCCCAUGAACCAACAAUAAUCUUAGAAGCAGUGGCCUCAUAUGAUCUCUGGAUAUGGCAUAUGUUUUUUGGGUUACCAGGAUCCCACAAUGACAUCAACGUGCUUGAUCGAUCUCCAUUAUUCAAAGACUUAGCUGAAGGACGUGCUCCAUCAGUAAAUUACUCAAUCAAUGGUCAUAAUUAUACAAUGGGGUAUUAUCUUGCAGAUGGUAUAUAUCCACCAUGGUCAACUCUAGUGAAAACAAUACCAUAUCCACAAGAAAAUAAGCAUAAGAAUUUUGCUAAAGCUCAACAAUCAGCCAGAAAGGAUGUUGAGAGAGCAUUCGGAGUGCUCCAAGCUCGUUUUGCGAUUGUGCGUGGACCUGCUCGCUUUUGGGACCGUGAUACACUUCACGAUAUCAUGAAGGCGUGUGUUAUAAUGCACAAUAUGAUUGUAGAAGAUGAACAUAUUACUAAAGAUAUAGAGGACUUAAAUGAUGAUGUAUGUAAUGAAGAUUGGGUUAAACCAUCAUUUGAACGAACAAUAGGAAUUAUGGAAUUUAUUCAAAAUCAUCAUCGAAUUAGAAGUAGAGAAAAUCACUCUCAACUUCAAAAAGACCUCAUUGAACAUUUGUGGAAACAUCAAGGAUCCCGUAAGGCCAUGUAAUUUGAUAACAUGCUGCAUUAUUAUCAUAUUUGUCUUUAUCUCUAAGUAAUUUGUGAUGAUUUUAAAUGACAUUAUUAUUAUUGUCUUAAAUAUAUUUUGGCUUUUCAUAAUUCUAUUCAUGUGCUCUGUUUUUCCUGAUAUGAAUACAAACUAUAUUGCCAACAAAUGCAAUCAGUAGUUGCAUCAUUGGAAUGCCAUAUUGGACCAAAUUCAUGUCUCAGGCAAUGCUAACAAUGACACCAUGGAACGAGGUUGCAGUAGCCAAAAGCCAGUGCAAAAAUUAGGCUUUCUUUGGCCUCCUCACUGGUGAUCGCAAAGAGCACUUCCAGAUCAUGCAGUAGCUGUGCUUAAAACAUGGAUCUACGAAAACUUAAUAAAUUAAAUAGAUAAUAUUAAUUAUAAAAUUACAUGAAAACAUACAAGAAUUUAAAGGAAAAUAAAAUAAUAGAAUAGCAAAACAUUCAAUCUUUAUUUUUUUUUUCAAGGAUUUCCAUUUGACGAUGAUAAUAAUAUUUUUGAAGAUGAGAAGGCAUUCCACUUGUUUCCAUUCGCAUUAUUUUCUCUUCUUCUCGCAAUUCCUCUAAGUCGGCUUUUCGUUUUUCUAUUUCCACCAUUUCUUUUUCUAAAAGAUACUUCUUCUCAUUCAUAUUUGCUUUUCUUACUCGUUCUUCUUUUUUGUCUACACGCAUUUCUUCUAAAAUUGUCACAAGAGGAUCAGAAUUUUUUUCUCUAAUCUUACGUUUCUCACUUUUCUUUCCAAGUGGUCUUUCUAAAUCAACAAAAUUGGUGUCACCAUUAUCAUUUUCAUCAAGAUUGAUAGGAGUCUUUGCAGUUGAUGAUGAGGAUAUACCAGGCGAUGAAGCUGAAAUUCCCUUUUUCUUCUCUCUUUUUGCUUGGUUAUCAGUCAACCAUUUUGGAUGAUGCCUCAAUAUAUUCCAACAGUGUUCAAAAGUAAAUUUUGUUUUGAACAUUUCCUUGUACAGAGCCUUUGCAUUCAUAAUCUGAAAUAAUUCAUUUUAAUUUAUAAACAAAUAAAAUGACAAAACUAAUUGAUUUGUUUAAUUAAUUAAAAUAGAUACCUUGUCUUGUUCAUUCACGCCACUUUGUUGUCUAUUUUCAAUUUGGGAAAAACAGCCAUGAAAUUUGUUGGUGGCUUGCUGUAUCUUUGACCAACGCUGCAUCAAUGAUUUUUCAUCCCGUUCAGAUUCAAAAUUCUUAUAUUUGUGAAAAUAACCCCACACUCGAGCCCAAAAGCUUUGGUGUGUUUGAUCAGUUCCUUGGACAGGAUCCAAACUAAUAUUCAACCAUGAUGAAACAAGAUGCAUAUCUUCAUCUGCAGAAAAAGCCUCACCGCGUUUCUUUUGUGAAAUGGAGCCGAGAAGAGUUGCUGAUAGAGAUGAUUCAAUGAAUUGAGAUGAAUGAGGUAUUUGUGUAGAAAACAAUGGAUGAUCAAAUUGAUCCAUUUUGAUGAAGUCAAGUGAAAAACUGAAAAAAAAAAAAGCCGUUCAAUUGUUGUUUAUGUUUUUGAAAGGAAACAUAAAUAAUAAUUAUAGCAGUUGUAUCUUUUCAAUAAAAAAUAAUAAAAUAUUAAUAGAAGAGGGAGAAACUCACUCGGUAAUAUUGAAGAGUGAGAAACAAAUCUUAUUUGAAGAAUCUAAAUUAACGUGUCUUUUGGAGUGUUUAAAAUUGAUAUGGCUCUUCAAAUAAGAAGUAGAAUUUUAUUUGAAGACUCUUUUGGAGAUGCUCUAACUGUGAAUAUGUUGUUGUUUCGGAUAAUUUUUAUGAUAGAAUAUUUUUAAUUCUCACCACCUCAUUUUUUAAACAUGUUUUUAUCUAAACCUUUGAAGGUACUUAUUUUAUUUUUAUUAUUUUAGGAAAUUCGAAAUCCAAUUCAUAUCCUCGAGUAAUAAUACUUUGAAGGCAUAAAUUAUCCAAGGAAAUAGGAUUAAUUUUAAAAGGUCAAAGUCCAUAUUCAUCUUUACUUCUUAUCAAGAAGGAGAAUUGUUGGUUUCCCUCUACGAAAAUGACUAUUUGCCUCUUAACCCAUUCUAUUUUUAUAACUUCUGGUAACUUGCUUGACAUCAUAAUUUUGUAUUAUUACUCUCAUUUCUAAAUACGCUUUUAUUCAUUUUUUUAUAAGUUUGAUAAAUCUGAAAUUAAAAUUUAAAAAAUGUUACAAAUUAAAAAUAAGAAAAAUUCUUAUUCUUAUUUUUUUAUUUAUUCUUAUCUAUUUCUUCUUAUUUUUAUUUAUUUAUUCUAUUUUUUACAUAUAAACUAAAAUGAUAUUAAUUAAAAAUAAUAAAUAAAAACUUUAAAAUAAUUUCUACUUUAAAUACAUAUUUGCUUUUCGCAUAGAUUGCAACAUAUACCAAAUGAUCACUAUAUAGCAAACAAAAAUAUUAUAUUAGUAGAUUCCUUUAACUAUUAAAUUAAGGGAUAAAUUAAAAAAUAAGUAAAACACACACUUCAAUUCAAUGUAUUUUGUUAUGUAAUGGAUUAAAGUGCAUGUUUUUCUUUAUUUUUAACUUAUCCUUAACUUAAUAACCUAAAAAAACUCCUUAUUGGAGCAUUACUAAUAUAUGUAUGUAGUAUCAUUCUCUAGUGUGAAUGUCCUCAUAUUUUUCAUAUGGCCAUAUUGGUAAACAGUGCAGUUUAAUAGUGCAUUAAAAAAUAACUCUAUUAAACCUUAUAGUUUGCAUUGACUUUAUUAAAUCACACGGUUUAACAGCAUGCCCACAUUAAAAAAAAUACAUUGUAUAUCUCAUAAAAAAAAAAUUAUGUUUGCUAUACCAAUAAAAUUGGAGCAAGCGUCAUGACACUUAUUAAUGUCAGAUUUCUUAGGUUAUUCAAUAAAAUUGGUUUCAAUCUCGCUUUUAUUCAAGAAUUUCAUGUUUGUAUCCGAUUAAUCUCAUCAAAGUUGAUGUGUUUUUCCUCUAACUAAUGGUUAGGGAUGUAAUUUAUGUCUCUUAAUUUAAAAAGUUUAGGUUUGGGCUUUGAUUAUUUGAUCAUUAAUCUUGUAGCCUUUGGAUACUUUCAAUGAGAGUGUAUUAAUCCACAUUAAGUAUGUUGUAUUUGGACUAUUAAGCUGAAACUAGACGGCUUCUGUUUACUAAGCAAUACAAGAAUUUGAGUUAUAAUUAGGUCAGCUUUAUGUUUGGCUGUAACUAGAUGGGUUCUGUUUACUAACUUAUCUGUGUUAUCGUCUUUAUUAACCCAUUCUUUAAGCUAUAUUAGGGUAUUAGAAACAGAGCUAUGAAAGAAAUUAGAACCUGCAUUCAUAUACAAGUAUUAGAGUUGCGCAACUCCAUUCAUUUUCCCCCAGUGUUGGCCACAGCUGUCUUGUGUGCAUGCAAUUUAGAGAAUCAAUAAAUUUAAGUGUAGACUAACCACGAUGUUAAAUUUACGGUAAAAGAAAACGAUGUUAAUGUUAGUGAAUUUAUAAUAAAAAGCUAACCACGCAUGAAACUUAUUUUUAUUUAAUUUUUGUUAACACUGUUGUAUUUGAAUUAUUCUCCUCGUUGUUGUUGCGACUUGAGAUAUCAGAAUUAUUUUGUUAUGGCAGUGUGCGCUAUCAAUGUUACAGCUUACUCUGGUUUUUAGUGUAUACUAUAUUUUGGCAGAACAAGUUUACAUUCACUUGGCUUUUGGGUCCAGUGCUAAUUUUUGAAGAUACUCGUACUGAACUGAGUGACCAAUUUCUUUUAUGCUAAUUUUUGAAGAAACGUUUGCUACACUUUUCUUACAUUUUUAGUUAUCAAGAGCUAAAUUUUCAACACAUACAUAAUGUUAUUUCUUUUAAUAUAUCGAUGAGUUCAAAUUUAAUUAAUCUCAAAUUUUAGGUUUUUGAGAAUAGAUGUUGAAAAAGUUUUUUUUAAUAUUAAAAUUUUGAAAAUAUUCUUCACUUAUUUAACAAUUUUAUUUUAUUCUUUUCAUAAUAUAACUUUAAAAAAAAUUGACUAUUAAAAUAAUUUUAUAAUUUUUAAUAAAAUUUCUCAUCGACAAUCAAACAACUUUUUUUUUUUUUGUGUGAAACUUUUACUUGUAAAAGUUUUACCAAAACAACUUUAUUUAGAUGAGCUCUAUUUGAAAAUGUUUUAUCAAAUGGAAUCUCAAUAAAGUUAUUUAAUAGAUAAAAUAACUUAUUUAAUUCUUAAAAGUUUUUCUUUAAAAAUAAAAUAACUAUAAAAAUUUUGAAAAGAAUGUAUAAGAUUAAAUAAACAUUUAUAACUAUUAAAUAACUCAUAGCAAAUAGGCACAUAAUUGUAAAAUGAUAAGACUUUAAUAUUUUCAUAGUGAUUUGAUAUUUUAUAAUUCCUGAAAUAGUUAGGCAUAAUAACUCUUUUUGUAAUUAUAAAAUCAUAUAUUUGCUUUAAUAACAAAUUAGAAUUGACAACAUAGUCGUAAUGUAAAAAACAUUAUUAAAUUUAGCUUCAAUUACAUUACUUUUUGCACUAUUUAGGGUCCUCUGUAGCGGAAUGUGAACAGACCGUUUGUAUGCUUAAAGACUCGAAUUAGUUGAGUUAAUUAACCCGAGUUAGUUGAUAAGAGAUGUGAUUUCUAUCCACCCCGCCACUGAGUUGAGUCAAAUUAUGGGGAUGUACGAGUGUGACUCUGCCUUUUUCUAUGAGAAAUUGUAACCCCUCUUCCUCAUUUUAUUGCUUCUCUUUCUUCUCUCCCUGCUUUUUUAAACAACCGCACAUUAAUCAUCACGUUUUGCAAAUAUUCUUCAUCCAUCCUUUGACCAACAUCUUGCUCAUCAAUUCAGACGUUAAAACAAUAAUCUUACCAGGUCCACGGUCACUAAUGAUCUAAUAAUUUGAUGAAAUAAAUAGAUAGAGUUGGUCGAAUCAUGCAUGAAUGAUAUAAAUAACUUUGUUUUUCUUACUUAAUCAGCUAUGGAAAAUUAUUUUAAAUUCGAAUCUCUCAUAUUUGCAGUUUAUUACGGACUUGCCGUUCUUUGAUCAAUGGUAGGAAAUUGAUUGUAUGAAAGAUAAAAUUUACUUAGAAUUUUGUAUAGUAAAAAAAUUAAGCUUUUGUGUGAAGGUACAAAUAUUUUUGCCCUUCGAACGGGUGUGAUUCUGAUGGUACAAUUAAAGCUUAGCGAGUACACUAAUCAGACAGUGAUCAAUACGUGGGAGCUGGCUAAAGUGACAAAUCUAUAACUUUACGGAUCACGUUUAGCCAAUUCCCAUUACUUGCAUGUUUUUCCUCUCUCCUCAGGAUACGUGUGCUCUUUCCAUUCGGUGUUAUUCGUCGACUACCGCAGCAACCAUUCCUACAAUUACGACGCGAAUUUGACAUAUAAAAUACCAAAAUUGCACUUGAUUAACUCCAAAAAAAUAACAAAAUAAGCAUUAUGUUUCGGUAAUUCAAAAACAUUUUCAUGGUGCCUACCAUAACUGCGAGUUGAGCACAUGCUCCUGAGCUUGUCGGUUUUGUGCAGAAGAAGAAGAGUUGCAUUCCGAGAUCAAUAUGAUGCAUAUAAGAUGCCCCUGCCAACAUCGACAGAACCUUGAUCCUUCAAGGUUCCCAAGUACACUUUUCUUACAUUUUUAGUUGUUAUGAACUCAAUUUUCAAUGCAUACAGUUCUUUCUUCAUUCAUAUAUAUGAAGCUUAAUUACAUUUGUUAUCUCUUUUGGCACUUUUUACUUGACUAUAAACUUAGUUAUAGCAUUCUGUGAUCUAGAGAGUAAGGGCUAGAACUUGAUGGUGCCAUGUUAGACUAGUGUAUGAGGUUUUUUCAUGCAUUAAUAAUUGAUCUUGAUGUAGGCCAUUUUUUUUUAAAAGCUAAAGAAAGUUAAGUUUUAGAAGAUCAUUACUUCUUUAAACCCAGAAAGCUUAUAAGUUUAUCUUCUUUUGGGUUUUGUAGAAUUAUUCAUUUUCUCCUUAAUUGCCUUUAUCAUGCUCUGCCAUAACUCAGAAAUUCUCUGCUACGGCAAAGCCUAAUGGAUAUUAUUGCUUAAUAAUAAUACUACUACUAAGAAUAAUUGAUAUAUGAUCAAUCUGUUGGGAAAAUAUGCUCUUUAAAAGCAUAUGUGUUUAUUUAAUUGUAAUAAAUAAUUUUUCUGAUUAAUAAAAUAAAUGAGGUAUUUUAUUCAAAUAUCUUAAUUGCAUUAAUAUUUGUAUUAAAGUCCAUUUAAUCAUAUUAUAUGUAUUUAUGUGAUCACCAUGUGGAUUCACAGAAGACAUAAAUACAAGUUAUCUUAUGAUUAAAUAAAUUUAGUUCGCAGUUAAUAAAUAAAGUUGGGCACUUUAUUUAGGUAUAGACUGUAAUAAAUUCAUUGAAUGAUUUGUCUUAAUCAUGUAUGAAUUUAUUGAUGUAGUACGACUACAUUGAACAGGAUCACAUAUGAGAUUUAAUUAACUUUGUAAUAACUGUCAGACUUAUUAAAUCUCAUAGGCGUUGAUUUUACUGUAAUCUUAAUCUUGAGUUAAUUAUGAUUUCAUGAUUGUGAUUGUUAUUUCAUUUGAGUUACCAAUGGGCACGACACAUCCUUGUGGUCAAGAUUACCCGGUAUCUUGGUGGGAGCAAUUAUGAGUAUUGGAGUUAUGGAUUAACAAUAUAGAAUUUGUACAACACAUCUCUUGAUAGGUUUUCGGUACUUGAUCAUAGAAUUCUCUGGCCAGAGUGUGUCAACAUAUUUAGUAUGUUGAAAAUGAUCAUUAGAGAAAACCAAUAAGGAUCAAGGAAUAAGAUGUUAUUAAAUUGAUUGGACAGUUGAGAUAUCAAUUUAAUUAACGAUGUGGUACAAAUGAUUGUGCAGUAAAGAAAUCAAUGUGGCUUGGGACGAAUUAUUAUUCGAGCAUACAAUUAUGGAAGUCAGUUCCAAUCUUUUAGUGAAGUAGAUUUGGAAUUAAAUAAUUGGGCUAGUUUAAUUACUGGCCUAAUUAUUGUAGCCACUAUUGUAUGUUCCCAAAUGAUCCCCGGGUUAGCUCAUUUAAUUGACUGCACCACUACUGGACUAAUAAGUAAGAUAACUAGCUAUUUGGGUCAAAAGCCUAAAUAUAUCAUUUAGUGGGAGGCUCCAUUUAAUUAGCUUUUGUAUAAGGGGCCUUAUGUUAUUUUACAUGGUGGGUCCCUUAUUGAAAAAGCAAAUAACGUGGGUUUUGUUUUUUGGAUUAUUGGGAGCCUAGGGUUUUCACUAAAUGGUGAUAUAAAAGGCUUAUUUUUCUCUAAAGAAAAGUGAGAAGCCACUUUAUACAAAUCAGAGAAAAAGAUUUUUCUCUCCAUUGUUGAGAGAAAAAUUUUCUCGUGCUAGUUGCUUUGGUAGUGAUAAAGGCGCCCACACGUCAAGUGCAGAUCGAACCUGAGUCAUAACCUGGAAGAUCAUUGGUGACAGUUCGUGGUCUAGCAAGCGUGGUGGUGACGGAUCGUGAUCUAACAGGAGUGGUGGUGGCGGAUCGUGAUCUAGGAGUUUAAAUCACUUCAACGGAAAAAGUCCAAUCGGAUUUUCAAGGUACGAUUUCUGGAUUACGUAUUCCUAUAUAUUAUAUGAGAGCGGUCCUUAAAAGGUUUUAUAAAAAUUAAAAACCGGAUUUUUCCCCAACAAUUGGUAUCAGAGCCAUCUCAUAUUAAUAUAUAAGAAUUUCGUAUGAAAUCAAUAUUGAUAUUUAUGUAUUAGAGUGGCACAAUUUAUUCAGAUGUAUAUUAUUCGGUUAAUAUAUGAAUAAAGCAUGUUUAUGGUUUGUCUUAAUUCAUGGUUAGAUUUUUCGUUGUAAUUUUUCUUUGGAUCUGUAACAAGAGGGGUGGUCUUUUAUCACCAUGUUUCCCUCUUGAUUUAUUUUACUGUUAUAGAAUUUUUGUAAGCCAAAAUUGGCCUAGGAAAUUUGUAAAUUAAUCUCGGAUUUUCAAGAUCGGAGCGACGGAGGCCGGAAAUUUUGACAACGGCAACCAGCAGCAAGCAGCACGCGGCCAGCAGCACAUGCUGCCAGCAAGCGCGCGCUGCACGCGCAGCGGCAGCAGCGCGCGGCUCGCAGCACACGCUGCCAGCAGCGCGCGCUGCAAGCCAGCAGCAGCAUGCAGCAGCCAGCGCUCGCGGGAAGCGUGGCUUGUGCACGCAGCACGCGCUGGCACAGGCUGCGCGCGCAGCAAACAGCGCGCGCGGCCAGCGUGGCCAGUAGCGCGAGCUGCACGAGCAGCAAGUUGCGUGCGCGAGUUUGGAGCGUUUCCGGCAACACGGCGGCAGCAAAUCGGCGUCGGAGAUGCGUGAACAGUCGCUGCCCUUUGUGGAGAUGGCGGCUGGGGAAGAUGAAAGAAAGAAAAAUAUGAUUUUAGGGUUUCAUGGUUUUUAUCAUGGAGGUCCCUAUGGUUUCAUGAGUUUUCUUUCGGGCAGAAAUGUUUCAAUUUUUUGCGUUUAAAUCCAAAAACAGUUUUGGGCUUAAAGAAUCCUAGUUUUAGGCCCAAUUUAAAUUUGGGCUUAAUGGAUUAAAAUGCAUAGAUAAAAUUGAACACAUUAAAUUUAUUUUUUGGUCCAAAAGUUUUAUUUUAAUAAAAAAAAAUUUAAUUAUUUAUUUAUUUUUUUUAAAAAAUUAAAAUUGGACCAAUUAUAAAUUUAAAAGUCCAAUUUCUCCUAGUCCAUUAACAAAGACAAGCUUAUGGAAGAUGGACAUUGACAAGAAGCCCAAUGAAGAUUAGGCUUAGGGUUAAUGUAUUUUUCAUUAUUAGGAAAGCCAUGAAUUAAGAUUAUUUAAUUGUUUUUCUAUAUAUUAUGUUUUGGAUGAUCACAUGCCAUGAUAACAUGUCAUAUAGAAUAGGUAGUGCCACUCUAUGCAUAAUGAUACAUGUCAUUCAUUAAUAAUGAAUUUCAUUAUAUUGUUUGAAAUUUGCGUAUGCUUAAUAAUAUUUGAUAUCAUCUAGAUAAUAUUAUAGGAAGCAUGCAAUUAACAAUAUGUAUGUUUUAAAAAGGAAAAACCAAUUUUAAAAUAUUGAGUGGGAGAGGGAAAAUUCAAGAUAAUUUUCCCACGGGCUCCAUUGUUAGUUCAAUAAUAAAAUUAUAUAUAUACCUCGACUUCAUGAUACGGUGAUGCUCCCUUCGGAGGGUAUAUAUAUUAGAUAUUUUAUUUGAUGAACUUCUUCAAAGAUAAAAUUGAAAUAUUUUUCAAUCGAUUGUUCACCCCAACGGUGACUAUUGAUAUGAAAAAUACGUAGAUUGAAACAAUGGUUAUACACUCAACUAAAGUUUGUUAUUAACCUUCCCAACGAAGCUCUGUUAACAAAUUUAGGUCCAAAGGGAUAACGAUAAUUAUUUAUCAUGUCUCUACAUGAAAGUAAAUAAUCUAAUGGAUAAUUGGGUCUAGUAAGUGUAGACAUGACUUCCCCAACGGAUAGCUUGUCAAAGCAGUACUAGAUUAUCGUUACAAUAAAUUAAAAUGCAUUUAUGGUUUUUUACAUUUUUGUCAUUUAUUGUGAAUAUUGUUUUAAAGUAUUUAUGCAUGUGUAUUUUGUUUUUUCAGAAAAUGUCUUCCAUCAACCCAUUAUUAUUUAUCCUUGUUAAAAAUGAACUCACUGGCGAAAAUUAUUUAGAUUGGAAACGCAAUCUAUUUAAUAUCCUCACUGCUAAAGGAAGCAAAUAUGUGUUGACCCAGCCUUGCCCUCCUGAACCAUCGUUAUACGAUUAUAGAAAUCAGAGGGAGCCUUAUGAGAAAUGGUGCGAAGCUAACAAAAUGGCUAAGCGCUAUAUAUUGGCUUCGAUUUCUAUGGAACUGCAUAAGAAACAUCGGAGCAUGGAAACAGCCACUGAAAUAAUGGCUAGUCUUCAUCAGAUGUUUGGGCAAAAUACCCAUUUUGCCAGAGAAGCAACAUUAAAACGUAUUACGGAUACUAAGAUGGAAGAGGGCACAAAAGUUCGUGAUCAUGUCCUCAAAAUGAUGGACUACUUGAAUGAGGUAGAGAUUCAUGGUGUUCAAAUCAAUGAUAAAUCAAAGAUUAACAUGGUGAUUGAAUCUUUACCUGAUACAUUCAAAGAGUUUAAGGUCAGCUAUAUCUUAAACAAUAAAGAUAUGACCUUAAUUGAAUUAAUGCACGAACUACAUGCUAUAGAAGAAUUUUAUAAUAGCAGAAAACUUCCUGAAAAAGGAUUCUCUUCAAGGCUUAAGUCAAAAGACAAGAAUGAGCAAGCAAGAGUUGAGAUCGGGAAACUGUCCAUUAAAAGAAGUGGCAAGCCAAAAGGCAAGUGUUACAAAUGUGGACAGAAGGGUCACUGGAAGAAAGAUUGUCUUAAGAUUAUUAAAAUCAGGUAUAGGAAAUCUUUAAGCUUCCUAAUUAGUUCAGAUUUCUAUUGAUUCAUACAAUAAUGAAUUCUGAGAUAACUAAUCUUAUUUGUAAUUCAUUUAUUUGGUUUUCAGGAAACCAAGAGAUUAAGUGAAGAAAGCUUCAAACAGCAGUUGAGGACAUGCUAGUUUAUAUCAAUUGAAAGACUAGAUCAAUUUUACAAGACUUUAGUUUUGAUAUUUGUCUUUAUUUUUCCAAAUAUUAGAGAAAUUUAAUUUCGGUGGCUUGUUUUAAUAAACAAGAGUACACUGUUAUUUUUUGGAUCCUCUGUUUAUUACUUAUUUUGGUUAUUUAUAAAGACAAUUUAUAUCAUAAAAGUACAUUGAUCUAUUCAAAGUAAGAUAUAAUGAUAAAAAGUAUAUGCAUUUAUCUAAGAAAAGAAAUGUUUCUUCUAACCAAAAAUCACCUCUGAUAUUUAUGCUUAAGUCAUAUAAACUAUAAUAAGAUUUUAAGAAAAUGAUUAAUGAUAGACUUGUUAGCCUAUUAAGAUUGAUCAUUGUAACUCUAUAAAUCUUAUUUAGAAAAGUAACAUGACAAGGAUGCUCUUUUUGAGCUAAAAGCAUAACAUUGUAUUUGAUGAUUUAGCGCAUACAAAUGUAUACGGACUAAUCAGUUUACAUGUUAUAAGAGGUUAUGAGUAUUCUAUCAAUCUUAUUGAUGAAUAUUCAUUUAAUUUAUGUUUGUCUAAGUGCGUCAUGAUUCCAUUGCUUUUGAAAUUCAAAAGAGUACGUGGAUAAGACAGAAGCAAUUAGACAGGAACAUAAAAGAAUUUCGAUAUGAUCGAAACAAAGAAUAUCUCUAUGGAGAAUUCAAGCACUAUUUGGUUGUCAAUGAACACUAUGAUACAAUAGUGUAAUUAAAUGAAGAAACAAGAUUCUUUUGGAUAAGACAAGAUAUAUACUAAGUGGUUUAUCAUUUACCUUUUUUAUUCCAGAUACUAGUAUUUGAAACUACAAAGUUUAUUGAACUUAGUUUCAUCUAUCUCGGUGUCCACUACUCCAAGAAAUUAUGAAAAAGUCACAAACAUGGUUUGAGACACAUUCGUAUUUGGAGUUUACUAGUAUUUCUACUAGAAUCAGAGAUAGAGAAGAUGGAUUCGUGUUCAGAAGCUUGCAUGUUUUAGGUAUCUUAAAGGAAUAAGGGAAAGUCUGAAUUAUAGUCCUCAAGAUAGGAAUGUAUUUAUAGAAAUAUUCUUUACUUUCUUUGAGGAAGACUAUAUAAUGACUUAUAACCUAAGAGUAAGGUAAAACUAGAGAAAUAAAAGAGAUCAGGUUGAUGCUCAGCUUUCAACACCUGUUAUAGAACAGGAAAAACAGCAACAACCAGCUGAUCAGUACAGGAUUAUCCUUGAACAACCAUCACUUUUAGAAACCUCGUCGUAGUGGGAGGGUAACUAGGUUACCUGCGAGAUACAUGCUUUUGGGAGAAACCUAUACGGCUAUCUCAGAUGAACAUGUACAAGAUCCCACUAGUUACAACGAAGCUUUAAUAGAUAGAGAUGUUGAAUUUUAGAAAAAGGCCAUGAAUCAAGAAAUGGAAUCUAUGUAUUCCAAUAAAGUCUGGGAACUUGUAGAGGCACCAAAUGGGGUAAAACCUAUAGGGUGCAAGUAGAUCUAUAAGAGAAAAAAAAAGGAGUAGUCGGAAGGGUGGAAACAUUUAAAGCAAGAUUAGUAGAUGAAGGGUUUACUCAGAAAGAAGGAAUCGAUUAUGAGGAAACCUUUUCUCCGGUUGCUAUGCUUAAAUCCAUCAGGAUUCUGCUCUCCAUUGUUGCAGUGCUAGAUUAUGAAAUUUGGCAAAUGGAUGUCAAGACUGCCUUUCUUAACGGGCAUCUUGAAGAAAACAUCUACAUGCAGCAACCAGAUGGAUUUAUACAAAAAGGCCAAGAACACAUGGUAUGUAAGUUGCAGAAAUCCAUUUAUGGAUUGAAGCAAGCAUCCCAGUCAUGGAACAUCAGAUUUGAUCAAGCGAUUAAAUCGCUUGGAUUCAUUCAGAGCAUUGAUGAACCAUGUGUGUACAAGAAAAUUCAGGGAAAAUUUGUAGCCUUCCUAAUUCUUUGUGUAGACAAUAUUCUCCUGAUUGGAAACGAUAUAGGAGUAUUGACUACAAUAAAGAUUUGGUUAGCAAAAUAAUUUGAUAUGAAAGACCUGGGAGAGACAAGUUAUAUUCUUGGUAUCAAGUUACUACAAGACCGGAAGAAUAAAACUUUAGCCUUGUCUCAAGCGGUCUAUAUCGAUAAGAUAUUGGCUAGAUUUAGCAUGGAAAAUUCCAAGACUGGUUUAUUACCAUUCAGACAUGGAAUUACAUUCUCUAAGGAUCAAUCACCUAAAACAUCUGAAGAGAUAGAGAGAAUGAGACGAGUUCCCUAUGCAAACGCUGUGGGAAGUCUCAUGUAUGUCAUGCUUUGCACUAGGCCAGACAUCUGUUUUGCGGUAUGGAUGGUUAGCAGAUAUCAAUUUAAUCCUGGACCUCAAUACUGGACUGCGGUCAAGCAUAUAAUGAAGUAUAUGAAAAGAACUUAAAAUUAUAUGCUUGUGUAUUCUGGUGAUAAACUUAUUCUAGUGGGUUAUACUAAUUCUGAUUUUUUGUCAGAUAAGGAUUUUAGAAAAUCAACUUCCGGCUAUGUGUUUACAUUGGGAAGUGGAGCUAUUAGUUGGAUGAGUGUGAAACAAGCUUAUAUCACAGACUCAAUAACUAAAGCUGAAUAUGUGGCUACAUCUGAAGCUGCAAAAGAAGCUAUAUGGCUUUGCAAGUUCCUACGUAAUCUUGAGGUGGUACCUGUUGUAACUGCACCCCUUAAACUAUUUUGUGAUAAUGGUGGUGCGGUAGCUCAAUCUAAGGAACCAAGGAACCACAAGAAACAAAACAUAUUGAAAGGAAGUAUCAUCUUAUAAGGGAAUAGUGUAGAAAGGUUAUAUGACAGUACCCCAAAUGGCAUUAGAUGCUAAAUGGCAGAUCUUAUUACAAUGGCCAUUAGUGGGAAACCUUUAUAACCUACACUUAGAGCCCUAGAGCAUGUGCAAUAUGCCAGAUAUGCUUUGAGAGCUAGUGGGAGAUUGUUGGGAAAAUAUGCUCUUUAAAAGCAUAUGUGUUUAUUUAAUUGUAAUAAACAAUUUUUUUGAUUAAUAAAAUAAAUGAGGUAUUUUAUUCAAAUAUCUUAAUUGCAUUAAUAUUUGUAUUAAAGUCCAUUUAAUCAUAUUAUAUGUAUUUAUGUGAUCACCAUGUGGAUUCACAGAAGACAUAAAUACAAGUUAUCUUAUGAUUAAAUAAAUUUAGUUCGCAGUUGAUAAAUAAAGUUGGGCACUUUAUUUAGGUAUAGACUGUAAUAAAUUCAUUGAAUGAUUUGUCUUAAUCAUGUAUGAAUUUAUUGAUGUAGUACGACUACAUUGAACAGGAUCACAUAUGAGAUUUAAUUAACUUUGUAAUAACUGUCAGACUUAUUAAAUCUCAUAGGCGUUGAUUUUACUGUAAUCUUAAUCUUGAGUUAAUUAUGAUUUCAUUAUUGUGAUUGUUAUUUCAUUUGAGUUACCAAUGGGCACGACACAUCCUUGUGGUCAAGAUUACCCGGUAUCUUGGUGGGAGCAAUUAUGAGUAUUGGAGUUAUGGAUUAACAAUAUAGAAUUUGUACAACACAUCUCUUGAUAGGUUUUCGGUACUUGAUCAUAGAAUUCUCUGGCCAGAGUGUGUCAACAUAUUUAGUAUGUUGAAAAUGAUCAUUAGAGAAAACCAGUAAGGAUCAAGGAAUAAGAUGUUAUUAAAUUGAUUGGACAGUUGAGAUAUCAAUUUAAUUAACGAUGUGGUACAAAGGAUUGUGCAGUAAAGAAAUCAAUGUGGCUUGGGACGAAUUAUUAUUCGAGCAUACAAUUAUGGAAGUCAGUUCCAAUCUUUUAGUGGAGUAGAUUUGGAAUUAAAUAAUUGGGCUAGUUUAAUUACAGGCCUAAUUAUUGUAGCCACUAUUGUAUGUUCCCAAAUGAUCCCCGGGUUAGCUCAUUUAAUUGACUGCACCACUACUGGACUAAUAAGUAAGAUAACUAGCUAUUUGGGUCAAAAGCCUAAAUAUAUCAUUUAGUGGGAGGCUCCAUUUAAUUAGCUUUUGUAUAAGGGGCCUUAUGUUAUUUUACAAGGUGGGUCCCUUAUUGAAAAAGCAAAUAACGUGGGUUUUGUUUUUUGGAUUAUUGGGAGCCUAGGGUUUUCACUAAAGGGUGAUAUAAAAGGCUUAUUUUUCUCUAAAGAAAAGUGAGAAGCCACUUUAUACAAAUUAGAGAAAAAGAUUUUUCUCUCCAUUGUUGAGAGAAAAAUUUUCUCGUGCUAGUUGCUUUGGUAGUGAUAAAGGCGCCCACACGUCAAGUGCAGAUCGAACCUGAGUCAUAACCUGGAAGAUCAUUGGUGACAGUUCGUGAUCUAGCAAGCGUGGUGGUGACGGAUCGUGAUCUAACAGGAGUGGUGGUGGCGGAUCGUGAUCUAGGAGCUUAAAUCACUUCAACGGAAAAAGUCCAAUCGGAUUUUCAAGGUACGAUUUCUGGAUUACGUAUUCCUAUAUAUUAUAUGAGAGCGGUCCUUAAAAAGUUUUAUAAAAAUUAAAAACCGAAUUUUUCCCCAACACAAUCACCAUUGCUUAAUCAAGAAGUAACACGAGAACCUCAAGAUUGAGUAAAAAAAAAAAAGAUUAAACACAACAGAAUGAUCAAUUUCAGAAAGGUCACAACAGAACAAAACAUAAGCAGGAAAAUUAAUUGACUUGACUCUUCUUAAAAUGAGUGUAUCUUGAAUGAAAAAAAGAAUCGUAUGUCAUCUAAACAAAAAUCCUACAGUUACUAAACAUAUAAAGAGUCCAUAGAGUCACUCUUAACGCACGUUAUUUACACCAGAAUGCUUUCACUUUCAUUGACCAGAGCUGAACUUGAUCAAAUUAGGGAGUCAAAGAGUUUCGAAUAUUGACUCAUUAUAUUGUAAAGUUCGUAAGCAUUUCUAUUGGUCUGGGUCUUUUUCUCUUAUAUAGGAAACUUUGCUUUUGAUUGUUAAAAUUAAUUCGAUGGUUUUGCAGUGAUGACGAUUUCAUUUCCUCAAUUUCAUACUCAAAAGUUUUUGAAUAUCUCAUCCCGACCUUGGUUGCUGUUAUGGGUGUAAAUGUGCAAGGCACAACUAGGCCGUUGAUGGAAACUCAUAGAAUAAGUUUGUGUUUCUCUGGUGGCCAUAAUUAUCCACUACAUUGCAUUUUCUGUCGAUAACAUGCCUCAACACUACCAAGCAAAAUCUCCACACCUAUGGGGCCUCAUCGCAGUUAUUUUUUGAUCUCUUUCAGUAGUGUCGUUGGUCUCCACAUUUUUCACACAGUCGGUUGCUGAAAUCAUUUGCUAUGUUGCAUUGAGCUGCACUGCUAUUAUCAUAGUUGUGUACCAAUAUGGCACAAAGCUUAUGGAUGCUUGUCAUUGGCUUUACCACGAAAUUUUGAGGCCAUUUUUUUGCAACAUCUUGAAUUGGUUUCAAGCCCAUAAUAACAACUUCUCUUCAACGGAGCAACAACGACUGUCAGUGUAAUUGAAGCAGUUUAAUCUUUAUUUUAAAAUUUCAUCCAAGAAUUUUUACUUACAGAUUUCACUUAUGUUUCCAGAUUUCAAUAGAUCAAAAUAUAUACUCAAAAUAUAUACUCAAAAUAUAUAGUUUUUCAUUCAAUAAUAUAUAUGUUAUUAUUGACUUUUAUUCACAUAAAAAAUAUUUUUAUUUUUAUUUUUAUUUAUAUGAUUUAUUCAAUCUACAAUGGAUAUGAAUAAAUAUGCAUUUGAAAUGUUAGGAGUUAUUAGCUAUUAUAAAAAUAAUAGGGAGUAAGUAGAUACAAUCUUUGAAAAGAAAAUUUUAAUAUUUAUUAUUGGGAUAUUAUUAUUUUCCUACAAAAAUUUUUCUGACAUAUCAAGUCAGUACCAUGCUUUGAUAAAAACUGCAAUUUACUACCAAACGUUUAAUUUGUUGUUAAUUUACUAUCUUUCUGUUAAAAAUAAGUUAAUAUUUAACGGAAUAUGAGUUAAAAGACGAUUUUGUCCAUGGAGCAUUAAAGACGAUUUUGGCCAUGGAAAAGAAAGAAAUAACAAAAAAGAAAACUACAAAAUUAGUCUAGAAUGGAUGAAGAACGGGAUCCUUGGUGAUCCAUUUUAUCGUUAGGGAUCUAAUUUAUGUCUCUUGAUUUAAAAAAAUUAGGUUUGGGCUUUGAUUAUUUGAUUAUUAAUUUUGUAGCGUUUGGAUACUGUUGAAGAGAGUGAAUUAAUCCACAUUAAAUAUGUAUUGGAACUAUUAGGCUGAAACCAGAUGGCUUCUGUUUACUAAGCAAUACAAGAAUUGAGUUAUAAUUAGGUCUGCUUAUGUUUUACUGUAACUAGAUGGGUUCUGUUUACUAACUUAUCUGUAUUAUCAUCUUUUUUAAGUCAUUCUUUAAGCUAAAUUAGGGUAUUAGAAACAGAGCUAGGAAAGAAAUUAGUACCUGCAUUCAGUAUUGCAAGCUAAUUGCUAGUGCUACUUCAGGUAUAUUGACUGAACAAUCAACACCCGGUUUAUGAUACAUGCAUUUAUAUCACACUAUACUUUAAUGAAUAAACAUUUUUCUUCCUCUAAAUUUCACAUAUUUGGUGCCAGAAUGGAAAACAAAUAGUCCAAGAAGGUGUAUUAAUUGCCUUGGCAUCAGUUGCUGACUCAUCUCAGGUAUUCUAUAAAAUAUGCUUUGAUUAGAAGUUAUUUCUUAUAGAAACCUGUCAGACAGGAUGAUUUUUUUGUAGAAGCUGCUCCGACGGAAACUUCUUUUAAAAGUGAAAAAAAGGGGGAAGCAAAGUAUAUGUUGAACUAACAGAAAAGGUAUCUACAAAGGUGAACAAUCUGUCAGUCCUUUUAAUAACAGCUUCUGCAUUUGAUGUUUUCUCUUUUUUUUUUUUUUUGUGGGUAGUUGAAAAAAAUAUUUCUAGAUGCAUAUAAUGCUCUUUCCUGUCUGUUCACCAAAUAUUUAAUUAAUUUUGAAGGCUGAAGAUUUAAUUAACGAGCAACCAGAAGGAGUCCAUCCCUGUAUUGAUUACCACAACAGCUGUUGGUUGCUGUGGUUUGUUUUUAGCACGAAAACUUUAAAUUUUGAGUUUCAUUUUACCCAAAAACCUCAAUUUCAAUGUUUUCAGACCAACCAUCCAUUCUGCACUCUAAAUCAGAAAACAUAUGAUCAGUAAUGAACUUAGAGUCAGGUCCAGCUUAAGGUAGUAACGGAUUCAGUCUUCUGGUUCUGCCAUUCAAGUUUUCUUGAUAAGUUUACUUUUUUCCCCCCACUCCUCAAAGUGUAACUAACUUUCUUUAAAUUCCACUUUCUUCAAUGCUCAGGAACUAGUGAAACCAAAGUAUUGAUGAAAGCAGCUCAUCGGGAAAUCAUUAUUUGGCUGAGGUAAGAGCCUGGUUUUUAUAAACACUGCACAAAAGAAAGAUCUUUUUGCGGCUGAAAUUUAAUUCUCAGCAAAUACAUCAUUCUUGCGGAUGACUUGUAGGGAUUUCAAAAUAGUCAACGUAUAUAUAGAUUUUAAAAUGUAACUAAUUAAUUAGCUGCAAGAAAGUUGUUUUAUCAGACUAAAUUCAUAUUAUUUUUAAAAUUCAAAAAUCAUCAUAAAAAAUUUAAAGUUUCUCUCUCCCUCUCUUACUCUCAGUCUUGCUCAAUCCUUCACCUCCCAGCCUUGCUCGAUGGUAAUUUAUUGAUUUCAAUUUUAGGUAAGCUCUGUCACUGUAAACUUUGGGUGAUGUGAAUUUUUGUUACUGCAUAGAUCUUAAUAGGUCAAAUUGAAGGGGAGAAAGUUGCUGAUUGUAAAGCUGAUUCUGAAAGCACUUCUUCACUUUUUGAGUAUGAUUUUACAGAUUCAGUAUGUAAUUGAAGUUUUAAAGCAAUGAUUUUGAAUGAUUUAGAAUAUUUAGAUGACUGGUUUAAAUUAACCCGUCAAAGUCGUUGUUUAUACACGUGCACCAUCGUAGGAACAUCUAAUUGGGUGAUAGAUUUUUACUUUUUAUCCUUCUUUUGUAUUUUAAAUAUAUAUGUGCGUGUGUGUGUGAAAAUAUAGGAAAAUUCUCAUUCGUGGAUAUCCGCACAAAGUGCAUGAAUUUUCAUGCGGAUUUAGGUGGUGAAAGCCUUUUACCCAGGCACAAAACCCCAAGUCUGCACAAAAAUACGUGCGAGCAUUUUACACACAUAUAUAUAUAUAUAUAUGGCGAGGAGACUGGAUGAGGAAUACAACUCGUUGUUCAAAGUUGUAUUAGUCUGCAAUUGAGGAGUAGGCAAAUUGAAAUUACUUUCCUGAUUUACUUGUAACGAGUUCUGUUUAGAGUCCAAUUCUACUAGUCGCGUCAAAUUCACCAUCUUUACUCUUCAAGUAACUAUUCGUCUUACUCUAUACUUCAUCUUAAUUACAGUAAUUAAUUUAUUAAUUUUUUAAGAUCUAGUAGAAGUAAUUAGUUUUAUCAAAUUUUUAAUUCGAUUUCCAGAUUAGGAUAAUUUAGAUACAUGUGAAUUGGAAGUGAUUCAAUUUUUUAUCUGAUUUUGUUGUUGCUGUGGAAUUACUAUUAGUAUGAUGAUUAAUUUGUGAUUUUAACUUAUAAUUUGGUUAUUGAUUUAGUUUAUGUGAGAUUUAAUUGGAUCUAUCGUUGUGAGAUUGUAAUUCACAUGAAAUGACUUUUUUUGUUUAAUUUAAAGUUGAAUGCUUUUUGAGUUUUUUGAAAAAGAAUGCUUCAUAAUUUUAAUCUGAAUAUUUUGGGCCACGAUUUAAAUGAUUAAUUUUAUGUGGUAAGGGAAGUGGCAGUGCCAAAUUGUGGACAGCUACGUAUUGGGGUGAAAAAGUUUGGGAUUGCAAUUAUUAGACCUAAUUUAUUCAUCAAGUUAAAAUCGGCACCGGCAAAUUUUGUCAUUGAAUUGGAUAAUUAGAUCGGCAUUUGGUGUUUACUUGUAUAUAUGAGUAGAGGGCUGUUCUCUGUAUGUUGGAGUUGGUGAUGCAGGUUGAAACUAACCUGAAGUUGACUCUUGGCAUAUUAGAGUUGAAUUGGAAUUGCAAUUAACUCAUUAAGAGAAACUUAUGAGCCAUGGGGUUUUUUUCAUUGAAUUAGAUGAUUAGAUCGGCAUUCAAUGUUUACUUGGAUAUGAGUAAGACUGUUCUCCAUAUGUUAAAUCAGGUUGAAAAAAUUACUUACUGAAUUGUUAUGGGUGCAAUCAUUUGAAACUUUUAAGAUUUUUUGCCAUUGUGUUACUAUGCUGUGGUUUUCUAAGUACAAGAGACAUUCAAAAAAACAUAAUAUCUUAAUCACUUCUAAUAAUCCUAUAAGUGCACGACUUUGUGGGUUUUGAAUUCAAGGGACAAAAUAGUAAGUUAUUAACGUAUAGAAUUCGUAUAGCAUUCGGUUUUGUAUAUAGAAGUCAUAUAGAAUUCGGUUUCAUAUUUAAGGCAAUUAGAUUUGUAUAUAUAUUAUGAAUCUGUAAUGCUUUUCUACUUAGAAUUCUAUUCUUUUGGGCUGUACAUCUAUAUAUACAUGUAGCAACGUUAAUGCAAGUAAUAACAAGAGUUUUAUUCAUAAACUCAGUUCUUUAUUUUAUAUGGUAUCAGAGCUUUACUCACUUAUCAAAUUAUUAUCUUCGUUCUUUUGUUUUUGUUUAAAUACUCAUGGCAGAUGGUCAAACAUCAAAACAAGUUGCCAUCCUUAAUAAACAGGAGGAUGAUGUCUUCCUUGUCCACCCAUCAGAUAGUCCAACUGCUGUAUUGGUUUCUCCUUUACUCACUAGUGAUAACUAUGGUACAUGGGUAAGGGCAAUGACUAUGGCUUUACGAGCGAAAAACAAGCUCGGUUUUGUUGAUGGAACUAUAUCAAAACUAGAUGAAGAUGAAGAAGAUGGUGGUAGAUGGCAACGUUGUAAUGAUCUUGUUGGAUCUUGGGUGUUGAAUUCCAUAUCAAGUGAACUUGCGGGAAGUGUGUUGUAUGCACAGUCUGCUAGAGAAGUAUGACAGGAUUUGCAAGAGCGUUUUCAGCAGACCAAUGCGCCAAAAAUCUAUGAACUCAAACAGGCCAUCUCUAAUUUACGACAAGGAGAUGCAUCUGUUUCACUUUAUUAUACUCGGAUGAAGGCACUUUGGGAUGAGUUGAAUUCUCUACAACAAGUAGGACCAUGUACUUGUGCAAAUGCAAAAACUUUCAGUCAAUUGCAGCAACUAGAUCGAGCUAUGGAGUUUCUUCAAGGCUUACAUGAUAGAUAUGCAGCAACGAGGAGUCAGAUUUUGUUGAUGGAUCCUUUUCCUAAUGCAAAUAAAAUUUAUUCCCUUGUGAGGCAAGAAGAAAAACAACAAGAUCUUCACGCUAUAGGGGGAUCUCCAGAAGCUGCAGCAUUGACAACACAAAACCGAAAUUCAUUUGGAAAUAGGAAUUGGAAUAACAAUUCUGCAGUAGACAACAAAGGAGGAAACUUGAAUGCAAAUGGUGGCAGACCAUCGUGUGAACACUGUGGAAAAUUAGGCCACAAAAAACAAAAAUGUUUUGAGUUAAAUGGAUAUCCGCCAAAUUGGAGAAGACGUGGACAAGGUAAUGAAAAUGAGAUUAAAGCUGCCAUGACAACAAAUAGCAAUCAAGACGUCCAAGCACCAAUAUUUACUCAAGAGCAAUAUCAAAAACUCCUAGCUAUGUUGUCCUCUUCAGGUAGCUACAUACUGCGAAUCUUGCAGGUAUAGCACUAAAUUCCUCUUUAUCACAUACUUGGAUCAUAGAUACAGGCGCUACUAAUCAUAUGUGUAGUUCGCUAGAUUUUUUUCACUCCUAUGAACCAUGUCAUGUUCCUCUUCAUGUUCAAUUACCAGAUGGUACAGUAGUACAAGUACUCACAUAGGGAAAGUCUCUUUUUCACCAGAUUUUUUAUUAGACAAAGUAUUUUACAUUCUGAGUUUUAAGUUUAAUUUACUGUCUGUUAGUCAGUUAACCAAAUCAAAUAGAUACAAGGUAAUUUUUUCUUCCAAUUUUUGUGAGUUUCAGGACCUAUACACGAAGAAGCAGAUUGGCAAGGGUAGACUUCGUGAAGGUCUUUUCUACAUCCAACUUCCAGCUGCAUUUUCUUUCACCUCCCAAAUCACCUCUACACAUGAGAUUGAUCUUUGGCAUUGGAGACUUGGCCACCCUUCUCUUGGACGUUUAGAGCAUUUUUCAAAAACUUGUCCUAUGGUUAGUUUUAAUAAAGAAUAUGUUUGUGAUAUUUGUCCUAAAGCAAAACAAACUAGAAAGCCAUUUUCCAUUAGUAGCAUCAAAAGUAAAAUACCUUUUGAAUUAAUCCAUUGUGAUGUUUGGGGUCUUUUUUCAACUUCAAGUUUUUCAGGGGCUCAUUAUUUUUUAACCAUUGUUGAUGAUUAUACUCGAUGCACUUGGUUAUAUUUAAUGAAAACCAAAUCCGAAACCCAAUUGCAUUUAUGUUCUUUUCAUGCAUUGAUAAAAACUCAAUUUAAUACUAACAUUAAAAUUGUGCGUUCUGACAAUGGGACUGAAUUUCUUGUUAAAGAAUUACAGAAAUUUUUUUUAGACCAAGGGAUUAUUCAUCAAAGAAGUUGCGUUCGAACACUGCAACAGAAUGGUGUGGUUGAGCGUAAACAUCGCCAUCUUCUCGAAGUUGUGCGAGGUCUACGUUUUCAAGCCAAUUUGCCAAUUAAAUUCUGGGGGGAGUGUGUUCUUACUGCAGCAUAUUUGAUCAAUAAAUUGCCUAGUGAUGUUCUUAAUGGAAAAACCCCACAUGAAAUGCUUUUUGGUAUAGCACCAGAUUUAUCACGCCUAAAAGUUUUUGGUUGCUUGUGUUUUGCCAAAAAUUUACAAGUUAAAAAUAAAUUUGAUCAGCGGGCGAAAAUGGGAAUUUUUAUUGGUUAUCCUUUUAGUAAAAAAAGAUAUCGGAUUUAUGAUAUUGAAUCUAAGAUAAUCUAUGUGUCACGUGAUGUUCUCUUUUAUGAACAUAUUUUUCCUUUUAAGGAUGUUAAAUCACCGGUUUUUUCUACACAUGUCACUAAUGAGUUUUUAUUUGAUGAAAAUUUUUUUGAGUCCAAUACUCUUUUAUCACCUUCUCCUAAUGAAAACAUAAGUUCAUCACAUGCUCUUCAUGAACGUGACCCACCUUUGCAAGACAAAGAUCCAUCCGUGACCAAUUCUUCUUCUCCCGACACCACUCAUGAACACAUCAUAACUGAAACAUCAUCUACCCAACAGCCUGGUUCACCAGCAGAUGCAACCUUAGAUUCAUCACUUUCUUUAGGCAACCAAAAUAUCCAGACUCCCACACGACCCCAACGUGAUAGACGCCCACCAGCUUACCUUCAAGAUUAUUGUACCUUGGCUUCUCACAAUUCUACCCAUGCUGAUCUUGUUUCUUCGUCUCCAGGUAAGAAAUAUCCUCUUCACAAUUUUAUUUCUUACCAUCUUUUUUCUCCAGCACAUAAGUCUUUUUUGUCUGCCAUUACCUCUACAACCGAACCAAGUUCUUUUCAUGAGGCAGUCAAGUUACUUGAGUGGCGCAAAGCCAUGGAGAAUGAGAUAACAGCUCUUGAGAAAAAUAAUACGUGGACUCUGACUCAUUUGCCGGAUGGUAAAAAGGCUAUUGGCAGCAGAUGGGUUUAUAAAAUUAAAUAUCAAUCCAAUGGCACCAUUGAGCGUUAAAAAGCUCGUUUAGUUGCUAAGGGAUAUACUCAAACAGAAGGCAUUGAUUAUCAUGCUACUUUUUCACCGGUUGCUAAGCUUGUCACUGUGAGAGCUUUACUUUCUCUUGCGGCUGUUAAGGGUUGGAUUUUAGAACAAUUAGAUGUAAGCAAUGCUUUUUUACAAGGAGAUUUAGAGGAAGAAGUUUAUAUGCAAGUACCACAAGGUUUUUCUAAGCAGGGGGAAUAUCUAGUCUGCAAACUCAACAAAUCUAUCUACGGAUUACAACAAGCAUCCAGAAAUUGGUUUUCCAAAUUUUCUGCUACCAUUCAACAAGCUGGUUUUCGCCAAUCUAAGGUUGACUAUUCAUUAUUUGUAAAAACUAAUGCCAAAUUUUCAACCUUUGUGUUAGUUUACAUUGAUGAUAUUAUCGUAGCAGGGAAUGAUGCUGCCGAGGUUAGCAGAAUUAAAGAUUUUCUUGCACAGAAAUUUUACAUCAAGGCAUUAGGGAAGUUGGAAGUAUUUUUUGGGGAUCUAAGUGGCACGGUCAUCACGUGGGAUCUUCUUGAGUCAGCGAAAAUAUGCCCUGGAUAUUUUAAAGGAUGCUGGUUUACUUGCUGGACGAGUUUCUCAUUUUCCAAUGGAACAAUAACUUCGGCUUUCAUCUACGGAUGGCGACCUUUUAUCAAAUCCCUCAAGUUAUCGACGUCUUGUAGGUCGGUUGAUCUAUCUCACAGUUACCAGGCCUGAUAUUGUCUUUGCAGUACAUGUUUUAAGUUGAUUUAUGCAUGAACCACGAACUACUCAUAUGGAUGCUGCCAUUCGAAUGCUUCGGUAUUUAAAAGGCUCACCAGGCAAGGGUAUCUUAUUAUCUUCAACAAGUGACUUACAUAUCCGGGGUUACUAUCAUGCGGAUUGGGGUAGUUGUCCUACUACACGUCGGUCUGUUACUGGUUAUUGUACUUUCCUUGGUGACAGCCCUAUAUCUUGGAAAACAAAGAAGCAAAAUGUGGUCUCUCGAUCUACAGCAGAAGCUGAGUAUCGCUCCUUGGCUGAUCUUUCAUGUGAAUUACAGUGGCUCAAAGCACUUUUUGCUGAUUUGGGGCACCUUCAACAUGAUCCUAUGACUGUUUUUUUGUGAUAAUCAAUCAGCUUUAUAUAUCGCCGAGAAUCCUGUCUAUCAUGAGCGAACAAAGCACAUUGAGUUAGAUUGUCAUUUCGUGCGAGAGCGUGUGCAAUCCAAUUUGUUAUUACCACUGCAUAUUCCUACUUCCAUGCAAGUAGCUGAUGUGUUUACAAAACCUCUCGGACAUGCUCUUUUCCAUCAUCAUAUACGCAAGUUGGGCGUUGUUGAUCUCCACGCUCCACCUUGAGGGGGAGUAUUAACGUAUAGAAUUCGUAUAGCAUUCGGUUUUGUAUAUAGAAGUCAUAUAGAAUUCGGUUUCAUAUUUAAGGCAAUUAGAUUUGUAUAUAUAUUAUGAAUCUAUAAUGCUUUUCUACUUAGGAUUCUAUUCUUUUCGGCUGUACAUCUAUAUAUACAUGUAGCAACGUUAAUGCAAGUAAUAACAAGAGUUUAAUUCAUAAACUCAGUUCUUUAUUUUACAUAAGUCUAGUGAAUAAUAUUUGAAAACACGUGUAAAAUGGAUUGAAUUGCUGUAAGAUCUGUCCAAAUUAAACAGUCUAAACUAAUUUACAGGCUUGUGGGAACAAAUAUAUAUAUAUAUUUUUUAGCAACUUCAGAGUCAUUAAAAAAUGGAAAUUUUGUCCCAAAGCAGCUUUUUGUUGUAUGAUUAAAGAGAAAUGUGUGAUUUUCAGGUUGAAGGAAGGACAACAAAAGCUCAGAUAUGGCACACUGCAGGUCAAGAGGGAUACAGAGCAAUAACCAGUGCCUAUUAUAGGGGCGCGCUUGGAGUGCUCUUUUAGUUUAUGAUGUGACAAAAUCAACAACAUUUGAAAACGUGAGCCGGUGGCUGAAGUAUCUGAGGGACAACUCCAACUUUGUGAUCAUGAUGAUCGGCAAGGGGACUGAUGUGAAGCACCUCCCAACUUCUACGUCAAUUUUUUUAGACUCUCAAUGGAUUAUUGUUUAAACUUGUUUUUAUUUAAUUUUUGUUAACAAUGUUAUAUUUGAAUUAUCCUCCUUAAUUGUUGUUGAGAUAUCAGAAUUAUUUUGUUAUUGUAAGAAAUAAUUCAAUGGGCCACUCCAAUUCUCAGCCCAAUGUGCAGCUUGUUAACCAAAACAAAGAAGCCCAGCAUUGUGCUAUUGUCUCCUUCAUUGAAGAGACCUGUCACAGAAUACUCUCUGCAUACAUAGUACAGUGCACAGAGAAAUAUUGUAAACCAUUUGAUGCUAGGGUUACACAAAUCUAUGGCUAGAUUAACAGUUUAGGUUACUUGGAGAGCACAAACAAAGGCCCGUCAUUAUCUCAACAUUCAAAAUUCUAACUGUUAUGGCAGUGUGUGCCAGCCAUGUUACAGCUUACGAUUUACAUUCUCUUUUCUAAUUUGUAUUUAUUAAAUUUUUUCUCAUAAGAUGGGUAUUUUCCUUGUGUGUUUGCCGAAGUCUUGAACAAUUUAUGUUUACCAAUUUCAUUUAAUAUCUUUUAUGAUACAAAAGUCUCUGUCAAUUUAGAUAUUUUGUUUACACAGUUCUUUAGCAAGUUUUUUUUUACGUUGCAUUCCAAAAUUUAAAUUAAAAGAAAUUAUGUUAAUUGUAAUAUUAAUAAAGAUAUGUAGAUUGAUUAUUGGACGCGAUGCGACAAUGCGCAAUUUAAAAAUUGAAAUAUUACAAAAGCCCAUAAAUUUUGAUGUGUGAAUGAAAUGAAAUUAUCGGUACUUAUAUGAUAUAGAUACAUAAGAGAUAAUUUAUGAUAAGUCUUCUUCUAAGUAGGUGUGACGAAGACCUUAUUUUUUAGAAUGUUGACCAAAUUAAAAGGACAGAAAAUCAAUCCUAAUUUGCUAAAAGAUAAAAAAUAAUAAUAUUAAAAUAUGUGUUUUUAUAUAUAUUUUUUAAUUUUGUUCUUAUAUUAAUAAAAUGAGGACAUCCUCAUUAGGAAAUUAUUCAAUUUAUAAUAAACCAAAAAUUUGUCAUAAUUUACACAAAUUAAAGCAUUGCAUUUGCAUAAUUUCAUCAAACUUGCAUAAAUUCAAUUAAUAUUAUUCACAAUCUUACUAGACGAACAAAAAAAGAAAAGAAAACAAAAAUUAUAUUAAAAAAAUAGUUACUAAUAAUGGAAAAUAAAAUGGAUAUACGUUGCAAUUGAUGCAGCAUAUUCAGCAUUCACACCCGUUACGUUUAAGAAAUAAAUUGAGUAAAUUUGAGACCCAACGCAUCCUCAGAUUCCCAUUAUGCUAGAAGAAGGUGAUUUAAAUGUUGAACAAACUUAAAGAAAAGAAAAGAAAAGAAACAAAACAGCAUCUUGCGACCAUCUUGACUAAAUUUCAUUUUCCUCGCAUUUUCAUCGCUACUAAGCUCCAAUCAAGAAUUACAAAACCAACGGUCCAUCAUUGUCUUUCCCUUUUUUCAGUUAUGCCACCCAUGGAACGAAUCCAUAUUAGUCGGUUACUUUAACUCCUAAGUUGGGUCUAUUGUAUGCUUAAAAGAAGUUAGGAGUUGUGAUAAUUAAGCCUCUCUAUAUAUUUCACCAUCCCUUGCUCCUCAAUUAAAUAUAUAUAAUUACUAAAAUUAUCCUUACUUUUUAAUAAGGAUAAUUAAUAUUUUAAUUUUAAUUUUUCCCCCUCUCAUCAGCUCUCUCGCACAAGCGUCACCAUCAUCCUCACCAUUUAUAUUCAUCACUAUCAAUUCAUUACCGCUUGUAGAAUAUAAUGAGUUUUUGUUGUUGAGUUUUAUCUAAUUUUAUAAGUGAUGAAUUUUAUUGUACUGAUUGUAUGGAUUUUGAUGUGUGACGAAUAAAUUACCAAAAAAAAAAAAAUUCUUAUUACUGGUCGCUAUUAUUUCUCACCUCUUGAAACUUAUCAUUAUCAUAAGAGCCGAACAACAAAAUUAUGAAAAUCUAUUUUUGACUUAAUUUUUUAUUCUCUUGUUUUUAUUGUUUUUUCUUUUUAUGCUUCCUUUGUUCUUGAAUUUAGCUUACAAAAUUAGUGAUCAUGAUACCAUAAUAUAUUGAGUUUGCUUCAUUGAAGGAGCAAAGUAGGUUACUCCAAAAAUUAAAAGUUGAAACUAAUAACAGUGCAAACCAGAGGAAAAAAAAUUUGAAUUUACCAUUUUUAUAAUAUUGAUAAAAAUUAUAUAGUCUAAUAGUGUCAUCACUCUUCUUCUUCCGUGAAUUGACUAUUUUUAUAUAGUCUCCCUUACUUUUGAGAACCUUAAUUCACUCUCCAUAUUUGUUAAGAAGCCAAAAAUAAAUAAAUAAAUAAACCGAACCUCAUUUUCCCUUAUCUUUUGACUAAAUAUAGGAGUAAUUUUAAGACUUUCAAAAAUAAGGGGGAUGAUUUGAAGAUAAUCAAUUCAUGAGAGUAUAAUCCAAAAUUCAUCCUUAUGCUACUAAAAGGAUUUAUACUUUUUUAGUGCAAGUUGUUUUUUUACUAUUUGAAUUUGAUUUUUAAGUGCCAAAUAAUUUUUUUAAUAACUUUUAUGUUUGAUUUUUUUUAAGAGUUAUGCUAUUAGCACCCCCUCAUUUCCUAAUAAAACUCUGUCUUUAGAUUUAUAAUUUUAUGCAUGUGUAAAAUUAGAGGAAACCACAUCCAAUUUCAUCUCGUCUUCCGCAAACUUAUUACAACCACACAUUGCAGAUUCAUAUUAUAAAUGAAUUAGAUAAUCGUAAACUUGUGUAUUUGUGCUUUUCUUUUAGCAAUUACUGUGAAAAGUUAAAAAAAAUUAUAAAUGGGAAUAUAUACAAAUCCGUUCGUAUAAUAGUGACGUCGAACAAAAUAAAAAUAAAAACUGUAAUAAUGAUAGCAUAUCCAUUAAGUCACGAUCUGUCUUCGUUACUUAUAAAAAGUCAAUCAGGUCGGGUUUCGGUGGCAUGACGAGACAAUCAUGAUAUUCAAAAGACAAUCAUGACGAGACAAUCGUUACUUAUUGGAGUGGAUUCUUGUUUGGAAUAUUUUCAAGUUUCCACGCACUUUAGAUUCGAUGGGCACUAAAUAAAGCCAGGGUUUCGUUACCACAAUUCGCUAUCAAAAUUGAUUUAAUACCAAAUUUACUAUCAAAAUUAAUUUUCCUUCAUUGCUUAAUUUUAACAUAAUUCAUGAUCGUUCCUUUCAUCAUCAUAAUCAUCAACAUCAUUAUUAUCUAGUAUGAAUGACUGAAGGUGUCUAAUUGACUUUUCUUUUUAUUCAUUUCUUUCUUAUAUCAUUUAGUUGAAAGAGAAAAGCUACUCCUUCAUAGAACCCUGUAAGUUAAUGUACAAUCUUGACUCUUCUCUUAUGUAAUUCUUCAUUUCAAUAGAAGUGGGUAUCUAUUAAUUUAAAUAGAGGAGCGAAGGGGGUAUCAACAGUGAAGAGACCAUCGAUGUAUAUCCGUAUACUUAUGGGUUUGAAAAUAAGUCUUAGAAAAUAGAUAUUCUCUUCAAAUGUUAUGUCGGACACAACAUAGAUUUUCCUUUCUUUUCAAAUUUUAAUUUAAAACAAAUGGUUGUUUUGUUGUCGUGUUGGAGGAGUUUUUCGGAUGAACCUUGACUGGUCGUAGGGAUAUUUUAAAAAAUAUAAGUGAUUAUAUGAUGAAAUCCAAAAAGGUUAAAGGAAAAUAGCAAUUUCCAUUAUUGAAAAUCUACCCAAAAUUACAUUCUCUGAAAACGACAAACAACCAUCACGAAUAUUCACGAUUCACAUUGCCAUUAUUGUUUAUUCAUUAUCAUAUUGAUUAAUUUUUCUUAUCCACACGAUCGUAAAUUGUCUUAUAUAAUAUAACUAAAUAAUUAUAACAAAAUGUGAAAGCAUUGCAUGACUCGACAGGGGAGACCAAUGAUGGCAGAAUGGUAAAUAAAGGCAAUAAGGAGGCUUGUGUCCUUUGACGGCAGAAUGGUAAAUAAUGAUGCCGUUGUUGGAAUAACUUUUGGUUACAUUACAAAUCCUAAAGUUCCCUAAUUCCGUUUAUGUCCCUACCUCCUAAAUCUAUAUAUAUAUAUACGCUUUCCUAAAGCUUGUUCACCACUUGCUUGCUGUUUUCUCAGGUCAUAUUAGCGUGUGAAAUUUAAAAAGGUAUUAGCGUUGGAAAAGAUAGGUGAAAUUUAAAAAGGUAUUAGCAAAUAAUAUUUUGAUGGUCACUCUGUGCUUCAUCAUGUAAAGUGGAUUGAAUUGCUACAACCUUUGACAAACAUUUAUAAAUAACCGCACAUUAAUCGCCACGUUUGCAAAUAUUCUGCAUACAUCCUUUGACAAACAUCUUGCUAAUGAAUUUAGACGUUAAAACAGUACAAUCACUAAUGAUCUAACAAUUUAACGAAAUAAAUAGAUAGAGUUGGUUGAGUCAUGCAUGAAUGAUAUAAAUAAACUAUAAGUUUGUUUUGCCUGCUUAAUUAUCUGUAGAAAUUAUUUUAAGUUUAAUUAAGCUCAAAUUGGCUUUUGAGAGUAGAUGUUAUUUUUUUGUAAAAUAUUAAAAUGUCUAAAAUAUUUUUUAUUUAUUUAAUAAUCUUAUUUCAUUCCUUUCAUAGAGUAUUUAAAAAAAAUUACUAUUAAAGUAAUUUUAUAAUUUUUAAUAAAAAUUCUUAUUGAUAAUCAAACAACUAAUUUUUUAUUUUUUUAAAUGAAAGCUCCAUUUGUAAAAUUUUUACCAAAAAAACUAUACUUAAAUAAGCUGUAUUUAAAAAAUUUUACCAAAUGGAGUCUCAAUAAAAAUAAAAUAGCUUAGGUAGCGUUUUUUUUUUUUUAAUCUAAAUGUGUUUGAAUUUUUCUAAAGUCUGAAUGGAUCUAAAUAUGAAAAUCUAAAUGACAUGUUUGUUUUUCUUUUUUAAAUAUCUGAAUAUAAGUGACAUCUUGUUUGUUUUUAUAAUAAAAAACAUCUUAAACUUGGUUACUUGACAUUUAUGUCCUUGUAAAUUAAAACAAAAAAAGAGGAUUAGAUUUUAUAGUUUAGGAAAUAUGUUAUUUUACAAAGAUAUUUUUAGAAUAUAAUAUUUACUUGUCUUUCAGACCUUUUUUCAUUCAGAUAAAAGUCACAAAUGUUUACUUUUUCUAUUCCGAUGUAAAUGUCUGAAAAUCAGAUAUAAGUUCUAAAAAAUAAACAAGCAUAUUUUAGAAAAUGUUUGAAAUUAAUAAAAUUUCAGACUUCAGACAUUUAACAAACAACUUCUUAUUAAUCUUUAAAAGUUCUUCUAAAAAAAAGACAAUAAAAUUUUUUAAAAGAUCUUAUGAGAUUAAAUAAAUAUUUAUGAUUAUUAAAUAAAUCAUGUAAAAUAGGCACAUACUUGUAAAAUGAUAGACUUUGUUUGUAGUUUAUUACCGAUUUGUCGUUCUUUAAUAAUAGGAAAUUGAUUGUAUGAAAGAUAAAGAUAAAAAUUAAUUAGAAUUUUAUAUAGUAAAAAAAUUGAUUAUUUGUGUUAAGGUAAAUUUUUUUUUUCCCCUUCGAACAGGUGUGAUUUUGAUGGUAGCAGUAUAACAGAACUAAUUGACCACGAAAGAUAUUCAAAUAUACUCUGGGCCCCAAUAUUUACAUGUCCCCACAGGCCAUAUAUAGAUGCACGUCUGUGUUUACACUUAGGAAUUUCCUUUUUGACAAAGGAAUCUUCCUUUGUCUAUAAGUUACAGCUUGGUGACAUUAGCAGCUCCCUUCAUUUAGACACUAAUUGUUGUAUUCGUGCAGUCUAUAAGUUACGGCUUGUGAAAUUGGCAGCUCCCUUCAUUUACACACUGUUUCUGCCCUCGUUUAGACCCUUUUUUGGAAAAACACUAUUCGCACAAGUGGCUUUUUUGGAAAAUCACUUUUUUGUAUUUUCAGGUACUCCCGCAGUUCCCUAAGUCGGUUUAUGUCCCUACGUCCUGAAUCAAUGUACAUACGCCUCUCUUGAAACUUCUUCACCACUUGCUUGCUUCUUUCUCAGUUCAUUUGCUUCAGCUUCCUCUUCCACUUGCAUCCUUCUUAAUCCAAUGCAGUGUAAAUAUAAUUAGUAGCAAGUAAACUAAUUAACGUCCCUAACUCUUUUAAAAGUCUUGCUACCUCUUAUGAGCAGAAAGAGAAAGCAAAGAAAUGGAAGUGCGGAGGUUUCAUGUUAAUGGCGGGUACCGAGUUGAGAGAAUCACAACAACUGAUUCUCAUCAAUUCCCUCGAGAGAGGCGUACCCUUCCUCAAAGGUUUCUCCUCUCUUCUCGUCCUUCUCUCAAUUAUAUAUAAAUAAUUUCCUUUUGGCUUCAUUACAAAAUUUUGGCGGGUUUCAAGUGGGACAUAAAUGUAUAAUUCGUGAUUAGAUAAUAUGACUUUUUACUUGCAGGUUACACACUACGAUUAUCAUGAUAUCGAGCUGUGUAAUCCAUAUGAGCGGACCAACGUUUAUUAGGUGAGUAUCUACUUUCAUUUGCGAAAAAUGUAUUCAGUUUCCAAUGUCCAUAGAUCUUGUUUGUAUAUAUGCAACACCAUAUGAUAUAAAGUCAUUUGUUUCUUCUUGAUAAAAGUUCGUCUUAAUUUGCACCAGGAUUGUACAAAUUAAGGCUUGGCACGGCAGGGGCAAGGUCUUUUUGAUCUCAGCCUUUAAAAGUACUUGAUUUUGUGUUUUGCAAUUUCGUUUCUUUUCUUUUCUCUCUCUCUCUCUCUCUCUCUUUUUUUUUUUUAAGAAAUUUGUGUUUUGGAAUUUCUUAAAAUUAGAGUUAAGCUUCCAGCACCUCUUUAAUUAAAACUCUUAUAUGAAACCCCCACUUAUUAUAUGUAUAUCUCUUAUAAUUAAAUAUUAAACUAUAAAUUUUAUAAUAAAAAUCUUAUCAUUAUAUAAUUUAUUAUUUUAUUACCCCAAAAUUAUUUUGAUUUUAAAAUAAUUAUUUUAUAUCAUUUACAUAUGGGAGGGUUCAUGAUUUUUAAGUGUAAAAAUGUUUCAUUUAGUUACAUUUAUAUUUAUCUUUUUAUGUAAUUUUUCUCUAACACUAGAGCUACGAUUACAAAAUGUGGGGUCUUAGUUUCAUAAGUAUUUUAAAAGGCUGGGAAAAGCAAUAUUCUAAGAUUAUCUUCAUUAAAUUUUACAAAGACAGUAACUUGUAUGGUUCUACUUAUACCACCCCUCAAUUUUUCUUAUAAAGCCUUUUUUUUAUAUUUAUGAUUUUACCUUAAUAAGACUACAUGAAACGAUAAAUUCAAUUCAAUUUUUUUUAAAACCUCUUUCUUUUGUAUAAUUUUAACUAUGGUUAAAAUAGUGAGGUUAAAAGGAUUUAGAAUAUUAAAUAAUGGAAUGAAGGGAAAAGUUCCCAAAUCAAGGGCACGAAAGAGCAUUACCCCAUAUGAACAAACUAAGAACGAUCCAUCAUCAAAUAAUGAUAGAGAAAGCAGAGUUAAAGAGUAUACAUUGCAACUAUAUAUUAUUUUUAUAUCAUAAUUUAUUAUGCAAAUUAAGUAAUUAUAUCUUCUUUUGAUGGUUUUGCAGUGUGCAAAAUUUGUCGUCAUCAUCGGCACCAUACCACAAAAUCUUUGCAUUUCUAAUUCCAUUGCUUGUUGGAGUUAUUGAGAUUAAUAAUAUUCAAGAAAAAAAUAAAUCCUUGAUCGAAACACACUCGAUGAGUAUGUGCCUGUUUCUGUUGGCACUACUCAUCUACGCCUUUCCAUAUUUUGCUACCAUGAAAUUCAAGCUUCAAAUCUUCAAGGCAAUUGUUGUGAUCUCAGGGUCUCUUUGCUCAGUUUCAUUAGUCUCCAUUACUCUACCACACCCUUAUGGACAUUUCAGUUUCAUUAUGUGGGCUUUUGUUGUUCUUCUUGUUGCUUAUAACAGGAGGCUUCAUAAGAAGAUUUGGCAAUUUUGGAAUAGAUUUGGAGGAAACAAUCAACUGCUCGAUCGCCUAUAUGCAGACACAUACCCGUGGAUGACAGCGGCAGUGGCCAAGAAGCAGCCAGAGUGGUGGCGGCUACGAUGGCGGCAACGGCCAUGAUUGUCUUUGUAAUAUAUUUGCCUUGUCUUCUCUCUCUACAUUACAAUAAAAAUUAUCGUAAAUAAUACCCAAGAGAAGGGGGAGGAAGCACGAGAUGAAAAUGGCCCCAUGAUAGUGGACUUGAGCAAAGUCGCUGGUCCCAUUUGAAUUUUGAUGCCGCAAUUUUUAUCUUUUUUAAUUUUUUUGUGUGGAAAAUUCUCUUUUAAAUGUGCAUUACAGCCAAAAUUCUAUCUCAUAUUAAAUGAAAUCAAGAUGAUGCAAAUAAGCUGCCUCUGCCAUCAUGACCUUCAUCAUCAACAACACUUAGAUCCUUGAAGGUAAAUACAUAUAUAUUUUUUUUUUAUAUUUUUAGUUAUUAUGAACUACGUACAGUUCUUUCUUUUAAUAGAUGAAAGAGUCUAAAUUUAACAAAGCUCAGAUUUUAAAUUUUUGAGAGUAAAAAGUUAAAUUUUUUUAAAAAUAUUAAAAUAUUUAAAACAUCUUUCACUUAUUUAAUAAUUUUUUUAUUUUUUAUAAUAUAACUUAAAAAACAUAAUCAUUAAAAUAAUUUUAUAACUUUUAAUAAAAAACCUCAUUCAUUAACAAAUAAAUAUCUUAAAAAUUUUUUUAAUGAAAACUUGACUAGCAAAAAUUAUAUUUAAGUGAACUCCAUUUAACAUGUAUAGAAUUUGAUCUAUUCUUAUAACACAACAAAAUCAACCCGCUGCCCAGGAUCCCUACAAGAUCAAUACUAAGCUGCAUACACUUAGUUUAAGCUCAAUCAGAUCAGAACAAUAACUCAAACUAAUUGUAUCAAGGACCUUGAACAAACUAAGAUGAAAUCAAGAAACUAAAGCAAUCAUAACACAAAACACACACAGAGAUACGUGGUUCGGUCUGUGUUUGACCUACGUCCACGGUGAAUCCAUCAGGAAAACCUCCAUUAAUGAAUCAAGAUGUUUAGUUACAGUGCUGUGAGAUCAAAACUACAAAGAACAAGAUUUCACUCUCCCUCUUUACAGUUUCUCACAGAAGUCUCUGGAUCAAGAUGCUGCACAGGAACACGACACGUGUUCAAGAAUCUGUUAUAACGAACUUGGGAUCGAUUAAAAUGAUCACGCGCUCGCUCUCGUGCCUCCACAAAUCAGUUGUGCUCAAAACGAUUUCAUGGUUGCCGUUUUAUGCAUUAAGAGCUUUAUGCCUCUCACGUGACUUCAUUAAGCCAAUUAGAAGACUUAGCAAAACGAUGCCGCUUUGGUUAAACCAUAUGAAGCACAUGGACAUCCUAAGAUGAAAAUCCCACCAUCGGGGGCCCCCCCUCGGUCACACCACGGAAAAUCCAACAAUUCCAGCUGUGCUCAAGACGAUUUCAUGGCUGCCGUUUGAUGGAUUAAGAGCUCUAUGCCUCUCACGUGACUUUAUGAAAAGAAUAAGGAGAUAUCAGGUAAGAUAUAUAAUUUUUCCACAGUUCAAUAAUUAUAAAAAUAUAAAACCGAAAAUGUAAGAAUCAUGAUGGUAAUGUUUUUUGAUCUAUCGUGAAAAGUAUAUCCUCCCACAGGGUCCCACGUCGAACAAUUCCACAAUCGAGGUCCCACUCUCGGUGGUUACCAUGUCUUUACCCAUUUUAUUCAUAAAGGUAUGAACAGUCUUAUUUCUUCUCUUUAAAUUCCUUGUCAUUUCCCCAUUUUCUUCAAUCUUUAACAUUCAUCAGUAGCAGAUUGCAGUUCGCCUCCGAGGAUGCCGAGCAAUCUUCAUCAACAAAACACUUCACCUUCAAAGUAUAAUUUUAUACUGUUUUUUUCCCCCCAUUGAUAAUUUAUAUUCUACCACCCCCGGUAAAAGCUUACAAACAUGGUUUAUUUUUGCAGUGAAGGAAAUUUGGUUUCGUCGAUGCUUUACCAAGUCAUUUUUGCAUAUCUGAUUCCAGUCCUCAUUGGUAUCCUGGGAGCCAAUACUCAGGGCAGAACAGAGCCCUUGUUCAAAACACAUACAAUAAAUAUGUGGGGUUUUCUUGUGGCCAAGGUAAUCUACUGCUUCGCACUUGCAGCUGAUAUCAAGUCCCGCCUUCAUCAAGAAAAUUCUUCGCAGUUAUCGGGCCUUGUUGCGGUUGUCUCAGGAUCUGUUUCUGCAGUAUCUUUGGUCUCCACCUUUCUUCCACCGUCCAUUGGUCAUAUCAUUUUGUACACUUCAUGGUUUUGCGCUGCCACUAUCAUUUUUCUCUAUCAAUAUGGCAUAUUGUUUAUGGAUGCCUGCCGUCGGUUCUACUACGAUACUUUGAAGCUACUUUUCACCAGAAUUUGGAAUUGGUUUCAAGAUAAUUAUCUCCUCGAAACAGCUGCAGAGUGAAGGGUAGAAACUUGCAGGAACCUCUCUUGAAUAACCUAAGGCACACGAAGCGUAAAAAUUUUCAACUUUUAGCAUGCAGGUGGCGCAAAAAAUAAUUUUUUUAUCCUUUAAAAAAAGUUUUAAUAUACUUAUAGUGAUUGUUGCUGCAAUUCCAAAGUUAUAUAUAUAGUUAGAUUGCGUUCUGUUAUACCACUUAUUCGGCAGCCUCUUUCUAAAAAGAAUAUUUUGACGUUUGUUAUUUGAUAAUUUUUCGGGAUAGUUAAUUAGGUUGAAUUAAAUUCUGAUGGAGUGUUAAAAAAAAAUUGAAAGUAAAUAUAUCCAUUGUAUAUCUCUUUAAAAUAUAUAUAUAUAUAUAUAUAUGUGUGUGUGUGUGUGUGUGUGUGUGUGUGUGUGUGUGUGUGUGUGUGUGUGUGUGUGUGUGUGUGUGUGUGUGUGUGUGUGUGUGUGUGUGUUUUUGUGUGUUUAAUGGCCAAUAAAAUUAGAACAGGUGUCACAACAUUUAUUAAUGUAAAAAACAUUUGACAAUUUUAACUAACUUAACUAAUUAGCUAAUGUUAUGUUACAUUCAUGUAACUUAUAACUCAUUCACAUAAAUAAUUAAUGGUAUGAGCUCAUGUAUUAUUCAUGUGAGAGGAUUGUAAAUUAUACGCAUGUGAAUUAAGGGAAUUACAAGUAAUUAUAUAUCUAAAUUAAAAGACUGAAGAAAUUAGCAAAGAAUAAAAAAUAUUUUAAAAUUUCCUAGUACGUGAAAAAUUGAAAAAAAAAAAACACAGCGAAAUUAUGGGCCCCGCAACUUUCGGGGAAAAACCAAAACAUGUCAGCUUUCUCUCUCACUAUCAUUCGAAGAAGCAUUCUCACGAUCAUUUGAAAUUCUAUGAUAUCAGGCUCAAUUAAGACCAAGAGGUCGCUUUUUAUCAUGAACUUUCAGGUUUAUUUUCAAUUAAUCUCACCAAAUUUGAUGGAUUUGUUCACUAGUUUCAUGAAUUUCAUCUCUCACUCUCAUUCGAUUGAAGAAGCUUUCACUUCCAUUUGAAUUUUUUCGAUCUCGAUCGGUUUCAAUACAGCGGAAGAGGUUUGAUUUAAAUCUGGCUUUUAUUCAAGAAUUUCAUAUUAAUCUCACCAAAUAUUAUGUGUUUUUCCUCUAAUUCAUUGUUAUGGAUCUAAUUCAUUCCUCCAAUUCAUUGUUAGGAUCUAAUUUAUGUCUCUUAAUUUAUAACGUUUAGGUUUGGGCUUUGGUUAUUUGAUUAUUAACCUUGUAGCCUCUGGAUACUGUCAAAGAGAGUGUAUUAAUCCACACUAAGUAUGUUGUAUUGGAACUAUUAAGCGGAAACUAGAUGGCUUCUGUUUACUAAGCAAAACAAGAAUUGAGUUAUAAUUAGGUCAGCUUUAUUUUGGCUGAAACUAGGUGGGUUCUGUUUACUAACUUGUUUGUAUUGUCGUCUUUCGUAACCCAUUCUUUAAGCUACAUUAGGGCAUUAGAAACAGAGCUUGAAAAGAAAUUAGUACCUGCAUUCAUUGUAGUGAAACUUGGACCAGCUUGUUCAUUCGUAUACAACUAUUAUAGCUGCGCAACUCCAUUUACAAUUCCUUUGCAAUCAGAUGAGUUUUUUUUGAAAGGAUAGGCUUCAUGUUGGGAUGUCUUUUGGUCUUCCUUUAUUGUCUAGUAACUAAUUUGUUCAACACUUUCUAUGUGGAAACUGUUAUGUUCUUUGGAUGUACUCAUCAUUGUACACAGGGUAAGUGGUGAUCUUCAUUACCUUAAUUUUUUAUAUCUGGAUUCUAGGCUUCUUACGUACUUAUGUGAAUCAUUUUUUGGCACCAUAAUUUUAUAAAUGUUACUCUAUGGCUUCCAGAAUUUUCUGAAGAUUUUUUUUCACUGAAUAUUCUAUGUUUGACCUUUCUAGGGGUUUAAAGUGAAAAAUGAGUUUAUUGGACUUCGGAAAUUGGUGUACCUAUUCUGUGGCCUAGUAGCUCUUAGAAUUUUACAUAAACUCCCUUUCCUUGUUAUUUGAUUUCCUCUCAUAUUUGUAUGCUGAAUUACAGGUCUAUCAUUGGAAUCUUAGAUUAUUGCUUGUGUGGGGCUUUGAGAUGUGCCUCUAUUGUACUUAGAUGGUAUUGCGAGCAAAAUUGCUAGUGCUACUUCAGGUAUAUUGACAGAACAAUCAACACCUGGUUUAUAAUACAUAUAUUUAUAUGACACUCUACUUUAAUGAACAAACAUUUUCUUCCUCUAAAUUUCGCAUAUUUGGUGCCAGAAUGGAAAACAAAUAGUGCAAGAAGGUGUAUUAAUUGCCUUGGCAUCAGUUGCUGACUCAUCUCAGGUAUUCUAUACAAUAUGCUUUGAUUAGAAUUUAUUUGUUAUAGAAAGCUGUCUGACAGGAUGAUUUUGCUGUAGUAGCUGCUCUGCUAACUUCUUUUAACCGAAAAAAGAAAAAAAAAAGGUAGGGAACCAAAGUAUAUGUUCAAUUAAAAGAAAAGGUACAUACAAAAGUGAACAAUCUGUCGCUCCUUAUAAUAUCAGCCUCUGCAUUUGAUAUAUAUAUAUAUUUUUUUUGGUGAAAAAAUUAUUUCUUGAUACAUAUAAUGGUCUUUCCUGUCUGUUCACCUAAUAUUUAACUAAUGUUGAAGGCUGAAGAUUUAAUUAAUGAGCAGCCAGAUGGAGUCCAUCCCUGUAUUGAUUACCAUAACAGCUGUUGGUUACUGUGGUUUAAAAACAAAAACUUGAAAUUUUGAGUUUCAUUUUAUCCUAAAACCUCGAUGUCAACGUUUUCAGACCAACCAUCCUUUCACCACUCUAAAUCAGAAAACAUAUGAUCAGUAACGAACUUUAAAUUUUGAAACUAACCUGAUGUUGACUUUUUACGUUUUAGAGUUGAAUUGGAAUUGCAUUUAAUUCAUUAAGUGAAACCUAUGAGCCACCAGAUGCUUUCAUUGAAUUAGAUAAUUAGAUUGGCAUUCGUUGUUUACUUGGGUAUGUGAGUUGGACUGUUCUCCACAUGUUGAAGUUAGUUAUGCAAGUUGAAACCAGUCUAUUCAAGCACGAUGUUGACUUUUGGCAAGUAAGAGUUGGGAUUUCAUGUCUUGAAUCAAAGCUGAGACUUCAGGUUGAAAGUAAUUGCAGCUUUAGCCUGUUUAGCAUAGUUUGAUGAGACUGAGUGGUGUACAGUAAAAGAAAGGAAUGUUAAUUACAUGAACACAAUUUUUUAUUCUAUAAGCUUAGGUGUGAAUCCUCUUUUAUAGGAAAGAUUCGCUUAGCAUUUUCUCUUACUAAGGAUGAACUAAUGUCACUGACCCUGUCCAAGUGAAAUUAUAUUAAAAAGCUAAGCAUGCAUUAAGUUAGUGUGAGAGUGCCCUGAAGUCUAUGGCAGCUUUGAGCUAGAGCUGAGUGUUCCUUCAGCAUUUUGGGUUUGGUUGUUCUCUAUUUUGUCUGAACCCACUUGAGAUAAAGCCCCAGAGUUGCAUUCCACCCGUGAUAUUCGAGUUUAUCGAGUUGCACCAUAUCUUAUACUUUUCCUGAAAACAAAUAUAUAUGUUAAAUCAGGUAGAAAAAAUUAUUCACUAGUUGUUAUGGGUACAACUCAUGUUUUCAAACAUUUAAGAUUUUGAGCCAUUAUGUUGCUACCCCGUGGCUUUUUAAGGUACUAAAAGACGGUCAAAACAACAGAAUAUUUUAAUUACUCAUACUAGCAUGUGAUAAAGAGGUCUUAGGGUUGGAGAAGAUAGGGUAGAGGUAAUGAAAAUUUUUGUGAGUUUUGAAUUCAAGGAACAAAAUAACAAGUCUAGUGUAUAAUAUUCGAAAACCCUGCUUCUUCAUGUGAAAUGGAUUGAAUUGCUGUAAGUUCUGUCCAAAAUAAAUUGUCUAAACUCAGUUACAGGCUUGUGGGAACAUAGAGGUUUUUUUUUUCUAGCAACUCCAGUCAUUUAGAAAUGGAAAUUUUUUUGUUGUUUGAUCAAACAGAAAUCUGUGAUUUUCAGGUUGAAGGAAGGACAACAAAGGCCCAAAUAUGGGAUACUGCAGGUCAGGAGCGAUACAGAGCAAUAACCAGUGCCUAUUAUAGGGGUGCACUCGGAGCUCUUUUAGUUAUGAUGUGACAAAAUCAACGACAUUUGAAAACGUGCCUGAAGGAUCUGAGGGACCAUUCAGACUCCAACAUCGUGAUCGUGAUGAUUGGCAACAAGACUGAUAUGAAACACCUCCAACUUCUAUGUUAAUUUUUCAGUCUCUCAAUGGUUUAUUGUUGAAACUUGUUUUUAUUUAAUUUUUGUUAACAAUGUUGUAUUUGAAUUAUUCUCCUCAUUUGUUGUUGAGACUUGAGAUAUCAGAAUUAUUUGUUAUGGCUGUCAUGCAGUAUACAUUAGCCACGGUACCGCUUACUCUGGUUUUCCGGUGUAUAAUAUAUUACUUUAGUUGGAUCCUCUAUUAUAAGGCAAUGUAGUUGGCUUUUACCUUUUCUUUUUUAAUUUGCAUUUAUUUUUUUUAUAAAAUGGGUAUUUUCCUUGUGUGUUUGCAGUGGUCUUGAACUAUUUAAGUCUUUGUAACAAUAGCCAAUAUGUCUUUCAUUAUACAAAAUUCAUAAUUAUUUUCAAGUGUGGACACUUGUAUUUUCUUUUAAUGCGAAAACACUUUUAAACCGUGCGGUUUCAAAAAUAAAAAUUAAUUAGAAUUCUAUGUAGUAAGAACUUGGUUAUUUGUGUGAAGGUAGUUUUUUUAUUUUUCCUUUUCUUCUUUCUACGGUGUGAUUUGUCAAAGUGUGAGCGUGUGUGAAAUUGUCGGGUUAAUUUGUCUAAUAGUGUGUGAAAUUGUCUGAGUUAAUGGUAUUUCAUGGACAAAUUAACUCGAUUGCACAGUGGAAAAGAGUAAGCACUUUGACGAAUCACACAAAAAAGGAAGUUGCUCGUGAAAUUGUAGAUUUUUUUUUUUUGAAAAUGUGAAAUUGUCGAGUUAAUGGCAUUUCAUCGAAUAAAUUAAUUUUCACUGACCACCCCUCAAUUAUAGCAAUAUCACAUUUAGAUGAAUUUUAUGUCCGAAUUUACAGUAACAUGUCCUAAACUUAACCGUAAAGUUCAUGUAUGUGUAGUGUGGCAAUAGUUGAGGGGAGUUCAUUUACCCUCAUCCGGUAGUGUGUAGGGGUGGUAAUAUGGGUCAGAAUUCGUUUAUUCGAUUCGAUACAAUUAAUGGGUUUGAAUUUGAAAAAUUUGAUUCUUAAUAAAUGGGUGAAUUCGAUUCGAUUCGUUAAUUAAACGAAUNNNNNNNNNNNNNNNNNNNNNNNNNNNNNNNNNNNNNNNNNNNNNNNNNNNNNNNNNNNNNNNNNNNNNNNNNNNNNNNNNNNNNNNNNNNNNNNNNNNNNNNNNNNNNNNNNNNNNNNNNNNNNNNNNNNNNNNNNNNNNNNNNNNNNNNNNNNNNNNNNNNNNNNNNNNNNNNNNNNNNNNNNNNNNNNNNNNNNNNNNNNNNNNNNNNNNNNNNNNNNNNNNNNNNNNNNNNNNNNNNNNNNNNNNNNNNNNNNNNNNNNNNNNNNNNNNNNNNNNNNNNNNNNNNNNNNNNNNNNNNNNNNNNNNNNNNNNNNNNNNNNNNNNNNNNNNNNNNNNNNNNNNNNNNNNNNNNNNNNNNNNNNNNNNNNNNNNNNNNNNNNNNNNNNNNNNNNNNNNNNNNNNNNNNNNNNNNNNNNNNNNNNNNNNNNNNNNNNNNNNNNNNNNNNNNNNNNNNNNNNNNNNNNNNNNNNNNNNNNNNNNNNNNNNNNNNNNNNNNNNNNNNNNNNNNNNNNNNNNNNNNNNNNNNNNNNNNNNNNNNNNNNNNNNNNNNNNNNNNNNNNNNNNNNNNNNNNNNNNNNNNNNNNNNNNNNNNNNNNNNNNNNNNNNNNNNNNNNNNNNNNNNNNNNNNNNNNNNNNNNNNNNNNNNNNNNNNNNNNNNNNNNNNNNNNNNNNNNNNNNNNNNNNNNNNNNNNNNNNNNNNNNNNNNNNNNNNNNNNNNNNNNNNNNNNNNNNNNNNNNNNNNNNNNNNNNNNNNNNNNNNNNNNNNNNNNNNNNNNNNNNNNNNNNNNNNNNNNNNNNNNNNNNNNNNNNNNNNNNNNNNNNNNNNNNNNNNNNNNNNNNNNNNNNNNNNNNNNNNNNNNNNNNNNNNNNNNNNNNNNNNNNNNNNNNNNNNNNNNNNNNNNNNNNNNNNNNNNNNNNNNNNNNNNNNNNNNNNNNNNNNNNNNNNNNNNNNNNNNNNNNNNNNNNNNNNNNNNNNNNNNNNNNNNNNNNNNNNNNNNNNNNNNNNNNNNNNNNNNNNNNNNNNNNNNNNNNNNNNNNNNNNNNNNNNNNNNNNNNNNNNNNNNNNNNNNNNNNNNNNNNNNNNNNNNNNNNNNNNNNNNNNNNNNNNNNNNNNNNNNNNNNNNNNNNNNNNNNNNNNNNNNNNNNNNNNNNNNNNNNNNNNNNNNNNNNNNNNNNNNNNNNNNNNNNNNNNNNNNNNNNNNNNNNNNNNNNNNNNNNNNNNNNNNNNNNNNNNNNNNNNNNNNNNNNNNNNNNNNNNNNNNNNNNNNNNNNNNNNNNUAGAAAAAUUUGUAUUUAUUUCUUCUCUUUCAAAAAAAUAAAUAAAAAUUUUCUAAAUUUAGCAAGUAACAAACACUAUUUUCCUCCAAAUUUCUAGCAUCCACCUUUGAAAAAAAUUAAAUCCAUCCAAUUUAUCUCCAAUUUUCAUUUAUUUUGGAUUAAAUUGUAAUUUUGAGGGAUAAAAAAGUCAUUUCGUUAACAUUCCGUUAAAUCCACUAACGGAAAUUAGACGGAAGUGGAUGAAUGCAACAAAAAAUAAACUUCAGGUGACGCGCUGAAAAAAAAAGUGCUUGUGUAUUUUUGAAAAAGGCAAAACAAAUAGGUGGACAAGUGUAAAUUUCCCAAUUAAUUUUCCAAAUUACAAAAAAUAACGAAAAAUAUGAAGCAUAUAUACAAAUUACGAAAAAUACAAACUUUUAAUAUAAAUUGAUUUUCCAUUUUUCAUAAAUUUAAAUCAAAGCCAUAAUAUGAACUAUUUACUUAAGUCCCAUCGCAUGGCCGUGGGUCCCAACUCCCUGUAAUCAUCCAGCCACCAACGUGGAUCGUUAAAAAGUAUCAAGAUGUUCCUGUGUCGAAGACAUGAUGCAUCAAAAUUUUGUCGCGCCAAGCCUCUUUUGACCAAAAGUUUUUAUAAAAUUGAAACAUAAUGCAAAAUUGGUGAUAUAUAAUUCUGUACUGGUCACUCAUUUUGAAAUUUUCAUUUUUUCUAAACAAAAUUACAAUUAAAGUUUUCUUCAACGGAAAAAUCAUUGAUAUUUUCUUAAGAGUAAUAUUCUAGCCACGCAUUUUUAUACAAAUUAGUGUGGUAUAACAUGAUUGAUAGAAUAAAAAUAUGAAAUAAUAAAAUAAAUUAUGUGGACCGUAUAAUAUUUUUAUUCAAGAAACCAUAAUAUAGCAAAUCAAUUUAUAUAAUAAAAAAUAAUUUAUACACAAUUAUUUCAUUUGUUUCGACAAAUGGAUAAAGCAAAAACGAACAUUUUUCAUUUAUAGAUGAUAUAAAAAAGAGUUGCAGGCCGAUUUUGUGAUCAGAAGAAGAGUUGGGUUCCGAAAUCAAUAUAAAGCGAACAAGCUGCCCCUGCCUUCAUCACUUUCAUCAUCAACAGAACUUUGAUCCUUCAGAUUAGAACUUUGGUACAAAAGUACAACUCUCUUACAUUUUUAGUUGAGAUUUGAGAUAUCAGAAUUAUUUUGUUAUGGCAGUCAUGCAGUGUACGUUAGCCAUGUUACAACUUACUCUGGUUUUUUAGAGUAUAAUCUAUAGCUUUAGUUGGAUCCUCUAUUACAAGGCAAUGAAGUUGGCUUUAACAUUUUCUGUGGUCAUUUUUGUAAUUUGGUUUGAGUGUUUGACAAAAAUGGUAUUUUCCUUGUGUGUUUGCCUCGACCAAUUGCAAUUUUCUAGUUAUAAUGUUUUUGAAACAACAUCCAAAUAGCGUUAAAUAUCUUUUACUACACAAAAGUCUCUCUCAAUUUGCUAUUAUUAUUGUUGUUAUUUUUUUUUUCAAGUUCAUGGCAUUACUUUGACCAUUACAUAAUUUUUACAGCAAGUCCCGACAUUGUAGUAUUUGACUUGUGGAAACAGACUUUUAUUUAUUAUUAAUUUUUAAGAAAAAGAAUAAUAAAAAGAAAUACUAUGUCAACUGACUUGGCUCCAAGUAUAAUAUUAAAAAAGAAAUAUAUAUUGAUUAUUUGAUGCCCCGUUACAAUGCCCAAUUUAGAGAAAAUUGUUACGAAUAAUUAUUGGAAAAUGAAAUGAAACAAAAAAAAUUGUUACAUGAUGAAGCACCCUCCACUCCCUUAGCUUUAAGACAAUAAAAGUGGCGUAAAUUGGGGGACCCGCAAAGUCGUCGUGUAAGUUUGUUUUACGUGAUUUGAAGUUAUACAUAAUUGAUAAUUUCAAAACAAAUGAAAAAGAAUAAUCGAAAAAUCAAAAUGCACUUCUAUCUUGCCACCGCUCAGCACUCACCCUCUCGACUAAAUGUCAUUUUCUUUGAACUUUCAUGGCUUCUAAGCUCCCAUCAAGAAUUAGAAAUUUAUAAAUCCAUCCUUUAUCAUCUCAGCAAUACAACCUUUAUAAGCCGUGGGGUCAAUUGCAUAUAUAUAUAUAUAUAUAUGGCUGAACGGUCAAUUCCAUUUUACUUCUGACGCAACAAGCACGUUCCAUUCUCACACACCAUUACUUAUUCACAAGUUUACAUUCAUUUGACUUUUGAGCCCAGUGGUGCUAAUUUUUGAAGAUACUCUUACUGAACUGAGUGACCAAUUUCUUUUAUGCUAAAUGUAUCCUGUGAUGCAGAAGAAGAAGAAGAGUUGCAUUCCGAAGUCAAUAUCAUGCAAAUAAGCUGCCCUCGCCAUCAUCACCUUCAACCGGCAGCACUUUAAUCCUUCAAGGCAUAUGCCUACACUUUUCUUACAUUUUUAGUCAUUAUGAGCUAAAUUUUCAACACAUACAUAAUGUUAUUUCUUUAUAUCAAUAUAUUGAUGUGUCUAAGUUNNNNNNNNNNNNNNNNNNNNNNNNNNNNNNNNNNNNNNNNNNNNNNNNNNNNNNNNNNNNNNNNNNNNNNNNNNNNNNNNNNNNNNNNNNNNNNNNNNNNNNNNNNNNNNNNNNNNNNNNNNNNNNNNNNNNNNNNNNNNNNNNNNNNNNNNNNNNNNNNNNNNNNNNNNNNNNNNNNNNNNNNNNNNNNNNNNNNNNNNNNNNNNNNNNNNNNNNNNNNNNNNNNNNNNNNNNNNNNNNNNNNNNNNNNNNNNNNNNNNNNNNNNNNNNNNNNNNNNNNNNNNNNNNNNNNNNNNNNNNNNNNNNNNNNNNNNNNNNNNNNNNNNNNNNNNNNNNNNNNNNNNNNNNNNNNNNNNNNNNNNNNNNNNNNNNNNNNNNNNNNNNNNNNNNNNNNNNNNNNNNNNNNNNNNNNNNNNNNNNNNNNNNNNNNNNNNNNNNNNNNNNNNNNNNNNNNNNNNNNNNNNNNNNNNNNNNNNNNNNNNNNNNNNNNNNNNNNNNNNNNNNNNNNNNNNNNNNNNNNNNNNNNNNNNNNNNNNNNNNNNNNNNNNNNNNNNNNNNNNNNNNNNNNNNNNNNNNNNNNNNNNNNNNNNNNNNNNNNNNNNNNNNNNNNNNNNNNNNNNNNNNNNNNNNNNNNNNNNNNNNNNNNNNNNNNNNNNNNNNNNNNNNNNAUGAGAUUAACUAAGUAUUUAUGAUAAUUAAAUAACUCAUACCAAAUAGGCAUAUAAUUAUAAAAUGAUAUACUUUAAUAGUUUUCAUAGUGAUUUGAUAUUUUGUAAUUCUUGUAAUAGUUAGGUGAUAAUAGCUCCUUUUAGAAUUAUAAAAUCAUAUGUUAGCUUUAAUAACAAAUUAGAAUUGACAACAUUGUUGUAAUGUAAAAAACAUUAUUAAAUUUAGUUUCACUAAAAGAAAAUGUCGUAACACACUUCAAAUACAUUACAUUCCGCCACAUCUGUGGCUGAAUGUGAACAGACCGUUUGUCUGCUUAAUUUAAAGAUUCGAAUUAGUUGAGUUAAUUAACCGUUUGUAGACUUUGAGUUAAUAAACCUCAGUUAAUUGAUAAGAGAUGUGAUUUCUAUCCACCCUGCCAUUGCGUUGAGUCAAGCUAUUGCUUUUAUAUUCACCAUCCCGGCCCCACUGCAAUGCCUUUGGCCUUUUGCCGUUUGCCUCCCUCCCAAUGCCUUGUUCACUUCAUUUUCAUGAUGCCUAUAAGAACUGCGAGUUAGGCACAUACUCCUGAGCAGGUCGGUUUUGUGCAGAAGAAGAAGAGUUGCAUUCCGAGAUCAAUAUGAUGCAUAUAAGCUGCCCCUGCCAUCCUCGACAGAACUUUGAUCCUUCAAGGUACAUAAGUACAACUCUCUUACAUUUUUAGUUGUUAUGAGCUAAAUUUUCAAUGCAUACAGUUCUUUCUUUCGUUCAUAUGAAGCUUAAUUAGUUUUGUCAUCUCUUUUGGCAUUUCUUACUCGACUAUAAACUUAGUUAUGAGCACCCUGUGAUCUGGAGAGUAAGAGCUAGAACUUGAUGGCGACAUGUUAGACUAGUGCAUGAGGCUUGUUCAUGCAGUAAUAAUUGGUCUUGAUGCAGGCAAUUUUUUUUUUUUUUAAGCUAAAGAAAGUUAAGUUUUAGAAGAUCAUUACUUCUUUAAACCCAGUAAGCGUAUAAGUUUCUAUUCUUUUGGGUUUUGUAGAAUUAUUCAUUUUCUCCUUAAUUCCCUUUAUCAUGCUCUACCAUAACUGAGAAGGAAAAUGCUAAGUAUCAAGAAAAACGAGAGAAGAAUGAGAGAAUGAAGCAUGUGUUGGGAGGAGAGAGAGAGAGAGAAAAAGCUGACAGAAGAGAGAGAGAAGGGGCAAUUCUCUCGUCCUUCUCUCGUUGUUCUUGAUAUUUAACAGCACUCAACUGAGAAACAUGGCAGUAGUGGCAGGUCUACAGGUGGGCUACACCGGGCUAUAGCCCGGUCUUGAUUAGGAAAAAAAUUAUUUAUAUCCCUUAUAUUUUCAUUAAUUUUAUAUAAUAAUAUAAUUUUUAUUAUAUUUCAUGUAUGUCCCUAACUUAAUUACCCUUAUAUUUUCAUCAAUUUUAUAUUAUAGUGGAACUUUUAUUUUAUUUUCAAAUAUGUCCUUAAUCCAAUUAUAUUUUUUCCAUUUGAAAUUAGUUACUUAUUUAUAAAAUGAUUAAAUUGUACAUUUAUUGAAUAUAUUGAAAACAUUAGGGGGACAAAUGUUGCUACUGCUUUAUUUUAAAAUAUUCUAAUUGAAAAAAAUUAUGUCAAUCUAAUAUAAAAUUUUCACUAAUAUUAAAAGUAUUUACGAAAACAACAUGUAAUAGCAAUUAUCAACAUUUUGAUAAACUUUUUAUGUGAAUUUUGAGAUUUCAUUUAAUAGUAAGUUAGAAAAUAAAAUUUGAGUUUUUUUUAAAAGCUUUUCAUAAAAUAAUCAUCAGCAUAUGAUUCUUCAAAGAGAGUUAGAGCACCUACCAAAGAAACAACGGCAUUUAAAUACAUUUUAAUUAGAUGAGUUUAGUUUAUUAUUGAAAUUUUUUACUAACAAUAUAUUUAUAAUUUUAAAAGAUGAAUAAAUUUUUUAGUUGUUUAAUUUAUUUAAGCCUACUAAUUAAGUACUUGACUUCAAACAUUAAAGUUUUACUUGUGAGUUUUAGUUGAUUGUAAUUACAUGUAUUGCUUUAAUUUUAGCUUAAAAUUCUUAAUUGAUUUAUUAAUCGUUAUAUAAUUAUAUUUUAUUAAAGGUUGCAAUGUCGGAUUCCAUAAUUGAAAAAUAGGGUUUUCAUAUUUGAAUUACCUUUUGUUUUCUACUCUUUUUUUAUAAGUAUUUUCAUUUCGAGUACGUAUUUAUUAGGAUAAGGUUCUUCAUGUUCCUCUUAUUUGAUGCACUUCUUCCUACAUAUGAAUUUUUAUAAUCACUUCAAAAUAUAAUUUUUUUAAUUUAGCACCGGGUAAUAUAAAUUCUUGGGUCUGCCCUACAUGGCAGAGCAUGAUGAAUAUUAUUAUUUAAUAAUAAUAAUAAUAAUCAAACCAACAGAAAGAAUGAUUCGUAGAUGAUCAAUCAACAUUACUUAAUCAAGAAAUAACACAAGAACAUCAAGAUUGAGUCAAAGAGACAAGAUUAAACACGGCAAAAAUGAUCAAUUACAAAAAAGCUCACACAACAGGACACAACAUAAACAGGAAAAUUAAUUGACCUCACUCUUCUUAAAAUGAGUGUAUCUUAAAAAAAAAAGGGAAUUAUAUAUCAUCUAAACAAAAAAUCCUGCAGUUACUCAACAUAUCAAAGAGUCCACACAAUCACUCAAUGCAAAUUAUUUACACCACAAUGUUUUGACUUUUAUUUACGUAAGUUAUUUCAGAGCUGAACUUGAUCAAAUUAGGAGUUAGGGAGUUUCGAAUAUUGACUCAUUAUAUUGUAAAGUUCGUAAAUAUUUCGAUUGGUCUGGGUGUUUUUCUCAUAUAUAGGAAGCUUUCCUUUUGAUUGUUAAAAUUAAUUCGAUGGUUUUGCAGCGAUAACAAUUUCAUUUCCUCAAUUCCAUACCCACAAGUUUUUGGAUAUCUCAUCCCGACUUUAGCCACUAUUAUGGGUGCAUAUGUACAAGGCACAACUAAGUCAUUGAUGGAAACUCAUAGAGUAAGCUUGUGUGUUUCUCUGGUGGCCAUAAUCGUCCACUACAUUGCGUUUGCUGCCGAUAAGAUGCCUCGACGCCAUCAAGCAAACUUUUCACAGUUAUGGGGCCUCAUCGCCAUUGUCUUUGGAUCUCUUUCAGCAGUGUCGUUGGUCUCCACAUUUUUCACACAGUCAGUUGCUGACAUCAUUUGCUACGUUGCAUUGAGUUGCACUGCUAUUAUCAUAGUUGUGUACCAAUAUGUCAGAAAGCUUGUGGAUGCUUGUCAUUGGCUUUACGACGAAAUUUUGGUGCCGUUUUUCAGUAAGAUCUUGAAUUGGUUUAAAGCUCAUUGUUACAACUUCUCUUCCACAAAACAGCAGCAACGCCCGACAGUGUAAUUGAAGAAGUUUAAUCUUUAUUUUAAAAUUUCAUCCAAGAUAUUUUACGGAGAGAUUCCACUUAUGUUUCCAUAUUUCAAUAGAUCAAAAUAUAUACUCAAUAACAUAUAGUUUUUCAUUCAAUAAUAUACAGUUUAUUUGAUAAUUUUUUAAGAUAGUGAAAUAGAUUGAAUUAAAUUCUAAGAGUAAAUAUGUUUGUUGUAUAUCUCAUUUAAUAUAUAUAUAUAUUCUUAGUAUGCCAAUAAAAUUGGAACAGGUUUCACUGUCAUUCGAUUUGUUCCCUAAUUUCAUGAAUUUCAGCUCACUCUCAUUCAAUAGAUCAAAAUAUAUACUCAAUAAUAUAUAGUUUGUCAUUCAAUAAUAUAUAGUUUUUGAUAGUGCAUUUGUAUUAGAUUCUUAUAUGCAUUGUUUUAUUGUUAUUAUAAAAUAUAAAUAUCUGUAUUGUUUGUGUUUUCUUGACGAAUUAGAGACUUGAUAUCAACUGUAAAGGGAGAGUAGUAGAUUACUUGGAUCACAAGAAGAGUCCACAUAUUUAUUGUUUGUGUUUGGGGUAAGGGCUUCAUUUCUAUCCGAACAUUGGCUCCAAGGAUAUCCAUGAAUGACACUUAAAAUAAGAAAGAAAGAAAGAAAGAAAGAAAUAUGUGUUUUGAUGUGAAUAAAAAAUUAAUAAUAAAAUAUUUUUCUUGUAUCAUUAUCAUUUUAUAAAUAUUUUUUAAUUAUAAAUUUAUGAAAUAACAAAAAUAUAAAAAAAAUAUGUCGUUAUUAAUUUUUUAUUCACAUAAAACAUAUAUUUAUUUUUAAUACUUAAAUUUUUUAUUUUAAUUUUAAUUUAUAUGAUUUAUUUAAUUUAUAAUAGAUAUGAAUAAAUAUGUAUUUGAAAUACUGUUGAAAGUUAUUAAUUAUUAUAAAAAUAAUAGAGAGUAUAAAAAUAAUAGGGAGUAAGUAGAUACAAUCUUUCAAAAGAAAAUUUUAACAUUUAUUAUUUAAUAAUUUUUCAGGAUAGUUAAUUUCAUUGACUUAAGCGCUUAAAUUCUGAUAGUAAAUAUAUCCACCGCAAUCUCAUUUUAAAAGAAAAAAAAAGUUUAACUACCAAUAAAAUUGGAACAUGUGUCAUGCCGUUAUUAACGUCAAAGCUUUUGACUAUAUUAACGUACUUAACUAAUUAUACAUCUUUUUCGAAAAAAUAAAAACUAAUUAUACAUCUUUUUUUUUUAAAUGAGAACUAUUGCUCAUGAUGAUAUUUACAAUCAUAUAUAUAUUGAGACCCGUUUAUAUUAAUUUUGAUAUGACAUCGCUCAGAUUUGUAACCCUCUCAAAUAUUCGAGGGACGUCAACUUCCAUCUUGAUAGAAAGACUGCCUUCACUUAAGCUCUGAGAUUCUAAAGAAAGAAAUUUAAAUUAAAUCUCUACAAUACGCUCUGCAGAGACUCGAACACCUUUCCUUACAUUUAUGUUGGAAUGGUUCUAGCCACUUGGGCUAACUAAUUAUACAUCUAAAUGUGAAGAAAUUAGCAAAGAAUAAACUUUAAAAUUUCCUAGUACUUGGAAUUCGGGAAAAAAAAAAAGGUAAAUUUCAGUAGCUCUCGGCCCCGCACUUCCGUCACAAUCAUUUGAAAUUCUAUAAUCUCAGUUUCAAUGAAGACGAAGAGGCUUGGUUUAAAUCUCGGCUUUCAUCAUGCAUUUUCAGGUUUAAUUUCAGUUAAUCUCACCAAAUUUGAUGGAUUUGUUCCCUAAUUUCAUGAAUGUCAGCUCUCACUUUCAUUCGAUCGAAGAAGCUUUCACUUUCGUUUGAAAUUUUUUGAUCUCGAUCGGUUUCACUGUAAAGGAAGAGGUUUGGUUUUAAUCUCGCUUUUAUUCAAGAAUUUCAUGUUUGUAUGCGUUUAAUCACACCAAAGUUGAUGUGUUUCUCCUGUAAUUUAUGGUUAGGGAUCUAAUUUAUGCCUCUUGAUUUAAAAAAUUUAGGUUUGGGCUUUGAUUAUUUGAUUAUUAAUUUUGUAGCGUUUGGAUACUGUUGAAGAGAGUGAAUUAAUCCACAUUAAGAAUGUAUUGGAACUAUUAGGCUCAAACCAGAUGGCUUCUGUUUACUAAGCAAUACAAGAAUUGAGUGAUAAUUAGUUCUGCUUAUGUUUUGCUGAAACUAGAUGGGUUCUGUUUACUAACUUAUCUGUAUUAUCAUCUUUUUUAAGUCAUUCUUUAAGCUAAAUUAGGGUAUUAGAAACAGAGCUGGGAAAGAAAUUAGUACCUGCAUUCAUUUUAGUGGAUCUUGGACCAGCUUGUUCAUUCAUAUACAACUAUUAGAGUUGCACAGCUCUGUUCAUAUGCCCCCAGUGUUGGCCACAGCUGUCUUGUGUGCAUGGAAUUUAGAGAAUCAAUAAAUUUAAGUGUAGACUAUUAUUUCCUUCCUUCUACGAUAUGUCCAAUGAACCACAUUUUUCAAUUACACUUUUUCCCCCCCUCAAAAAUACAUAUCCUUCCUAGUAAUUUUCCAACGGAUCUCAUUUGUUUUCUCGCUAAUACAUUUUUUGCGGGUUAGAGGUGCCUCAAAAGCAAUUACUCAAGGAGAGAUGUGGCUUUGGCAUGGAUUAUGUUGGAUAUUUAGUCUUUUUCUUAUGGAACUAAUGACACAUCUAUUUUAUUACAAUGCCUUUCCAAUCAGGGUGAGUUUAUCAGAAAGGAUAGGCUUCAUGUUGGGACAUCUUUUGAUCUCCAUUUUUUGUCUAGUAACUAAUUUGUUCAAUAUUUUUCUUGUGGCAUGUGGGGACUGUUAUCUCCUUUGGAUGUACUCAUCAUUGUAUAUGGUGUAAAUGGUGAUCUUCAUCACCUUAAUUUUUUAUAUGUGGAUUCGAGGCUUCUUACAUGCUUAUGUGAAUCUUUUUUUAGCACGAUCAUUUCAUAAAUGUUACUCUAUGGCUUCCAGAAUUUCUGAAGAUUUUUUCAUGGAAUAUUCUAUGUUUUACCUUUCAAGGGGUUAAAAGUGAGAAAUGAAUUAAUUGGACUCUGGAAAUUUGUGUAGCUAUUCUGUGGCCUAGUAGCUCUUAGAAUUUUACAAAACCCCCUUUCCUUGUUAUUUGAUUCCCUCUCAUAUUUGGUAUGCUGAAUUACAGGUCUAUCAAUGGAAUCUUAGAUUAUAUGUUAUGUGGUUUUCAGAUUUGCCUAUAUUGUACUUAGAUGGUAUUAUGAGCAAAUUGCUAGUGCUACUUCAGGUAUAUUGACAGAACAAUCAACACCCGACUUAUAAUACAUACGUUUAUAUCAGAUUUACUUUAAUGAACGAACAAUGACUUCCUCUAAAUUUUUCUUUUUUGGUGCCACAAUGGAAAACAAAUAGUGCAAGAAGGUGUAUUAAUUGCCUUGGCAUCAGUUGCUGACUCAUCUCAGGUAUUCUAUAAAAUAUGCUUUAAUUAGAAGUUAUUACUUAUAGAAACCUGUCUGACAGGAUGAUCUGUUUUUGGAGUAGCUACUCGGAUGGAAACUUCUUUAAAACGGGAAAAAAAAAAUAGGGAAGCAAAGUUUAUGUGGAAUUAAAAGAAAAGGUAUCUACAAAAGUGAACAAUCCGUUGCUCCGUAUAAUACCAGCUUCUGCAUUUGAAGUUCUCUGUUUUUUUUUUUUUUUUUGGUUGAAAAGAAUAUUUCUAGAUACAUAUAAUGCUCUUUACUGUCUGUUCACCUAAUUUAACUAAUUUUGAAGGCUGUAGAUUUUAUUAAUGAGAAACCAGGAGUCCGUCCCUGUAUUGAUUACCACAACAGCUGUUGGUUGCUGUGGUUUGUUUUUAACACAAGAACUUACAAUUUUGAGCUUCAUUUUAUCCAAAAACCUAACUUUCAAAGUUUUCAGACUAACCAUUCUUUCUCCACUAAAUCAGAAAACAUAUGAUCAGUAAUGAACUUAGAGAUUCAGUAUCUUAAUUUAGUGUAAGUAGCCCUACUAUAUAACGAAUUCAGUCUUCUGAUUCUGCAAUUCAAGUUUUCUUGAUAAGUUUACUUUUUUAUUUUUUCUUUUUUCUCCUCAAAAUGUAACUAAUUUUCUUUAUCUUCAACUUUCUUCAAUGCUCAGGAACCAGUGAAACCAAAGUAUUUGAUGAGAGCAGCUCACUGGGAAGUGAUUACUUGACUGAGGUAAGAGCCUGAUUUCUAUAAACAGUACAAAAAGCCUUUGCGGAUGACUUGCACAGAUUUUAAAAUAGUCGCAACGUAAAUAUAGAUUUAUUGCCAUUUAGAUUUUAGACUUUUAAGAAGCAAAUAAAUAAUUAAUUAAAGAAAGUUGCUUUAUCAGGCUAAAUUCAUAUUAUUUUUAAAAUUUGAAAAUCAUCAUAAAAAAUUUAAAGUUUCUCUCUCCCUCUCUUACUCUCAGUCUUGUUCAACCCUUCGCCUCCCAGCCUUGCUCGAUAGUAAUUUAUUGAUUUCAGUUUUAGGUAAGCUUCUGUCACUGCAACUUUUGGUCGUUAAAUUUUGUUAUUGCAUAGAUCUUAAUAGGUCAAAUUGAAGUGGAGAAAGUUGCUGAUCGUAAAGCUGAUUCUGAAAGCACUUCUUCACUUUUUCAGUAUGAUUUUACAGAUUCAGUAUGUAAUUGAAGGUCUAAAGCAAUGAUUUAGAAUGAUUUAGAGUAUUUAGAUGAAUGGUUUAAAUUAAUCCAUCAAAGUUGUGGUUUAUACACAUGGAUCAUCAUGGGAACAUCUAAUUAGAUAAUAUAUUUUUACUUUUUAUCCUUCUUUUCUAUUUUAAAUAUAUAUGUGCGUGUGUGUGUGUAAAAAUAUAAGAAAAUUCUCAUGCGUGGUUGUCCGCACAAAUGGCAUGAAUUUUCAUGUGGAUUUAGGUUGUGAAAGCCUUUUACACUGGCAUGAAACCCUAAGUCUGCACAAAAAUACGUGCGAGCACUUUAUAUAUAUAUAUGGCGAGGAGACUGGAUGAGGAAUACAACUCUUUGUUCAAAGUUGUAUUAGUCUGCAAUUGAGGAGUAGGCAAAUUGAAAUUACUUUCCUGAUUUACUUGUAAUGAGUUCUGUUUAGAGUCCAAUUCUACUAGUCGCGUCAAAUUCACCAUCUUUACUCUUCAAGUAACUAUUCAUCUUACUCUAUACUUCAUCUUAAUUACAGUAAUUAAUUUAUUAAUUUUUUAAGAUCUAGUAGAAGUAAUUAGUUUUAUCAAAUUUUUAAUUUGAUUUCCAGAUUAGGAUAAUUUAGAUUCAUGUCAAUUGGAAGUGAUUCAAUUUUUUAUCUGAUUUUGUUGUUGAUGUGUAAUUACUAUUAGUAUGAUGAUUAAUUUGUGAUUUUAACUUAUAAUUUGGUUAUUGAUUUAGUUUAUAUGAGAUUUAAUUGGAUCUAUCGUUGCGAGAUUGUAAUUCACAUGAAAUGACUUUUUUUGUUUAAUUUAAAGUUGAAUGCUUUUUGAGUUUUUUGAAAAAGAAUGCUUUAUAAUUUUAAUCUGAAUAUUUUGGGCCACGAUUUAAAUGAUUAAUUUUAUGUGGUAAGGGAAGUGGCAGUGCCAAAUUGUGGACAGAUACUUAUUGGGGUGAAAAAGUUUGGGAUUUCAAUUAUUGGACGUAAUUUAUUCAUCAAGUUAAAAUCGGAUCCGGCCAAUUUUGUCAUUGAAUUGGAUAAUUAGAUCGGCAUUUGGCGUUUACUUGUAUGUAUGAGUAGGGCUGUUCUCUGUAUGUUGGAGUUGGUGAUGCAAGUUGAAACUAACCUGAAGUUGACUUUUGGCAUGUUAGAGUUGAAUUGGAAUUGCAAUUAACUCAUUAAGAGAAACUUAUGAGCCAUGUGGUUUUUUCAUUGAAUUAGAUGAUUAGAUCAGCAUUCGAUGUUUACUUGGAGAUGUGAGUAAGACUGUUCUCCAUAUGUUAAAUCAGGUUGAAAAAAUUACUUACUGAAUUGUUGUGGGUGCAAUUCAUCUUUUGAAACAUUUAAGAUUUUUUGCCAUUAUGUUACUAUCCUGUGGUUUUCUAAGGUACAAUGAGACAUUAAAAAAGACAUAAUAUCUUAAUCACUUCUACCUACAAGUGCACAUAACUUUGUAGGUUUUGAAUUCAAGGAACAAAAUAGUAAGUCUAGGGCAUAAUAUUUGAAAACACGUGUAAAAUGGAUUGAAUUGCUGUAAGAUCUGUCCAAAUUAAACAGUCUAAACCAAUUCACAGGCUUGUGGGAAUAAAGAAUAUAUAUAUUUAUUUUUCUAGCAACUUCAGAGUCAUUGAAAAAUGGAAAUUUUGUCUCAAAGCAGCUUUUUGUUGUAUGAUUAAAGAGAAAUGUGUGAUUUUCAGGUUGAAGGAAGGCGAAGGACAACAAAAGCUCAGAAAUGGCACACUUAGAGGUGGUAAAAAUACCCGCCUAGUCCGGACUCGGAUCGUACCCGGGCGUUGUGGGCCGGGUAUUACCGGCCCGGGUAUGAAGUCGGGUCGGUCUUGGGCAUCACUUGAUAAACCCGGAACCCAAAUUUUAUUAAAAAAAUAUUAUAAAAUAUAUAUUAUUUUAAAUAUUUAUAUUUAUUUGACUCGUUUAUUAUACAUAUAUAAAGUUUUAAACACUUAAAAUUUAUAUUUUUAUGUCAAAUUUUAUUGAAAUAAAUUUAAAACUUAUAAAAUUACAAAAAAUAAAAAAUAUAUACACAUAUAAUAUUAGAAAAUAUAAAAAUUUGGGUACCCGGAUUAAAACCUGGCCCGGACUCGGACUCGGACCGAUUGCAUCCGGGCAAGGUCCGAUCAUUGCAAUACCUGCACCCGGCCCGGGGAUUGCCAUCCCUAGGCACACUGCAGGGCAUGAGGGAUAUAGAUAGGAGCGCGUUUGGAGUGCUCUUUUAGUUUAUGAUGUGACAAAAUCAACAACAUUUGAAAACGUUAGCCGGCGGCUGAAGUAUCUGAGGGAGGGUAAUUAUCAGAAACCUCCCCUGAGGUUUAGCGUAUUCUUAGUUUGAUAGUAUCAAUGUAUUCUCAACCACCUCCCCUGACGUUUGUAGACCAUUUCGUAUAAGUUGAUUUGGUGAGGGCAAAAUGGUAAUAGAACUCUUUAAUAUAAAAAAGUUCAAACAAAAGUGAAAAUAUCACAUUGGAAUGAGGGCAAUAUGGUAAUGAAAUUCUUUAAUGAUAAUAAAAUUCAAACAAAAGCGAAGAUAUCACGUUGGGUUCUAGAAUUGAUGUGAAAUUUUUUAAUAUCCAUUGUGUAAAAUUGGAAGCAAGAGUUUAACCAACAUACUAUCACUAAAAAUUAAAAAAAAAAAAAACAAAAUGGAUACCUUCUUUCUCCAACCAAAGUUACGAAAAGUAAAUCCUCUUUCGUCUUCUCUACAAUGUUUUAACAGAAAAAUUGUGCCAUGAUUUGGAGAUAAUGAUGACGAAGCCGAAGAUGCCAACAUUAAAGACAGCUGAAUCGCGACCGUCAGGUGUAAGGAAGCUGAUCAGCAGUGAGUUUCGCCGUCGACCCACUGACAAUCUUAAUUUGCCCGAGCCACGAAUGAGGUAUGAAAAUGGCUUAUUACGGUGCAUGUUAGUUUUAUUAGAUGGAUUUAGUCAAUUUGGUAAAAUAUGAAUAAUGGGUCUCGAAAUUUUUUUGGGAGUGUUUUUGUUGCUUUGAUUUUUUUCUAUCGAUUGGUGUUAGUUGUAGAUAAUGGUUGCUGUCAAUGUAUGUUUACUUCAUUUUGAUUGAAUAUGGCUCGUGAUUUUUUAUGCUACCUUGUGUAUGAAUGAAAAUGAGUUUGAAAAAUUUGUUAUUGUUGAAGCUAGUGCCACUAAUUGUUGAACAUGGAUUUACGGUAGUUUUUGUUAAAAUUGAAUAUUGGAGACAACUUGUUGGGAUAAUUGAUUUAGGUUUUUAUCUUAAUCAUGGUAUGGACAUGUCUUGGGUUGAAAAAAUGUCAUGGAUUGUUGCAUUAUCUCGCACUGAAGCAGUGAGCUUAAACAAUAGGGUUUGGAGUCAUUGCUUUGUUGUAGUUGUUUAUCUUUAUAAUUCAAGCAAAAUAAGCUUCAACAAUGAAGAUGCUUUAAAUUAAGGCUGUAAUGGUUAUCAAAUGCGAAGAAGUAGUUUGAUUAGUGGCAUAGAAAUUGUUUUGAGCUCAUUUUUAUUGUAGUUAUAUUAAAGAUGUAAUUGCAUGCUGAGGAUAGCUUGAAGUGUAUAGUUUGUUUGCUGUCAAAGUGGCCAAAUGUGAAUUUUUUUUUUUUUUUUUUGGUUACAAUCUAGAGCUUAUAUUAAUUAAUCUGUUCAGAACCUAAUCUUACAUGUUUUGAACAUUUACCAAUUCCUUCUCAUUGAACCAUUUUUCAUCCUUAUUUACAUGGACAUUGAGGCUGUGGUUAACGGAGAAAUGCUUAAAGUUUGGUCUGUAAUUUCUGAGCAGUACACUUUAAAGAAGUUGUGAGAGGACAUUAAAGAUAUUUUCAAUGUAAUCACUUUGAUUUGGCGCCAAAACAGACCCAGAAUUACUUACCAACAAUUCUUUAAUAUGUGUAAACAAUUUUUUUUUUUCAGCCUAGGGGUAUUUUGGUCAUUUUAUUAAGCAACAAUCCGGCAAACAAAUGGUCUACAGACGUCAGGGGAGGUGGUUGAAAAUAUGUCGAUACAAUCUAUCAAACUGAGAAUACGCUAAACCUCAGGGGAGGUUUUUGAUAAUUACCCAUGUGAGGGACCAUGCGGGCUAGAGGUGGCAAAAAUACCUGUCCGGUCCGGACUCAGAUCGUAUUCGGGCGUUGUAGGCUGGGUAUGAAGUCGGGUCGGUCUUGAACAUCACUUGAUAAACUUGAAACCCGGAUUUUAUUAAAAAAAUAUUAUAAAAUAUAUGUUAUUUUAAAUAUUUAUAUUUAUUUGACUCAUUUAUUAUACAUAUAUAAAGUUUUAAACACUUAAAGUUUAUAUUUUCAUGUCAAAUUUUAUUGAAAUAAAUUUAAAACUUAUAAAAUUACUAAAAAAUAAAAAAUAUAUACAUAUAAUAUUAAAAAAUAUAAAAUUCGGAUACCCGGAUUAAAACCCGGCCCGAAUCCGGAUCGAUUGCAUCCGGGCAAGGUCUGGUCAUUGCAAUAUCCGGACCCGGCCCGACGUUUUGCCAUCCCUAAUGCAGACUCCAACAUUGUGAUCAUUAUGAUCGGCAACAGGAUUAUUGUUUAAACUUGUUUUUAUUUAAUUUUUGUUAACAAUGUUAUAUUUGAAUUAUCCUCCUUAAUUGUUGUUGAGAUAUUAGAAUUAUUUUGUUAUUGUAAGAAAUAAUUCAAUGGGCCACUCCAAUUCAUAAUAAACCAAAAAUUUGUCAUAAUUCACACAAAUUAAAGCAUUGCAUUUGCAUAUAAAUUCAAUUAAUAUUAUUCACAAUCUUACUAGAUGAACAAAAAAAAGAAACAAAACAAAAAUUAUAUUAAAAAAUAGUUACUAAUAAUGGAAAAUAAAAUGGAUAUACGUUGCAAUUGAUGCACCAUAUUCAGUAUUCACACCCGUUACGUUUAAGAAAUAAAUUGAGUAAAUUUGAGACCCACAAAGUUGUCGACUUAAUUUGAGAUUAAGAUCAUGUUUGUAAUUGAAGUACUGUAUCUUUUAAGUUACAGUUGUUGUAGAAAAAAAUUAUAACGAUCAAAUAAAAAUUAAUAAUAUGUAGUAAAUAUAAAUUUUAAAAAAUAAUUUUGAUAAAAUUAUUAAAGAUAUAAUAAAUUUUUUAUUAUAUAAGUGAAAAAUCAUAUCAACAUACCUUCUAAGCUACACCAGUUAGUAUUUAUCAAAUAUUUUAAUGCUGUUACUUUCAAGGUACAACUGUCUCAUCUCAAUCUCAAACACACCCUCAGAUUCCCAUUAUGCUAGAAGAAUGUGAUUUAAAUGUUGAACAAACUUAAAGCGGGAAUUAAAAAGAAAAAAAAGAAACAAAGCAGCAUCUUGUGACCACCAUGACUAAAUUUCAUUUUCCUCGCAUUUUCAUCCCUACUAAGCUCCCAUCAAGAAUUUCAAAACCAACUGUCCAUCUUUGUCUUUCUCUUUUUUUAGUUAUGCGCCCCCCCCCCCCCCCCCCCCCCCCNNNNNNNNNNNNNNNNNNNNNNNNNNNNNNNNNNNNNNNNNNNNNNNNNNNNNNNNNNNNNNNNNNNNNNNNNNNNNNNNNNNNNNNNNNNNNNNNNNNNNNNNNNNNNNNNNNNNNNNNNNNNNNNNNNNNNNNNNNNNNNNNNNNNNNNNNNNNNNNNNNNNNNNNNNNNNNNNNNNNNNNNNNNNNNNNNNNNNNNNNNNNNNNNNNNNNNNNNNNNNNNNNNNNNNNNNNNNNNNNNNNNNNNNNNNNNNNNNNNNNNNNNNNNNNNNNNNNNNNNNNNNNNNNNNNNNNNNNNNNNNNNNNNNNNNNNNNNNNNNNNNNNNNNNNNNNNNNNNNNNNNNNNNNNNNNNNNNNNNNNNNNNNNNNNNNNNNNNNNNNNNNNNNNNNNNNNNNNNNNNNNNNNNNNNNNNNNNNNNNNNNNNNNNNNNNNNNNNNNNNNNNNNNNNNNNNNNNNNNNNNNNNNNNNNNNNNNNNNNNNNNNNNNNNNNNNNNNNNNNNNNNNNNNNNNNNNNNNNNNNNNNNNNNNNNNNNNNNNNNNNNNNNNNNNNNNNNNNNNNNNNNNNNNNNNNNNNNNNNNNNNNNNNNNNNNNNNNNNNNNNNNNNNNNNNNNNNNNNNNNNNNNNNNNNNNNNNNNNNNNNNNNNNNNNNNNNNNNNNNNNNNNNNNNNNNNNNNNNNNNNNNNNNNNNNNNNNNNNNNNNNNNNNNNNNNNNNNNNNNNNNNNNNNNNNNNNNNNNNNNNNNNNNNNNNNNNNNNNNNNNNNNNNNNNNNNNNNNNNNNNNNNNNNNNNNNNNNNNNNNNNNNNNNNNNNNNNNNNNNNNNNNNNNNNNNNNNNNNNNNNNNNNNNNNNNNNNNNNNNNNNNNNNNNNNNNNNNNNNNNNNNNNNNNNNNNNNNNNNNNNNNNNNNNNNNNNNNNNNNNNNNNNNNNNNNNNNNNNNNNNNNNNNNNNNNNNNNNNNNNNNNNNNNNNNNNNNNNNNNNNNNNNNNNNNNNNNNNNNNNNNNNNNNNNNNNNNNNNNNNNNNNNNNNNNNNNNNNNNNNNNNNNNNNNNNNNNNNNNNNNNNNNNNNNNNNNNNNNNNNNNNNNNNNNNNNNNNNNNNNNNNNNNNNNNNNNNNNNNNNNNNNNNNNNNNNNNNNNNNNNNNNNNNNNNNNNNNNNNNNNNNNNNNNNNNNNNNNNNNNNNNNNNNNNNNNNNNNNNNNNNNNNNNNNNNNNNNNNNNNNNNNNNNNNNNNNNNNNNNNNNNNNNNNNNNNNNNNNNNNNNNNNNNNNNNNNNNNNNNNNNNNNNNNNNNNNNNNNNNNNNNNNNNNNNNNNNNNNNNNNNNNNNNNNNNNNNNNNNNNNNNNNNNNNNNNNNNNNNNNNNNNNNNNNNNNNNNNNNNNNNNNNNNNNNNNNNNNNNNNNNNNNNNNNNNNNNNNNNNNNNNNNNNNNNNNNNNNNNNNNNNNNNNNNNNNNNNNNNNNNNNNNNNNNNNNNNNNNNNNNNNNNNNNNNNNNNNNNNNNNNNNNNNNNNNNNNNNNNNNNNNNNNNNNNNNNNNNNNNNNNNNNNNNNNNNNNNNNNNNNNNNNNNNNNNNNNNNNNNNNNNNNNNNNNNNNNNNNNNNNNNNNNNNNNNNNNNNNNNNNNNNNNNNNNNNNNNNNNNNNNNNNNNNNNNNNNNNNNNNNNNNNNNNNNNNNNNNNNNNNNNNNNNNNNNNNNNNNNNNNNNNNNNNNNNNNNNNNNNNNNNNNNNNNNNNNNNNNNNNNNNNNNNNNNNNNNNNNNNNNNNNNNNNNNNNNNNNNNNNNNNNNNNNNNNNNNNNNNNNNNNNGAAGAGAUUGUGUGUGUUUUUUUAGUGUGAUGAUGAUAAUGAUUAUCAUUGAUGUGGGUUUUGGGUUUGGCAAUAGCCGGGAAAGAUUUAAGCCUGCAAAAUCGGGAUUCUAACUUAAUGGGAAGGAUUCAGUCGUCGGAGAAACCAGAAAAGUUGAUGGCAGAGACAACCACCUGUAGAAUGGUGUCUCCUACAUUGACUUUUUUUAGUGAUCGGCUUCCAACCGCUUAAAUCAAUUCUAUUUUAUUAUUGUUAUGUUUACCUGGCAUAUAAUUAUUACCCAAUUAGUCAUAUCAUCGGCUGUAUGUUACGUUAAAUGUAACUCAGAGAGGUCCUCAUAACUAUAUGAAGUGGCAAAAAGUAUAAGAAAAAUAUGUUAUUAUUAAUAUUUUAUUUAUAUAAAAAUAUAUUUUUAUUUUUAAUAAUUAAUAUUUUAUUUAAAUUUCUAUUUAUAUGAUUUAUUUAAUUUAUAAUAAAUAUAAAUAAAAGUGAAUUUGAAAAUCAGAAUAAUAUUGUAAAAUUUUACUAUUGGGAUUAUUAUCUAUUAUGAAAAUAGUAGGAAGUAAGUGAAUUUUAGUAGUAGGAAAUUGGUAAUCCGAAAAUUUUGACAUUUAGUAUUUGAUAAUUUUUAAGGACAGUUAAAUAGGUUUAGUUAAAUUCUGACAGUAAAAAUAUUCAUUUUAUAUCACUUUAAAAAAGAAAUGUUUAUUAUGCCAAUAAAAUUGGAACAGGAUUCAAGACAUUUAUUAAUGUCAAAAACAUUUGACUAUAUUAACUAACUUAACUAAUUAUAUAUCGAAAGCUUUUUUUGUUUGGGAUAAAAUUAUGUAUAGAAAGCUAAAACUGAAGAAAAUGGUGAAGAAUAAAUAAUAUUUUAAAAUUUCGUAGUACUUGAAAUUCGUAAAAGUAAAAAAAAAAAAACAGCGAAAUUCUUUAGCUCUCGGCCCCACGCCUUCGUCUGUGGGGUGGUGUAGAAAAAGGAAAAGGAGAAAGCUUUAUCUCUCACAAUCAUUUGAAAUUCUACGAUCUCAGUUUCAAUGAAGACGAACAGUUUUGGUUUAAAUCUGGCUAUUCAUCAUGAAUUUUCAGGUUUAUUUUCAAUUAAUCUCACCAAAUUUGAUGGAUUUGUUCCUAAUGUCGUGAAUUUCGGCUCACUCUCUGACUCCCAUUGGAUCGAAGAAGCUUUCGCUUUCAUUUGAAAUUUUUUGAUCUCGAUCGGUUUCGAUACAAAUGAAGAGGGUUGGUUUUAAUCUCGCUUUUAUUCAAGAAUUUCAUGUUUGUAUCCGAUUAAUCUCACCAAAGUUGAUCUGUUUUUCCUCUAAUUUUUUGUUAGGGAUCUAAUUUAUGUCUCUUAAUUUAAAAAAUUACGGUUUGAGCCUUGAUUAUUUUGAUUAUUAAUCUUGUAGCCUUUGGAUACUGUCAAAGAGAGUGUAUUAGCUUUAAUGGUUUCUGUUUACUAAGCAAUACAAGAUUUGAGUUCUAAAAUGGUCAACUUUAUGUUUGGUUGAAACUAGAUGGGUUCUGUUUGUUAAGAUUAUAUGUUGAGUCAGAUUGCUGUGUAAGCUGCUGAAUCAGAUUGCCCUGCAAGCAGAGUGCUUAGUCAAUUGCCAAACUGGCAUGCUGUUAUGCAAAGUGAUAUUAGCUUUUUAAGUUUGUUAAAUUCCCGCCAAGAAUUUGUUGCAAUUAGUUAGUUUCCAGCUCAUGCUUUGCAUGCUGGAGAAGGGUCCAGACUAUGCUAUAAAUACCUCUGUAACAUUUAGAUUGUUUUUGAGCUUAAUAAGAAUCAUUUUUCAGUUUCUAGAUUUCUCUCCCGUUAAACAUUUUCCUUUACUUUCUUGUUAACCAAACAGAACAAAAUAUUUUAACUCUGCUUACUAACUUAUCUGUAUUAUCAUCUUUAUUAAUUCUUUAAGCUGUAUUAGGGUAUUAGAAACAGAGCUAGGAAAGAAAUCAGUACAUGCAUUCAUUAUUGCAAGCAAAUUAGUAACAUUUCAGGUAUGUUGACAGAAUAAUCAACACCCAGUUUAUAGUACAUACAUUUAUAUCACACUAUACUUUAAUGAACGAACAUUUUCUUCUUCUAAAUUUCGAAUAUUUGGUCCCAGAAUGGAGAACAAAUAGUGCAAGAAGGUGUAUUAAUUGCAUUGGUAUUCUAUAAAAUAUGCUUUGAUUAGAAGUUAUUUGUUAGAGAAACCCAUCUGACAGGAUGAUUUUUUUGUAGUAGCUGCUCAGAUGCAAACUUCCUUUUUUUUUUUCUCGGAAAAAAAAGGGGGAAGCAAAGUAUAUGUUAAAUUAAAAGAAAAGGUAUGUACAAAAGUGAACACUCUGUCACUCCUUAUAAUAUCAGCUUCUGCAUUUGAAUUUUUUUUUUUUAAUUUUUGGUGAAAAUAAUAUUUCUAGAUACAUAUAAUGCUCUUGCCUGUCCAUUCACCUAAUAUUUAACUAAUGCUGAAGAUUUAAUUAAUAGGCAAAAAGAAGGAGUCCGUCCCUGUAUUGAUUACCACAACAGCUGUUGGUUAUUGUGGAUGACUUGCCGGGAUUUUAAAAUAGUCGCAACAAAUAUAUAGAUUUCUUGCCAUUUAGAUUUUUAGACUUUUAAGAAUCAAAUAAAUAAUUAAUUAGCUGCAAGAAAAUUGCUUUAUCUGACUAAAUUCAUAUUAUUCUUGAAUUCAAAAAUCGUCAUAAAAAAUUUAAAAUUUCUUUCUCCCUAUCUUACUCUCAGUCUUGCUCAAUCCUUCGCCUCCCAGCAAAUUUAGAUGACUGUUUUAAAUAAUCCAUCAAAGUUGUUGUUUAUGCACAUGCACCAUCUAGUUGUUAUAGAUUUUUGUAGAUUCAUAUGAAGUGGAAGUGAUUCAAUUUUUUAUCUGUUUUCAUUAUUGAUGUGUAAUUACUAUUAGUAUGAUGAUUGAUUUGUGAUUUUAACUUAUGAUUCAGUUCUUGAUUUAGUUUGUACAAGUUUUAAUUGGAUCUAUCUUCAUGAGAUUGUAAUUCACAUGAAAUGACCUUUUUUUGGGGGGGGGGAUUUAGAUUUGAAUGCUAUUUAAGUUUUUUGAAAAAGAAUGAUUUAUAAUUCAAGUCUGAAUAUUUUGGGCCACGAUUUAAAUGAUUAAUUUUAUGUGUUAAGUGAAGUUGCAGAACCUAAUUGUGAUAGCUAAGUAUUGGGGUGAGAGUUUGGAUUAAAUUAUAAAUUUAAGUUGUAAUUUAUUCAUCAAGUGAAAAUCAUGCACCGGCAGAUUUCGUCAUUGAAUUGGAUAAUUAGAUAGGCAUUUGGUGUUUACUUGUAUAUGUGAGUAGGGCUGUUCUCUGUGUGCUGAAGUUGUUGCCUUGGUGAUGCAAGUUGAAACUAACAUGUUGUUGACUUUUUGCAUGUUAGAGUGGAAUCAGAAUUGCAAUUAAUUCAUUAAGAGAAACUUACGACCCACCAGGUUUUUUCAUUUAAUUAGAUAAUUAGAUCGGCAUUCAAUGUUUUCUUGGAAAUGAGAGUAAGACUGUUCUCCAUAUGUUGAAGUUAGUUAUGCCAGUCGAAACGAAUCUGUUCAAGCCUGAUGUUGAGUUUUGGCAAGUUAGAGUUGGGAUUUCAUUUCUUGAAAUCUUGAAUCAAAGCUGAGAAUUGGGGUUGAAAGUAAUUGCAGCUUUAGCCUGUUUGGACAUUGGGUGAUGGGACUGAGUGGCGGAUGUGAAAGAAAAGGAUGUCAACUUUGAGCUAGAGCUGAGUAUCCAUUUCACAUUUUGGGUUGUAGUUAACCUCUAUGUCUUGACUGUUUCCCACAUGAGAUAAAGCCCCCGACUUACAUCCCACCCAUGAUAUUUGAGUUUAUCAAGUUACCAUAUCUUAUACUUUUCCUGAAAAACAAGUAUAUGUGUUAAAUCAGGGUGAAAAAAUUAUUUACUGAGUUGUUAUGGGUGCAACUCAUGUUUUGAAACAUUUAAGAUUUUUAGCCAUUGUGUUACUAUCCUGUAGUUUGUUUAUGGUAAAAGAGACAGUCAAAAAAACAUAGUAUCUUAAUCACUUAUAAUAAUCCUAGAAGUGCACAUGGUGUAAAGUUAUUGUCAACUCAUACUAGUGUGUGAAAUUUAAAGAGGUCUUAGGGUUUUGUGAGUUUUGAAUUCAAGAAACAAAAUAAUAAUAUAGUGCAUAAUAUUUGAAAACUUUGCUUCAUCAUGUAUCAUGGAUUGAAUUGCUGUAAGAUCCGUCCAAAUUAAACUGUCUAAACUCAUUUACAGGCGUGGGGGAACAAAGAAAUUUUUUUUCUAGCAACUCCAGAGUCAAUUAAAAUUGGAAAUUUN
Molecule: long non-coding RNA, 99671 nt
Filed under: Citrus x clementina
Lineage: Eukaryota; Viridiplantae; Streptophyta; Magnoliopsida; Sapindales; Rutaceae
Description: Citrus clementina (C. clementina) long non-coding RNA (CCLE_LNC002311)
Source: RNAcentral